GCCUGAAAAAUUAAACAUAAGGAGGGUGAGUAUAAAAAUACCCAGUAAGAGACCCUCUACUGGUCCCGUCAGGGGAAAAUAAAUUGUUAACAUUCUAUUGGGACACCCUGUACAGUCGCAGUCUUGUGAUCCCGUAGGAUGCACAUUUCAGUCUAACGCCCCGUGGGACGUACAUUUCAGUCUAGUGUUCUGCAGAAACACAUAUCAGUCUAAUGCUCCCGAAGGUCGCAUAAAAAUUGGUGAUCCCGUAGGACACCUACAAGGCAUACAUCCCAAUAAAACUAACAAUUUUUCCCCUCAAUCCAUUCUAACCAUCUUUACGGUAAUUUAUGACAUCUUUCAGUUACUUCAAAAUAUAAAGUUCUUUCACUCAACAUUCUAACAGUCAACCUAUCUCACUUAAGUUCGAAGGUCGUUGAUAACAUUUUAAUACAUCUGUCAAGUAAACAACAAAGUCACAACACCCCUCAUUUUUACCAGCGCAAACCACAGUUCAGUAUAAUCCACAUUCAACCGAAAAAUUCACUAGUUCACAUCCAAAUCUUUAUACAGCACAAUCUAUUAAUAUCAUCAUGUACACAUAAGCAUAAUUUCAGUCAUUCACAUGUAUACUUUCGGCAAUCCACAUCAAUUCACACAUCAAUGUAUUUAUAUAUAUGUUUCCAGUCAAAUACAACAUACACUAAACAUUUAGUCUGCAACCAAACGUGUACAUCUUAAUCAUCAUCCAUACAGUCCAACACAACUCAAAAACUUUAGGUGAGUCCAGUAGAAAGUCCCUUACCUCAAAGUUAGGGAAGCUCCCUUAAUCAACUAUCGUCCACGAAACAAUCCAAAUAAGGGCAAACCGAAAUCAAAAUUCACAAAUUGGUUGUGAAUUUAAGUGAUCCAAGGUUACCUUUCACACCUUCAAGAAUAAUUUAUCAAAUUAGUCAAUUAACCCAUCCGUAACGUUUGAACACCUUGAAAACAUCACAACCCAUACUUAAAUUGUUUUGAAAACGACUACAAUUUCAUAACUUCAAUCUUACCAACAAUACUUCGACGGAUCUCAGUAAAAAUAGGGGCAGCGGCAAUCGAUUCUAAACAAAAACCAUCGUGCAAACAGAUUAGAGUGUACGUCGGUUUGUGAAUCGCGGUUAGAAGAAAAAACACGUUGCUGGAAGAAGAGGAAACGCGCGGCUAGAAGGAGGCGUGCGCGCUGCCUCAAAAUCGAUCGACGAUCUGACGCGGCGACUGGGCUUCACGAACGGAAGAAGAGAGGAAAGGAAUGGACGACGGCUGGACUUGGCUUCGACGGAGACAGAGGUCACGCGGCGGGGCUGGGCAGAGGGUCACGCGGCGGUGGGCGGAGGCCAUGGAUCUGAACGGCAAGGGAAGGGGAGAAGAUGAUGGUCGGCUGGGUUAGGGUACAGGAAAGAGAAGAAGAAAAAGAUGGAGAGAGGGUGUCACACGCGUGAGAGAGGGGAGAGAGGAAAAAGAUAUUUUAAUUUCUUUUUCUUUUCCUUUUUUUUAUGCUAAUUAUAAUAAUAAUAAUAAUAUAUAUUAUUAUGAAAGACUUUUCCAACACUUUUUUUUUUCAAGACAAAACAACAAAAUGACGUCGAACAAAAAUUAAGAGUAAAAACAUCGAAUGGUCCGAUUAAAUUAAUUACCUUAGAGUUUGGGGUGUUACAUUAUCGCACAACUUCUUUCGCGAACUACCCACUUAUCGCAAAAAAGUAUACUUAACCGUAAAAGAUCUUAUCACUUAAUCUUUCCAUGGAUUUAUUUGAACACCAACUUCUUAAUUCUUAGCCGAAUUUUACUUCCUUACUCAAAUUAGAAAUGGGUCGCACAACUUCCUUCGCGAACAACCCACUGAAUCGCAAUAACGUAUACUUAACCAUAAAUUUUUUUAUCGCUUAAUCCUUUUCGUUGAUUUAUUCAAACGCCAAAUUCUUAAUACCUAGCCAAAUUUUACUUCAUUACUCAAAUUAGAAAUGGGUCUCACAUUUAGAGCCUAUCGCUUCUUUAAGAUACAUGAUCUUACCGAUUCAGAGAAAUUAACCACAGGCGUUAUUAGUUUUGAUGAUCUGGCAUUGGAUUGGUACCAAGCACAAAAGAGUUGGAAGUUUUUAAGAAUUGGGCUGACCUGAAAGAACGAAUGCUUGUACAGUUUCGAUCAAUUCGAGAAGGAACUUUGGUUGGAAGAUUUUUCUCAAUCAAACAGAAAAUGAAUGUAGAAGAAUACCGCAACCGAUUUGAUCGAUAUUUAGCUCUGGUAGCAUUUCUUCAAACGGUAGUGUUAGAGGAGACUUUGAUGAUUGGGCUUAGCCCAUGAACAAAAAUGGAAGUGGAAACCGUGGAACCGAUUGGGUUGGCCCAGAUGAUGAAAUUUGCGUUGAAGAUUGAGAAUAAGGAACUAGUGAGAAAAGAGUGUGGGUUGAGCAGUGCAUUUCAUGUAAAACUGCAACUCACCCUAUCUAUUGUGGAAAACAACAAUACAAUGAUGACUAAGGAAGAAACCAGCAAUGGAAAGUCUGCUGAUGAGAGCUAUCACCCUGAAAGGAGUUACUGAUAGAACUAAGACAUGCACAACAGAAAAAGAAUCGAAAUUCUACCCUAAUUGGGCUUAGUUAACGAGACUAAACCAAAAAAUAAGGUUUUUAGAAUACUUACAUUUGAAGCUGCGUUUUAUUCGAACAACCACUAAGUUUGACUUAGUAUCCUCUAGACUCAUAAUCGAGUUGUGGGACCCGUUGGAUGAAAGAACCAGACGAGAGAAAUAGAUGAAAAAAAUGGGCGUGGUAAAUUUUCUUUUUUUUUUAAGUAAAUAAGAAAAAGAAAUUCCAUUUGGUGUGAAAGCCCAAAUAUAAUAGCCAACCCAUCAAAUGAGUUCAAAGGCCCCAUUUAUAAGGAUUUUUCAUUCAAAAUUGUAUGUCCAUGCAAUACUAAAGUCCAACAACUCAAAGUCCACUUUCUCUAGCAAGGACUUGAUAAAAAAAGAGAAUAUGAGUUAAUAGGAAAAUGAAAGGGAAUUCCUUGGAAAGUUGGUUUGUGUGUCAUUAAAAGUCAAGGUGGAAAACAAAGUACAACAUAUGGCUAAAUGUGAGAGUAGGCGUGCAAGUAUAAUAAAUACCUACCAAGAUGUUUAUUAAUAACAUGUGUUUGAUACAUAAUUACAACACUUUGACCAAACAACCAAUGCUUAACUAUUUUCAAAACGUAUGGUCAUCUCGCUGCAAAUCCUUCAACCUUCUUCUCUACUUGGCCUAAACACCUCAUCUUGGAAGAUGAAUUUUUGAAAGAAUGUCUAAAAGACUAAGGUUUUAUGAAAUCCUUUUCGCAAUACCUUUUCAUAAACAUCAUUUCGCAUAAACAACAUCAAAUAAUUUUAUCUCGCAUAAACCUUUCUUUAUCCUUAACAUACUCAUAACAUAACAAUUUCACAUAAACACACAUUAGUUAACAUUCAUUCCUUUCACCAAGGAUUUUGAAUCGUUCUCUACACUUUGAUGUAGAACAUCUCCCUUCUUGAUGUUUCUUGAGUUUUAUCCUAGAGGAGGGGUUUGAAUUACCAUUUUUAUAGUUUAGGAUUAGUUAUUUGAAUUACCAAUUUUGUAUCUUGAGUUAGUUAUAACUAACUCAACCCCAAGUUAGUUUAACAACUCUUGUAAUCUCCAGCCUAUAAAAAAGCUUCUCAUUUUCAUUAAUAAGACAUAAAAAAAGAGGCAUUAUACAUAAAGAUUUCUAGCUUUGCAAUUACUGCAUCAAUUGGUAUCAGAGCGUGAUCCUAGCUCACUCUUCCCUAAAAAAACUUGGAUCCUACCACUCUUAUCCAUGGACGCGGAAGCCUCCUUCAACCAACGCUUGCAGUUGGUAGAACAAGCUAUUGAAGAACUUCGAAAAGGGCAGUCGAAUAUACAACAAUCGUUAGUAGAAUUAACAAACCUUUUUACCCGAUUUCAUGUCCAACCUUUAGAAGAAGCAAUUCAGCCCCCAAGAAACCCAAUUGCAGCAAACCAAGAAAGACAAGAAAAACCAAUAAACCCUGUUGUAAACCAAGAACUACUAAGAAAUCAACCUAUUCACAUCCACAAUAAUCGAUUGUAUGGAAACAACGUACUUGGAAAUUUCUUAAACGAUUCUGACUCUUCCGAUGAAGACAACUUGCUGAACAUUCAUCAAGAACCUCAACAAAGGCUUGGACUUCGACCAUACUUUCAAGAAGAUCAAGAAAUACGUAUGAAAGUGGAUCUCCCUACCUUCAAUGGUCAAAUGGACGUGGAGAAGUUUCUUGAUUGGAUCAAGAACGUAGAAAAUUUUUUCGACUAUGCCAAUACACCCGAACACAAGAAGGUUCGAUUAGUUGCUCUCAAACUUCAAGGUGGCGCAAGCGCUUGGUGGGAUCAAUUACAAAACAAUAGACGAUUAUUCGGUAAACAAUCUAAAGAUUAGCUGAAUAUCUUAUAAAAAGAUGUUGCCAUAGGCUUAGUGGUGACAGGUGAGAAAGUAAGCUGUGUCUUUUAUGACUCUUAAACGUUGAAGUCAAUCAAUGAGUUCCAAAUGCAAUAUUGGAAGUUUUCUUAAAUAUUUUGAUGCUUUUGCAUGUUGUGAAAGAACUUGGUUAGAUGUGAGAAAGGGGUUUACGAGAUUAGUUACUUACUAUUCCCUUUUUCACUGUCAUUGCUACUCAGUAGAUAUGCUAUGGGCUCGUGUUUCUGUAGAAUAUAAUUCAGAUGCUCUUUCUCUAGAAUAUAAUUUAAAUGUUCUCUCUACAAAUUUGAAGUAAUUUCUACUGUUUUUGCUAAUAAUUUAUAUAUUAUAGAGUUAAAUUUAACACAGUUAAUCAUCUUAAGCAUUUGACUCUGGUGUUCUUAAGAUAUAAAUUCAAAUCCCUAUAAUUUUAUCAUCUUGAUCUUUUCAAUCGUCUCACAUACCGUCUUCAUUUCAUAAUCUUGCCUACUAGCUGCGUAUCAUCAAUGAAAUUACCAUAGGAGUCCACAUGUGGUAAUUAUGGAUCUAGCACGAUAUACUGCGUAUCAUGUUGUUGGAGAUCAUUUUAAAUGAUUAACCAGUCUAUUGAUGGUUUGAGUCUUUCCUUUUGAAUCUAUAGGUUGUUCAAUGGUCUAAUAUUAACUAUGUUUAGAUUUAUGGUAAUUUUCAUUCUUUUACAGCCUUAAUAACCAAGGAAAGGUGUGCUUUGAUAAUCUUUUCUUUCUCUUCAGCAGGUUGGUAAUGUAGAAAGGAUACAUGUAUACUAUGCCCACGGACUAGAUAGCCCAACCUUUGUUCGCCGAUGUUAUUGGCUCCUAGAUAAGUAUGUUAUGGUUGAAAGAAAAUUGUUAAAUUGCUUGCUACCAGUUGUUUCAGUGGGGUCUAUCCCCAUCAUGCCACAAGCAAAGAAAAAUGAAAUUAGACAGUGGCAGUAUAUCGUGUUCUACUUAUAUAAUUUAUGACUUGCUUCUGCUUUUUGUUCAGGACCUUUGAACACAUUGUCCUUGUUCAUUAUCGUGAAACACAAGAGGUUAGGUUCAGCACAAUGCAUCUGCAGUUACUGAAAUAUUAUCUUGAGACAAACUUUUAUCAUUUGGACUACUACAUCUAUUUAAGAUUUGUUGAUUUUUCCUCCAUGGUUGCAAUAUUAGAACUUCAUCCAAAAUAAUGUUGUCAUGUGUGUCUUUAUGGUGAUUCAUGUGUUGAGAGUUCUCUUUCUUCUGCUAUCCAUAAAUUUAUGGAAUGGAAAGGCAAUGAUCAUGACACUAUUUUUUGUCAGAUAAACACUGGUUUCAUAUGCUUCAACUUUAUGGUGCUUCACAGCACACAGAUAAAACUUCCAAACAAUCUGCACCCAAUAUUACCAUAAUGCAUUUGGACACUUCAUUAACAACUUCUUACAAUUAGCCUUUCUAUAUUGAAAGUAAUUUGUUAUCUUAACUUCCUGUUGCUGCUAGUUUCAGAAUUUUCCAUCCACAUCGUUGAACUCAAAUUCUGGUUCUGUCUCUAACCCAUCAACUCCGUGGCUUUUAUCGGAGGAACUUGAUUCCAAGGCUACUCAUGUUUAUUCUCUUGGUGAAAAUGAAUUGUCAGGUGAUACUGGCCGAACCUGUCAAAAAUAAAUGAGUCAUAGUUUGUUUGAUCAUUCAUUUUCUAAUCUUUCUUCUUUAUAUUUAAUUAGUUGUUUAAUUUCUUAAAAAAGAAUUAUGGUUUAUUUAUAGUAUAUUUGGUAGUAUGCAUGCCUCAGCUUCUUUAAUGCAUGUCUCUUACAGUAUAUUUGGUAGUCUUUUAUAAUGUUACACCCUUUUUUUAAUUCCUAAUACCUUUUAACUUUCCAAAUUUUCAUUCUUUCUUUUAGAAAAUUAUUUUCAUUAUUUUUUUAUGGUUACAAAACCAUCCAUUAACUACAUUAAUUAGACAAUUCACUCCAAUAAUAAAUAAAUAACUUUUUUGGAUCUAAGGUCUUUUCUCAUUCUACAAAUUUAAUUUACUAUAUAAAGGUUAUUAUGCUAAUUGAAAAAUAUAUUUCUCUCAAGUAUGCAAUGACAGAAAAUUAGGUUAUAAAUAUAAAAAAAAAAAUUAGGUAUUAUAAUUUUUUUAAAAAAAUUAUAUUUUAAUUUUUUAAUAAAACCUUGCAUUUGGGGAUUCACAUGUUGUUACUUGUCGAACCAAAAAGGAUAAAUUCGCGAUGAAAACUCUUUAAAAACCCAAUUCGUGGAAGGAAAAAUUGAACUGUGGCGUUGAGUUAUUUUGUUGUUGAAGAAGAUCAGUAAAAAACCCACACCAUUAAAACUUCUUUUUGUUUCUUUAAGUAUAUUUUAGAUUGCAGCGUAUUUUCUAUUUGGGUUUAGUUAGGGUUUCUCUUGUUUAUUCCAAGAUAUGCAUGGAUAGUUCAUGUUCGACUAUUUGGAAAGAGGGAUUUAUGUAGCACGGGUAUUAUAUUCUGGUUUUGGAAGUGUCGAGAUAAAUUAAGGACUUUUUUAAUCUUCUUCAAACAAACCUAUACGAAGGUGAAGAAUAAUUUGUGCUUGUAUUUUAGUCGGAAUAAGAAGAAACAUGAAGAUAAUGCCCAGGAGGAAAAUAACCAUGAGAAAAAGUUGUGUAUUCCUCCAUCCAUAACUGAGCUCUCUAAUGUGUAUUCCUCCCUCCAUAACUGGCUUACUUUGGACUGUUUGGAUAGAAAGAAACAAUAGAAUUUUUAAGGAUAAAUCAAGGUUUAUUGUUUACUUGUGGAAAGACAUAUGUAACUUGAUCGGAGUUUGGUCUAGGCGUCAUUCAUCUUGUAACCAAUAUGAUGUUACUACCAACUCUUAACUUUAAGCUUUGUAAGAUUAGGUUGUUUCGGGCUUCCCUCUAGACUUCAACCUUGUAACUUUAACUCUAUGUUAAUAGAUAAUGACUCUUAUCCUAGGUUUAUCUUAGUUUGAAGGAUUCGGUUUCUUCUUCUUAAAAAAAAGUUGUAUUUCGACUACUAUUUGGGAGGAAAAUGUGCUUAACUAACUAAAAAUCUAAUGACACUUCCAAAACCAGUCAUUUCAAGAAAUGUUUCCUCAAUAAUAUAUUUAAUGCUCUUCCUUUAUAGAGUAAAACAGUAAAGCAACAAAACCAUUUUAAUUCAUUAUAUAUAUAUAUGUAGAUAUAUAUAUAUUUAUGUAUGUCAUUACUACAAAAAAGGCCUUUCUUGACGUUUGUUGUUUUUCUUUCUUGACAUUUUUUUUCAAAAAAACGUCAAGAAAGGAGUAGUUCCAAAGAUAAAACGUCAAGAAUUUUUACGAAAAGGCGGGGGUAGGUCAAUUUUCAGAUUUCUUGACAUUUAUUAAACAUCAACUAAUAUGUAUUUUUUCUUGGCGUUUUAAAAACGUCAAGAAAUAUCUAUAAAAAUUUUGACGUUUUUAAGAAUGUUUAUAUAUUCAACAUUCUUCAAAAUUUUCAAACGUCAAGUAAUAUGUACUUUUACUUGACAUUUUAAAAACGUCAAGAAAUAUCUUAAAAAUUCUUUAUGUUUUAAAACGUCAAGAAUUUUUAUAAAAAGCCAGAGAAGAGUUAUUUUUUAAAUUUCUUGAUGUUUUUUUAGACGUCAAGUAAGAUCGUUUUUCUUGACGUUUUGAAAACGUCAAGUGUUAUUAAAUAUAUAUAUAUAUAUAUAUAUAUAUAUAUAUAUAUAAAAGAAAAUAUUGGGUUGAAUCCUUCGUAGCCCUAGACUUGUCUCUACCGCAUUCGAAAAUGCCAAGUUCUUUCUGAGGAUCUCUAACUUCUGCCGUGUUCACCGUCCGUCCGUCCGCGUUCACCACGUCCGGGUUUAUCUAAUAUAUUUUUCCAAAUCUUAAAGAAGAACUUUUGAUUUCAUUGGAGUUUAUCAUUAGAGGCAUUACUAUAUUGGCUGCCUCUCAGUGGGCUAUAGGUUUUCCAAUGGUCAUUUGAGACUGGUUGAUAAUAGCAAAAGUUAGAGCUUGAGAAGAAGGAGCGAAGAAAGUAGUGAAGACAAAAGAAGAAAGAAAGCUGAGUGAAAAACGAAAAUUGACAAGGUAGAGAUGUGACAUGAAAAUGAUGAUGAGAAGUGAAGGAGGCACGACACAAUACUGGUACACAAUAACAAAGCCUUGAUAAUUAAAAAAAGGAUGGUGCCAAGAAAAUUUAAAUACAAAAAAAAUGAAGGUUCUUGCAAGUGUAUUGAGUGAAUGGGAGAAAGAAAGGAUAAAAAAGGUAGAAAGAGAGAAAGAGAAGUCAAGGGUAGAGAUACAUAGCUUUGUAUAUAGAAACUUUAUGUUUAUACUCCAUUAUACGUUGUGGAGAAUAUAACAUCCUGAUAUGUCUGAUUCAAUUUGAAUGAUGCAAUUAUUUAUUUUUCUGCAAUAAUUCUACUUCUAGAACCUAAAUCAUAUUGUUCACAUGAAAUGAUAAAAUAAUCAUUACACAUUUACAAGAACAAUAAAUAAAUUAUGUGAUUUUCGUGAGAAAAAUGAAGAAGAAAUAACUUCUAACAAAAGUAAAUAUAAAUUAAAGGAGAAUAUAAAAUUGUUGAAAAUAUUUAUUUUCAAUAAUUUGGAAGUUCUUUGGCUAUAUAUAAUGAAAGAGAGCCUUUCCAAGGUGUGAUGCCUGGCGUCAACAAUGACGCGCUUAGCACAGAUACGGAACCGGACACCAUCUUCUUGGUGUUUGUCUGUGCAAAAGCCUCGAGUGGCUAUGGUCUUCUUCUUCUCUGUGAGGGAAAUGGUUGAAGUUGCUAGACUAUUUCAAUUACUAUGUGAGAGGUGGCUGAAUUUUAUUGGACCUCUCUUCUUGAGCUUACUUUUUACAAUUGUUUAACAAUCUCUCUCCGAAUAUACCUUCGUCCCCUUAGCUGCUUUCCACUUUGGUAAAAUCGCCAAAGCUUUAUGUGUACAUUACAAGAGAGAGGAGCAGGGCAAAAUAAGGUUAUUGGAACAAGGCAAAAGUUAUCAUUGCUAGCUGCAACUUUCCUCAUUCUUUUCACCCUCCUUCAAACCAUAUUGUCUGCUAUGUAUGCAUUUCCUAGCUAGCCUUCCCCGGCAUAUUCUAUUUUAGCUUUUUUCCUCUACAGUUUCUGUUAUGUAUUUUUACUGAAUAUUGAUCUCCUUUUUGCUAUCAAGAUAGUAUACCAUACAUGCAUGUGUAGGACUUUAAUUUUAUCCCUUAUAUUUUAUAAUUUGUCUUACUACUGUUAUUGACUGAUAUACCAAUAUACAUGUGUAAAGUAUUGACCAUAUAAUUAAUAUUAAAUUUAUUACAUUCACUCAUCAAUUUAAGUUUUUUAGUCAAUGUAUGUUCAUGAUGUACCAUGGUCAUAUCAUAAUAGAAUAGAUCCAAGAUUAUAUAUGUUCAAACCAACUGGUGAUUUAAUUAUCAAAGAUAUUAUGAUUUUGUCCAGUUUUUUUUUUUUCAGUCACUACUAGAAAAAUGGAUUUUAAUCAAGACAUUGUGUCGUUGAAAAUAAAAGAAAAAAGAGGUGGGAUGAGGUACAUUGUGUUGUUGAAAAUAAAAAUAUGGAUUAUUUCUUAAAACAACCAUACACAAUUUAAUUUAUUUCAACACAAUUUUUGCGUCAUUAAUUAACGACAAUUUUUUUGUCAUUAAAAAAAUUUUCAAAUGAAAAAACCUCAAAUUUCAAAAAAAUUCGAAGUGGGCUACCGAGUCGUUAUGAAGAACCCUUGCCCUCCAAUUUUUUGCCACUUGCCGUCGUCGAUUCCACACUCCAACCACUGUUGUCGUUGCUCCCACAACAAGCCUUCGCCGUCAAACCCACCAAUCUAGCCACUUUCGUCGAAUAAAUUUAUUUAGAAAUAUAAGUUUUAAUGACACUUGAAAUCAAGAAAAAGGGAUAUGAGGGAAUAAAAUGUGUCGUUAAAAAUAAAAAUACAAAAUUUUUUGUGACACAAAUUGAGUUUUCUUGACAAAAUUUUGGCAUUGUAAAUAAUUGCAUAAAUUAUGUGUCAUUAAAAAUUACCCUAAUAAAAAAUCAAUGUUUUCCUUCAAUCAUACGUUUUUUGAUUUAAAACAAAUAAUUCGAAGCUUUCAUCCCACUUGUGAACAAUGACCGAAAAAAACCUUACUUCAUCCCACAUCGUCGUUGUCUUUAGCUCUCUCACAAAUGCUCUCUGGCGACGUUCCCCCCUCUCUCGCAAAUACUCUUCACGACUUUUCCUCUCUCUCAAAAUUAAGCUCUCCGCCCACCAUUUGAAGGAACUCACCAAAUUUGCAAGUAAUUGAAGAAUUCGUGGUCCAUGAGAUAGAUUAAGUCCAUUUAUGAGUUAGUUUGAUUAUAUUAUGUCACAUAUACAUGUAUUACAAUUAAGGGACACUUGCAAAAAUGGCAAAAUAAGUUAUAAUAAUUAAGUCCAUAGAACACAUACCUUAUUAUUUGAGAAAGUGACAAAAACAAAGACCAACUCACACAUCAAGAGGUAAAAUGUCAACAAAUGCCCUCGUUAUUGAUGUACAUUUGAUACACCUUAUACACGUCUGAUACACCUAAUACCUCUUGAUACAUUAAGUCCAUUUAUGAGUUAGUUUGAUUAGAUUAUGUCACAUAUACAUGUAUUACAAUUAAGUGACACUUGCGAAAAUGGCAAAAUAAGUUAUAAUAAUUAAGUCCAUAGAACACAUACUUUAUUAUUUGAGAAAAUGACAAAAACAAAGACCAACUCACACAUCAAGAGGUAAAAUGUCACAAAUGCCCUCGUUAUUGAUGUAUAUUUGAUACACCUUAUACACGUCUGAUACACCUAAUACCCCUUGAUACACUUGAUACUUCUUACUGAUACACUUGAUACAUUUGAUAAUACAAUUCAUGCACUCGGUACUCAUUGAUACACUCGAUACUUUUUGAUACACACUUGAAACAUCUUCAUACACAUAAUACUUCUCGUUCCACAUAAUACUUCUCGUUACACUUGAUUCUUCUUGAUACACUUGAUACCCCUGAGACGUUGAUACACUUGAUUAGUUUGAUACACUUAAAGACUUCACUUAUAAGUUUGAUACACGUAAUACACCACUAAUAAACUGUUUAUACUUCAUUGGUACACUUAACAAAUUUGAUAUGUUUGAUGUACAUGCACUACAAGAAAUUUACCCUUUGUCGAUGACAAAUAUCGUCAGUAAAUCUUCAAAAACUAAUCAACUUUUCUUUUGCCAACAAAAUUAAGCUGUCAACACACACCGUCACGUAGGUCUAUUGGAAGAUCCUCUAUCGAUGGCAAAAAAUAAACUGUCAGCAAAAAUAGGAACUAUUUUGAGAUAAGGUUUGUGCGUACACGUGUGUGCGUUUGUGCAUGUGUGUGUGCUUGUGUGCGUGUGGAUAGGUGUGUGUGUGAAUGCGUGCUCGUGUGCAUGUGUGUGUGCGUGGGUUCGUGCGUCUGUGGGUGUCUGUGUGUAGGUGUGCGUGUGUGUAAGUGUGCAUGUGUACGUGUGUGCGCAGUGCUUCUAUGCUUGUGUCCGAACAAGUUAAUAUUUUUUAAUGUUGAGUUUCUUCCAAUUUUAAAAUAAUAAUUUAAUUAUCUUGAUAUUUAAGGCAUUAAUGUUAUUUUGAGAUAAAGAUAGUGAACGGGUUGAUAUUUUUUAAUUUUGAAAUUCAAUUAAGGUUAUUUUAAUACAAAAUCUAUCGUUGAGACUCUCAAAUUCCGAAAAAUAAUAAUUUUGUUAUUUUGAAAUUCAAUUUUGUUAUUUUGAAAUUCAAAUUCAAUUAGGUUAUUUUGAAAUUAGUAUGAUUGAAUAAAGUUAUUAAUAUGUUGAAUUAAUUAGUUGAGUCUCGAGAUAUUAAGAAAAAUAUUAUGAUAUGAGUUGAUGUAUCUAUUUCAAGUAAAAGAUAAUUAAAAGCUGAGAAAUGCAUAACAUAAAUUAAUUACAAUGUAGAGACGAAAUAAUUACAGUUGAAGAAUAUUGAUAUUUUGGUAUUUUAUAAAAUACCAUGCACGUGCAAAAAAUGCUAGUUGCUAAAAUUCAAAGGAAAAAGUAGUUUUGUCAUUUUUCAAAAUGACCCCUAAAAACGUUGUUAUGUCUCUUAUGACAAAGAGUGUAGAUCUACUGAUCCAUAUUCGAUUUGUUUUUUGUUGGUAAAAUUGGAUAAGACCGCAUUAUAUUGAAAUAAUUACACGAAUGACACUUUUAAGCCAAUAUUGAUAGAAAUUAUAAUUUAAUCAAUGUUAUUAAGUCAAAUGAACAUGGUUUAAAACUCUUUCUAAACAUAAUUAAUGUAUUUGUUUUUUAACUUUAAUUAAUUUACACAUCUUUGUGCGUGCGUGUGCGUGCGUUGUGCACGUGUGCGCGUGUGCUUGUGUGCGAACAAGUUAAUAUUUUUUAAUUUUGAAAUUCAAUUAAAGUUAUUUUUUAUACAAAAUCUAUCGUUGAGAUUCUCAAAUUUCGAAAAAUAAUAAUUUUGUUAUUUUGAAAUUGAAAUUUAAUUAGGUUAUUUUGAAAUUAGUAAGAUUGAAUAAAAUUAAAAUCUUGAAUCAAUUAGUUGAGUCCCAAGAUAUUAAGAAAAAAGGAUGUAUCUUUUUCAGGUAAAAAAUAAUUAAAAGCUAAUAAAUGCAUAACAUAAAUUAAUUACAACGUAGAAACGAAAUAAUUACUGUUUGAGAAGGUGAAUAUUUUGGUAUUAUAAAAUAUCAUGUACACGUGUAAAAAAUUCUAUUUGCUAAAAUUUAAAAGAAAAAGUAGUUUUGCCAUUUUUCAAAAUGACCCAUAAAAACGUUGCUAUAUCUCUUAUGACAAAGAGUGUCAUCUACUGGUACAUAUUCGACUUGUUUUUUGUUCGUAAAAUUGGAUAAGACUGCAUUAUAUUGAAAUAAUUACACUAAUGACACUUUCAAACCAAUAUUGAUAGAAAUUAUAAUUUAAUUAACGUUAUUAAGUCAAAUGAACAUGGUUUAAAAGUCUUUCUAAACAUAAUUAUUGUAGUUUUUUUUAAUUUUAAUUCAUUUAUACAUCUUUGUGCAUAUGUGCGUGUGUGCGUGCGUGUGCGUGAGUGCGUACGUGUGUGUGUAUGCGCGUGUCCACGUGUGCGUGGGUGUGUGUGUCUACGUGUGCGUGGGUGUGAGUGUCCACGUGUGCGCUUUUGUGCGUGUGCGUGUGCGUGUGUGUGCGUGUGUGUGCGUAUACGCGCGUGUGCGUGUGUACGUGAGUGGGCGUGUGCGCUUUUUGUGCUUUUCUUCCAAUUUUAAAAUAAUAAUUUAAUUAUGUUGAUAUUCAAGUCAUUAAAAUUAUUUUAAGAUAAGGUUAUUUUAAUAUAAAAUCUCCGUUCUAAAUAAACACAAUCCAGAUCAGUGCCACUGAACACAGGCAUUUCAACCUUCUUGAAUUUGCUAUGAUCGUUCGAGUUUUCAUCCAUUUCAAACUUGUUUGUUUUACCUUCUACCUUGAUUUCCUUCAAUGUCUUACCUCCACCUUCGAUGAUACUCUCAAUCGUUUGUCCUUUGCUCGAUGAUCCUUCCAUUCUUCCGGAGAUUGUCGAAUUAUCCUUCUGCUAUUCAUUUGAUGCAUUUAGCAACCGUUCUUGUUUUUCUAACUAGAUGACUAGUCUUUCGAUGCUUUUUGGCAAGAAUAACAAGUUUUCUUCAAUUGCCAGCAACUUGUGUAACUGAACUUGUAUCCCUGAGAUUUCCUUAUCAGAGGUCUCCAACUUCUCUUCGAUCCGUUUUUUGUGCUGCUCUAUCGUUCUCCCAAGUAAAAUCGCUCUGAUACCAAUUUGUUAAGAUACUGUAAAUAUACGGCAAGUGCAUCUUACUUUAUUGAAUUACCUCAACGAAUUACAGUAUAGAGAAUAAAAAAUCACUCACAUCUACUUCCUAAAGGCACACUCCAGUGAGGAUCACAACAAAGAACAAGAAAAACUAAGAACAAACUGCAACCAUGAAAAUGACCAAAACAAACAAUAAAAAGAACUUGACUUGGACCCUCUACUUCUCCCGAGCAUGAAAGAGGGCAGCCUCUACUUCUUUGGAAUAUUUUGUCCCCUUUCUCCCUCCUCUUUCCUCCCUUUUUAUUUUUCUUUACUAACAAACUAAUGGGAAAGAUCUCCUCCAAUAUUCUCUCCUCCUAUAAUCUCUCAUAUAUUCUCGUGUGGGUCAAUAUUACCCUUUUUAAUUCUUCUACUGUAUUUAAAUAAUAUUGGAGACAUAUGCUUCCUAACAAGAACAAGAUCUGAAUUUAUUAUAAUGUAACUAUAAGAAAAUACAAGAUAAAACCAAGUAUAAAGCAUUAGAACCCUCCCUCUUGAGUACUCUCACCCAAGCCUUAUAUCACUCCCCAGAAUUCUCCCCACCACCCUAGUUACCACACUUACAUAAUAACUACUAGUAACCACACUUACACAAUAACUUCCUAAAUAUCUAAUUACCCUUAUACCCCAACCCUAUACAUAAUCUAGGUAUCUAACAAAUUCCAUAACAUAAUGUAUUAGGGGAAGAAGGAAAUCGAGGAUAAAAAACACUAGCUAGCCAACAAAUAUCUUUCAUUAGUGAGCUUGAGCCAUUUUACACGUAAAAUGGGAAAAGUAAGCCUGCAACCCAAAUUAGCCUAAUGGUUGUCUUAACAACCACUACCCACCAUCAUGAUAGAAACAACUGAAAAGGAAGAGCAUGAUACAAUCCAACUCAAAUAUAAGAAUUGAUUUUGAUGUUUAACUAAAAGUAAACAGGCAGUAGAAUAAGAAACUAUGCCCUUUUAGAUCUAGAAGGUUCACAACAAUUUCCAGCCUAAACACAACUACGAGCCAAUGGAAGAAUAACGGCAAAGCCCUUGUGUGCAUGGAAUCGCUAACUUUGGUGCAAAUGAGAUGAUUAUCGGUAUUCAAAGGCCAAAAGGACACAUAGAAGAGUGUUCGUCUAAGGUUGGAAGACUAACCUUGAAAAGAGAGCAAUACAAAAAUUUAGAGUUUUCCGCACUUUUCCUGUAAUGACAUGAGUGCUUGUACUCCCAUAAGCAGUGAGAGAACCACCAAGCUCCUCAAUCAUCUAAAUCAGAAAACAAAUGCACAUUAGAGCAGUCACAAUUUGGAAUAAAUAGAACUUUUUAUUGUUAGAAUCUUAGAAUAUUUACGAAAAGUUUAUGGGAAUAUUUUUCUUAAUUCCUAAAUAUUUUCCUUUUUUAUUCCUCUGUAUAUUCUAUUUAUUCUCCCUUGUACCUAUUGUAUUUUUCAUCAGAAAAUAAUAAGAAGAAAAAUAUAGUGGUUUUUCUCCUGAUACACAGGUUUCCACGUAAAGUUGUGUGUUUGUUUGUCUCCCUUUCAAUAUGGUAUCCGAGCAGGUGGUCCAAAAAGGUCUUGUCUUGUCGUUUCCUCCCUAAUUAAAAUCCAUUUCCAGUUGUUGGGCCUUUCAAAUAUUUCAAGCCCACAAGUGAGGAGAGUGUUGGUGAUAUAUAAUUGAAUUUUCUUUCUUUUUUUAAAAAAGGAUACGAGUCUCACUAUUAUUAAUAUAAAGAAAGAGACAAAGCUCAAUGUACAUGAGGAUUAUACAAAGAGCAAAAGGGGAGAGGGAAGAUCAAUAGGCGCAUCCGGACAUCUCAAACUAGGUUGACACCCCCUUAGUGCCCUCAAAACAUCCAAAAAGCGACAACACAAGAUCAAAACAAAAAGCCACAAAAACAAAGACAAACAAAAUGAUAAAAAGAAUCUUUCCAAAGAAAAAUCAUAAUCAAAGGCAGCAUGCUGAGAAAUGCAUUAUAUAGGGUAUCGUUGCCUGCAAGGAUAAAAAAUCAUCUAGUAGCUCAUGUGAGCAACUUGAAACCUUACCAUCAAGAUCCAGAUGACCAGUAGUGCAACAAUGGUGUAUGGUCAUCUAGUGACCUAAAGCAGAAAGACGAUAAAGAAAUGGAAGAAAUCGUUCCUAAGAGAGUGAGGAAGGGUAUACCCAUGAAGAGGAUACAUGAAUUCCUACUGAAGUGAAAGAACCUCCAUGCGGAAGAAACACGUUAGGAAUGUGCUGAAGGGUAUACCCAGUCGACAGGGACGCCAAUUGUUUAAGAGCGGGAGAAUGUAACAAGCAUGCUUGUCCAGGGCGCUGUUUGCUUAUGGCCGCAUGCCCAAACACCCAAAAUUUACAUUGUUUUUAUGUAUAAUCAUUUAGUUUUACUUUUUACUUUCCCUUUUAUGUCAUAAACCUUGGGUGUGAUUUGGCUUUUUCUUAUGCAAGCCUACCAGAACUAAAAAAGUCUAAAAUGUACUAUAGAUGGGACAUAGUAGUUGAAUCCCUGCCCAAGCCUUGUUGCACUCUUCGCAAUCAAAGUUUUUCUUUGCAAUUGACAAUCUUCAAUGCUUGCUUUAACGAUAUUUUCAUUGAAUUUCUUUCUCCUCACGUUUUAUAAAACAUUUUCUCAAGAACGUGAAGAGAGGCUACAUCGUAUCAUGUGUUUGUCCGUGGUUUUUGGAUUUUGAUCAGCUAACUUGUUGUCUACGUAAAACAAGUGCAACAUAAUCGCUCCUCUCGUGUUUGAAAGCUCGCGAUUGUGACACAAGAAAUGCACUAGCCAAGAAUGCACACGAGGAGGGCUACACGAAAUGCCAAGCACGCAACCAAGUGAGGUUCACAAUGUGCUUGUGUGUGAGGUUAGCACGCGGGCAUGCCCAACGCGCGUGAAAAGCCUCUUGUGAGAUUCACACACACUAGCCAGCGCCCAACCAAGGCCCUGCCGCGCACCCAUUCGUGUCAGGCAGUGUCAUAUUGCGUGUUGAGCUAUUUUUGGUAAUUUUUUGAGUUUUUUAAGUAUACUUUUGAUAUUUUCUUGGCAAAAGAUAAUUAAUUGUACUAUUUUACCAUUAUUUCAGGACAUGAGAAGAUCAUACAAAUUUAUAAACCAAGGAUUUGAGCUUGUAUCUUUGAGUGGAAAAUGUUUUAUUUAAAGUGAUUUCAAGCAUGUUCUUAAGUCAUGAUUUAUGACGGAUUUAUGCUAAAAUGUUUAAGUUAUGUUAUGAAAAGUCUUUCAAGCGUGUUAUUGUUUAAAGGUAUUUAUUCAAGCAUAUUUUUUACUCUUCAAAAUGCAUAAUAUUCAAAAUGUUUUCCCACUUUCUAGGUAGAGAUCGUGUCCUCUAAGCCUAACUUGAACCUGUCUACUAAAGGAUUUCAUUUUGUUAUCGUAUGUGUCCUGUUAUUUUGUACUAAUGGUAAAUUAGUCUUUUGUGCUAUCAGACUUACGCUUUUGGAAAGGUUUUAUAAGGUUUUGUUCUAGAUAAAUAAGAUUACGUUUUUUCUAUGUAAAACUUGUCUAAGGUUGUUAAAUGAAAAAGGUUUAGCCCAAUUGGUUUUAGUAAAACUUAUGUGUUAUGUUUCCGCUGUUGUUUAGAAUUUAAAGGUUCAGGCUAAGGGUCAGAUAGUGUCGUUCUUGACGUGGGUGCUAUCGAUUGGCUUCACGCCAUAUCUCGAGCCACGCAAGUAGGUGCUCGUGGUGGGGUGUGAUAGCCUAAGUUGGCUUAUUAACGGUUAAAAUGUAAACAUGUCCAUAACAAAAUAGUUGGGCAAGGCCCAUGUGGACCGACUGGUAAAGGUUGAAGAGCAAAUGCUCUACCUAAUGAAAGUUCCUAACUCAAUUCGCUUCUCGGAAACCCGCCUUGAAGAAAUUUUUUAGAAAGCUGAUGCUAUUAAUUAAACCACCACCCAAAAUCUUAAGCUAGUGAUUAAAAGUAAAUUUAAUUAUAUAUCACUAACAAUCCCCCACUUAUGGGUUCGAAAUAUCUAAAAGGUCCAACAAGUGAAAAUCAAUUUUAAUUGGGAAGGAAACACCAAUACAGGGACUUGAACAUAAGACCUUUUGAACCACCUGCUCUAAUACCAUAUUAAACCCCAAAUUCACCCAAAAGCUUAAGCUAGUGGUUGAAGGUAAAUUUAAUUAUAUAUUACCAAAGUAUGAGGUUUCAUCACAAUACCAAUUGGCAAUGAGAGGAGUAGCUCAUCUAUUUUAUAAAGAGUCUAAGUUUCCUUGGUUUUUCAAUUGUGGGAACAUGCCCCUUCAAGAUGGUGCCUCUUUGGUUUCACCUAUCUUGAACCAAAUAUCCGUUUAGGCUUAAUGAGCUCUAAUACCAUAUUGAAAGCAAUAUAUACGAAACCAAAGCUUAAGUGAAAACGUAAGAAUCGAAAGAAAAGCAUUGUGUUUGUAGUUUUAUUAUUUUUAUGAUAAUUACAGACGUACAAUUGGUGGUUUAAUAUAUAUCACUAACACUAUUGCUGCAAUGAUCGAUCAUCUCGAUGGAUUACCCAUUUAAGAGUUGUUGACAAGAGUUGACACUCUAGAAUCAAAAGUUGUAAGAACUAGAUGUUGUAAUAAAUGUCCUAAAACUCGUUGUAAUCAUAAUCUAUUCAUUAAAGUCGUUAUUGAUACUAUAAUCUUAAAGCCAAUAAACUAAGGACCCGAAGUUAUUAUUAAGUAAACUUGAACUUUAUGUAGAGACAUAAAAGUUGAUCAAGUUUAAGUAUAGAGCCUAAAUAGUAUAGAUUGUACGAAUACAGUUAGGCACCUUAUUCCAGGACAAUGAAUGCAGUCUGCUUUGUAUUUAGUAUAAACGAUGUGAUCCUAAAUCCUAGAGACAUGAAAGUGUGGACAUCCUAUGUAAAGAGUUUACAAAAGACUAGAACCAUGAAAUAGUCACUUUUAAGUUAUGACACCGUUAACUUUGAAAAACUUACUAUUUCAUUGAUAGAUAUCAAAUAUAACUUAAUCUUAAUACUGAGCUAACUAUAAGCUUCUGUUCUCACCAGCAUGCUUGUUUAAGGCGUUGUUUAUCUAUGGCCACAUGCCCAAAUACCCCCAAAUCACCUUUUCUUUAUGCCUUGUAUUUAGUUUAGUCUAUUGCUUUUCUUUUUAUGUCAUAGACCUAGGGUGUGAGGUGUCACACAUUUUCAUUUGCAAACCUGUCAAAGCUCAAAAAGUCUAAAUUGUACUAUAGAAGAGACCCAAUAGUUGAAUCCCCAACCAUGUCUUAUCGUAUUCUUUAUAAUCAAAUUUUUAUUUGCAAUUGAAAGUCUUCAACGCUUUCUUUAAUGAUGUUUUUAAUGAUAUUCUCUCUCACAUUUUAUAAAAUAAUUUUUUCAAGAACGGGAAGGGAGGUUAUAUCAUAUCGUGAGUUUGUUCGUGAUUUUUGGAUUUUACAUUACUGACUUAUUGACUGAGCAAAACAAGUCCUCUACAAUUGUCCGUUCCAUGUUUGAAAGAUUGUGAUUGUGGCACGCAGAGUGUCACAAGUGUGCUUGUCCAAUGCAUUAUUUGCCUAUGGUCGUAUGCUCGUAUAUCCUCAAACCACUUUAUCUUUAUGCUUUGUACUUAGUUUAGUCAACUGCUUUCCUUUUGUUGUCACCGACCUAAGGUGCGUCGUUUCGCAAUUUUCAUAUGCAAUGUUGUCAAUGCUAAAAAAGUUUAAGAUGUAUUGUAGGGGAGGCAUGGUAGUUGAAUCCCCAACUAAGCCCUAUUGUGAUUUUUGCAAAUCUAAGCUUUCUUUGCAAUUGACAAUAUUCAAUUUUUUCUUUAAGGAUGUUAUCAAUGUUUUUCUUUAUCUCUCACGUUUUAUACAACCAAUUUCUCUCAAAAGAUGAAGCGAGGCUACAUCGUACCAUGAGUUUAUCCGCAACUUUCAAAUUUCACAAGGUUGCCUUGUUCAUCAAUUUAGAACAAGUGUUGCACAAUCGCCCGUCCCGUAUUUGAAAAGUUGCAUUUUGUGACAAGUGGUAUUAAAGCUUUCUUAGCUCCUUGGCUAAGCGAGAUGCAAUUAUGUCGACAAUGAAACAACUAUCAAAGUUGCAAUCUGAGCGACUGACUGAGAUUGAAGAGGAAUUCUUGGAUAUGAAAGAAUUGUCAAAGGAAGUAAGAUUUCUCCAGACCUAACUUGAGAUGUUUAAAGAAAAAGUCAGAGAAAUAGACGCAUUGAAUGCCUAAAUAGACAAACUACCCAUAAAUGAAUUGGCGUUGAGGGUUGAUUCGUUAGAACAUAAAACCACCAAAGUAGGUAGUUUUAAACGUGGAAGUAGCUCUUCAAGUUCUAUCGCACAAAUGGAAGAGCGUGUCGAAGAGUUUGACUUUUGACAAGCUCCAACAUAAUCAGUUAUAUUUCAAGAAAGAGAAAAGUGUUUUUGCUAAAUAGCAUAUCAAUUUUCUGGGUCACAUCAUCGAAUGUAGAAAGAUUUGAAUGGAUGAACAUAAGUUGUGAGCUAUUAAGGAGUGGAGAGCCCCCACUUCCGUGAAAGAGUUACGUUUCAUCCUUCAAUAUAUUCUAAAAUAGGGUUCACCUACUAUCCUCUAGACUCAGUACCGAGAGAAAGAAAUAGAUGGAAAAAGAAAUGGGCUUGGUAAUUUUUUUUUCUAUGUAAAUAAGAAAAAGAAAUCCAAUUUGGUACAAGAGCCCAAAUUCAAUAGCCAGCCCAUCAAAUGAGGUCAACGACCCUAUUUAUAAGGAUUUUCCAUGCAAAAUUGCAUGUCCAUGGAAUACUAAAGCCCAACAACUCAAAGCUCUAUUUCUAAUAUGAAAUUCGAUGGCUAUAACACAUAUACUUGUCAGUUUCUCUCUCUUCUCCAAUUCGAACAAUUCGACUUAUUUUAUUUAUUCCAUCACACUGUUUUAAGUUUAUUCCAUAUGAGCUAGCAAGGGAAACUAAUGGACCUAUAUAUCAUGGACUCUAAUGAUUCAAGAUUAAUUGACUAAAUUCUUAUAGACUAAGUUAAUCAACAUUCGUUAACUAACGGGUCAUUCAUGUAUGUACUGGAACGAUUCAGAAUCACCUCGUUUGUACUAACUACAAAUCGGGCGACAUCCACAGUUUCUCUGAAAAAAUCUGGGUUACUACAACGUCACCACGAUGUACAAUUUUCCUGAUAAGAUGGUACUUACGUUCGAUAUGUAUUCCCCGUUUACGGCUUUUAGGUUCUCUUGAAUUUGCAACUGCACCACUGUUGUGACAGUAUAAAGUGAUUGAUAGAUGCAUAUUUGGAACGACUUUCAGAUCUGUCAAGAAUUUUCUUAGCCAUAAUGCUUCUGUUGUUGCUUCAAAAGUUGCUACGUAUUCUACCUUCAUUGUGGAAUCAACUAUACAAGUUUGUUUUAUGCUUCUCCAAACUACUACUCUUCUAUUUAGAGUGAAUACUAAUCCUGAUGUAGACUUUCUAGCAUCUUUAUCAGUUUGAAAAUCAUAAUGAGUGUAUCCACUAAGGAUCAAAUCUUUUGUACCAUACACGAAAAUGUAGUGUUUUUUUCUUCAAAUAUAUUUUAGAACAUUCUUAACGGUUGUCCAGUGAUCACAUCCAAGAUUGGACUGAUACAUACUGACCAUCCCUACUAAUUAACAAAUGUCAGAUCUAGUACACAACAUUGCAUAUAUCAAACUUCCAACAGCGGAAGAAUAGGAACAUUUUCUCAUAUCCUCAAUUUCUUGAGGUGUCUUAGGACAUUGUUCCUUUGACAAAUGAAUUUCGUAGAUGUAUAAUAGCAUACCCUUUUUGGAAUUCUACAUUUUAUAUCUAGACAACAUUUUGUCUAUAUAAGAUGCUUGAGACAUGGCUAGUGUUUUGUUCUUGCAGUUCUGUACAAUUUGGAUCUUAAGAACGUAUUGUGCAUUUCCCAGAACUUUCAUUUGAAAUUGCAUAGCUAGCCAUUUCUUGAUAUUAGUAUGAAAUCCUAUGUCCUUUUCCAAUAAGUAGAAUAUCAUCUACAUACAAGACUAAGAAUACUACAAUGGAAUUGACGACCUUUUUUGUAAACAUAAGGUUCGUCAACCUUUUGUAUCAAAGCCAUAAGAUUUGAUCAUAGUAUCAAAUCUUAUAUUCCAGGAUCUAGAUGUUUGUUUUAAUCCAUAAAUGGAUUUUUGAAUCUUACAAACCUUUUGUUAUUGAUCUUGAUCUAUAAACUCCUCUAAUUGAGUAAUAUAGAUACUCUCUUCAAGAUUGUCAUUCAAAAAAAGUUGUCUUGACAUCCAUCUGCCAAAUUUCAUAAUCAUAAAACGUGGCGAUGCAUAAGACUAUUCUAAUUGACUUUAGCAUGGCAAAGAUAGAGAAACUUUCUUCAUAGUCUAUGUUAGAAAGUGACAUGCGCAGUGGAAAAAUGGAAUACAAAAUUACCCUAAUUGCACCUAUUUAACUUGCAACCCUAAAUUAAAAGAAUUAGGGUUUAGGAAAUAUUAUACCUUUGUAUCUAUUGGAAUAUGAACGUCUAUACCUCUCACAAAAUUCCAAAAGUUUUUGAAACCAAAAUGUAACACCUUAAACUUAGGAUUUGGAAUUCGUAUCUCCAGCAUUCUCUGCAUCCCCUGCGACCUGGCAGCAUCAUCCUUACUAUUCUUAAAAACUUAUUAGAAUGAAAUUCCUCUUCACAAACCAACACGAAAUCUUUCAUCAUGCUUUUCCUCACUCACAUAUAUCCUAGGAAAAUUUCCAAGAGGUCACCCAACAUAGAAUUUCUUCAAGCUAAGCAAGCUUAACUAUGAAGUCCCUAUAAUCGAGCCACCGAAAAAAAAAGGUUCACAUUGUUGGUAUAGGUAAUAAGUUUCAAUUCUUUUAAGUCUUUCUUAACAUGACUUUCAUGUCCUCAAGGUGCACCUUGUCGGUAUACUUGUCGAUUUCUCUCUCUUCUCUCAAUUCGAACAAUUCGACUUAUUCCAUCACAAUGUUCUAAGUUUAUUCCAUAUGAACUAGCAGGGAAACCUAAUGGACUUAUAUAUCAUGGGCUCCAGCGAUUCAAGAUUAACUUGUUAAACUCUUUUAGACCGAGUUAAUCAACAUUCGUAAACUAACGGGUCAUUCCACUAAAGUCCCGCAGUUGCACUCCCCUCACUAUAGAUAUAUUCUUGUCCAUUUAAUAUAACCAUGAUCAAUAAGUUAAUCCUUCACAUGUUAUUCGUAACCUCGAAUGGAUCAAAUUACUGUUUUAUCCUUGAGACUACAUCUUAUUUCUUAAGUUUCAUUGAUCCACUAUUGAACAAUUGGUUUAAGGUCCAACCUAUAAACUUAAUCCCUCUCGGGCUAAUGUGAGGGUGGGGCCCCUUGUUCAAGACUUGGAUUCAGUGCUUAAGAGAACAACCUAUCUACUAACCCUAAACAGGUAGAAGUGAAUUUUGUCUUGCAUCCUAUGUUCCUAGCCAUUCAUCUGAUCUUACCCUUGAAAUAGGAGGCUUAUUGGGAGAACGUUGAUGAGAUACCCUCACCUAUGCAUAUGUAACCCUAAAACAAGUAGAAGUGAAUUCAGUCUUAUGUAAGUACUUUACAGUGCUUAAGAGAACAACCUAUCUACUAACCCUAAAACAGAUAGAAGUGAAUUCAGUCUUAUGUAAGUACUUUAUAGUGUUUAAGAGAACAACCUAUCUACUAACCCUAAAACAGGUAGAAGUGAAUUAUGUCUUGCAUCCUAUGUUCCCAGCCAUUCAUCCGAUCUUACCCUUGAAAUGAGAGGCUUAUUGGGAGAACGUUGAUGAGAUAUCCUCACCUAUGCAAAUGUAAGGAUAAUCUCAUGUGAACAGGAGUUCAUAGUUAGCUUAGGAUUAAGAUUAAGCUACCUAAGUCAUCAAUAAACGAAAUAGUCAGUUCUAAACAGUAAACGGUGUUAUAACGUAAAAGUGACUAUUUCAUGGAUCAGUUUUAUGUAAGUACUUUACAUAGGAUGCCCCCACUUUCAUGUCUCUACAUGAACAAUUUAGGAUCACCUCGUUUGUACUAAUUACAAAGCGGGUCACAUCCGUAGUUUCUCUAAAUAAGGCACUAUAGACUAUUUAGGCUAUACACUCGAACUUGAUCCACGUUUAUGUCUCGACAUAAAGUUCAAAUGUAUUAAAAAAUAGCAUUAAGACUUAGUUUAUUGGAUUUAAGAUUAUAAUUUUAAAUUUUUCAAUAACGAUUUUAUUGAACUGAAUAUGAUAACAAACUACGAGUUUUAGGACAUAAAAUCCCAACAUAUGUAUUUUUGCCUCUAAUAAUAAUGUUGAAAGAUGUUUGUUGUGGUUUCAUAUAGGUGAUAUCUCUUCUGGUUGGACAUAGUUAGGUUUCGUAAUGGGUGACUUUAACGAUAUCAAAAUGCAUUUUGAGGCUUUUGAUAGGUCUUCUGUUCCUAUGGAUAUGGAGGAGUUCGAUAUGGCUAUUUGCAAGGCUUAUUUAGUUGAACCUACAGUACAGGGUAACUGGUUCACCUGGACUAGAAAGGUUCAUGGGUCUGGUUUGAUAAAAUGGUUUAAUCGUAUUCUGGUUAAUGGUGUUGGAUUACUGCAUGGCCUUCGGGUAUUUCUGAUCACUCCCCUCUUAUUUUAUCCCAACUUUUAGCAGAGACAGUGGGUAGUUUCUUUUUGUUUCUUCAACCAUUGGGUUGAGGAUUCUUUGUUUAUUGAUGUUGUCUCUUUGAUUUGGAGUCGCCAUGUAGGAGUUUCUCUGAUUGUGAGUUUCGUGAGAAAUUUACAUAACCACAAGCCUACCCUCCAUAGACAGUUUGGUAAGCACAUUCAGACCUAAGUGAGGAGGUUCGUAUUGCUAAAGAGUCCAUGGAUAAAGCUCAGAGAAAGGUUGGGCAAAAUCCUAUGUCUGAUGUUUUGAGUCGCCAAGCAGGUCUUGCCAUUGAGGCCUUUUGGACGGCUGUUAGAUUGGAGGAAGCCUUCAUGUGUUAGAAGUCCAAGAGGUUUGUGAGUUGCCUUAGAACUUGUGUUACCUCCUCGAUGUUCUCCAUUAUGAUUAAUGGCUCUUUCAAGGGUUUUUUAAUGGGAGGAAAGGUUUGGGUAGAGUGAUCCUUUAUCUCCUUUCCUUUUUAUCAUGGUGAUGGAGGUCCUCUCUCGUAUGUUGAAUCGGCCUCCUCCGAGCUAUCAGUUUCACAGGCAUUGUGAGAAGGUUAGCUUAACUCAUCUAACCUUUGCUAAUGAUCUUAUGAUUUUUUGUGCUGCUGAUGAUUCCUCUCUGAGUUUUAUUAACGAGACUAUUAGAAAGUUUGGUGAUCUCUCGGGGCUAUUUACUAAUCUUAGUAAAAUUUCUAUGUUUGUUGUAGGGGUUAAUAGUGAUGAUGUUUAUCGUUUGACUACCAGUUUGGGUUUUGUUCUCAGGCAUCUCCCUGUUCGUUAUCUUGGGCUUCCUUUACUUUCUGGGAGGUUACGACCUACUGAUUGUGCUCUCUUAUUCAACGUAUUACUAGUCAGAUUCAUUCUUGGUUUGCUAGAGUUUUAUCAUUUGCAGGUAGAUUGCAACUGGUUUGAUAUGUGCUUGAUAAUCUUCAGGUUUACUAGGCUAACGUGUUUGUGCUGCCUGUGAGUGUGCAUCAUGAGGUUGAUAAAAUCUUGAGGUCUUAUCUUUGGAGGGGUAAGGAGGAAGGUAGAGGAGGUGUUAAGGUGGCGUGGGCUGAGGUGUGUUCCUUUUGAGGAGGGUGGUCUUGCUAUUCUUGAUGGGUCUUCUUAGAAUGUUGUGAGUACUAUGAAGAAUCUUUGGUUGUUGCUGACUAGUUCGAGUUUUCUAUGGGUUGCUUGGGUGGAGGCAUAUGUUCAUAAAGGAAGGUCAUUGUGGGAGGUCGAUUCUUGUGUUGGUCGGUCUUGGUGUCUUUGCGCUAUCAUGUGUAAACGAGAUAGUCUAAAAGAGCAUGUUCAGAUGGAGGUUGGGGAUGGUAGGCAUUGUAAACUGUGCCUGGAUCCGUUGUUGCAGGGUGGUCCUAUCCUUCAACAAGUUGGUGAGAGAGCGCUUUAUAAUGUAACGAGUAGAUAGGAGGCUAGGCUCUCUAAGUUUAUUGGUUCGAAAGGGGAGUGGAGGUGGUCGAGGGUGUCUUUGGAUUUGAUUAAUUUAUGGGAUAGGGUUCAAGUUGUAAGUUCGUGUCCUAAUGUUGGUGAUAGGUGGGUUUGGGUUCUUGGUCGUCAUAGUGGUUUUUUGAUUGCUAGUGCAUGGGAUACUAUUCAUCCUCGUAGUGUUAAGGUUCGUUGGACAGGUUUCUUGUGGGGUGGGGAUUGAGAGUCUCGUUAUCAUUUGUUUUUUCAUGUCCUUUUGGUUGUGAUAUUUAGUCUCGGGUCCUUUAGGUUAUGGCUUCCUCUCACAGGAUUGGGUAUUGGGGGGUUGAGUUGUUUAGGGUUUGUCAUUAGAGUAUUGGUAAGGGUGUGAGAAGGAAGUUGUGGUAUGUUCUCUGGUGUGCUACGAUUUAUUUUAUGUGAAAGGAGCAUAAUCAUUGUCUCCAUGGUGGUCAAGCUCGUGAGCUCAUUGUUCUGUUUCAGCUUAUUCCAUCUUGUAUCAGUGCUCGUGUUGUUUAUUUGCGUGAGGAUGCUCAUGGUAUUAUUUAGCUUGUUUUCUUUUGAUUUUUGUUUUAUCUGCUUGUUCUCGGGCUGUGGGGUUGUUUGGACUUUUUAUGUUUUUGUUGCUCUUAAUUUUGUUGGGUUUAUUAUUGUUCUUUCUUUUGAUACUUUGGAUUCUUCCUGUUUUUGUGAGCAUUGUCCGCUCUUGUGAGGUCAUCCUUGUUGUAUUAUGAUAUUAACUUUUCAAGAAAAAAAAAAAGAUAAUGCAAUUCAACUUUAGAUAGAAACAUGAUUCGAAUUUUCAUUUCAAGAAAAUACAAGGGGACAGAACUCAAGGAUUAUGUGGAUCACAAAACUUGAAUUACUAGAAUCUAAAUUUCCAUAUGUUAGAUAUCAUUAGAAGCAGUUAGACCAAAAGUUAAUUAUCAAUAUGUUAGUUCACAGGAACUGCAUAAUCAAGCACAUAAACAUCCACAUUGUCAUUCAUUGUAGGCAGCUUUGAUACACAAAAAAUAUGGAUAUUUUCAGAAGUUCAAGCAUACACAAAAAACAUAUCCUUGUCAGAAAAUAGCCAACUAAGAAAGAGAAGUUCAAGAUUUAUAUACAAAGUGCAGCUGCAAAAGGACAAGCAAGAUGCCAGAAUCUAUAUAUUAUGCAGUCGGAUAUUAAUUGGCAAGUACUAACAGCAAAGGUACCAAAAUAAAACCGUAUCAAUUUAUCUUGUCUAAAACUAAACAGUAUAUGUAAAUCUUGCAAACAAACAAGUUUUUUGAAUCAAAACUGCCAAAAGAUUUUGAUUCAAGUGAUAUGUGGAUUGUGAUCUUUUGUGUCACCCAUCCAUUCCUCUGUUUUAACCAUUUAAAUCAAUAAAUAAUUUUAUGUUCAAACAUAAGUUGGACAACCUUUGUUAAAGAACUGCUUCCCAAAACAAAUAGCAUUAACCACCCUUUUUUAAUUCAACACAUGGGAAUAAAGAUCGAAUCUCUGAUUUUUUGGUCUAAGGUACCUUUCCUAAACUUGUCGAAUUCCAUUUUCUACACCAACUUUAGAACGAGUAUAUACAUCAAGUAAUUUCAUGUUCAACUCAAAAUUGGACAACCAUAGUAUUACUCCAAAGCAAACAAUACUAACUGUUCCAUUAAAUAUUUUUUUAUAGCUCUUGAUUGUCUCACUUUUUUGUAUUUUGAAUUUACAAGCCUCUUUUUUCUUUCUUUGGUAUGAAAGGUGGCAACUAGGCCUUGCUAGAACGAGUGGGGUAACCUUUCUAUGGUAGUACACUUAGUUUCGAAGUUCGAAGUUUUCCUCCUACAGUGGAUCAUCGAUAUUGAUUCUUCUACUGUUAAUUCGACCUCCCAUAAUUCUCUUCUUCUAAGGAUUCACUUUUCUCUAAGGCUCUGCACUUUACUAAAAAGCCUUGAUCUUCUUCCCCCCAAUGUUUUCAUAAACUUCUUAAGACAGACCCUGACCUUGGUUAGGCUCGGAUCUCCUUGGAUUAUCACCUUAUUCCUGAUAUGUAAAUGUUAACAUCAUAUUCUUCCAAUCCACUCCAGUCGUUCCCAAGGAAUACAAUCACUGCAUUCCAAGUAUGGCAACUACCCCUCCCAACUUCAAGGGUAAAAACUCAUUCACUACCUUCUAGUCUCCCAGCAUUAACUCAACAUCUUCACAAAUUACCUUCCCUUUGACUACAGUGCCCGAGCCCAAAAUGACUCCAUAAUUCGACGUUUCUCUUGUACUCAGUUGCAACUCUUUCACUAUUUUUUCCUGAAAUGAAAUUGCGUGUGACUUCACAAUCAAUUAGUACUAUAGCCACAUUCCCUUGUAUCAUCUCUUUUACCUUCAUUUUCCCUAGGUUGGAUAAUCCCACCACAUAAUUAAUGGAUAAUUCCACCACCACCUGACUCUCCUCUACGAUCUCAGGGGCAUUCAACUCUUUCUGAUCAAUUCCUCAUUCUUCGAUAAUUUCAUACUCCUCGCCUUCUUCCUUCACAACAAUUAUUCACAAUUCCCUUUGCUCUUUCAUCUUGCAUUUGUGGUCAUGAGAAUAUUUCUCAUUACAGCGAAAGCACAAUCACUUCUUUCUAGAUUGAAAUUCAGCAUCAAAUAAGCGCUUCGCCUGUCCCUCUUUCCGUACUUCCUCUUUUGUUGUUCCUCGUCGAGUAAUAGUUCUCAUCGGCCAAUUCAUUCCUCCUUUACUUUCUUCUGUAUUCGCAAUGGUAUUAGCCUUGGUGCUAUUAUUGGAGUUUAUCACAUUUUCUCCAGAAUAUCCAGAAAUAUUUGCUUCCUGAUGUAUAUCUUCCUUGUUCUCUACCUUUUGCGCGAUUCGUAUCGUUUGUGCUAAUCCCUUCGACUCACAUAAAUCCAUCUCCGCCUAGAUCCACAGUUUCAAUCACGACAUAAAUGUCUCUUUUACCACCUUCUCUAAUAGGUCCGACAAAGGAGCUACCCACUUAUCGAAUAAAUUUUGAUAUUCCUCUAUCGUUUUCUUUUGUUGAAUUUGCAAGAACCUUACAUACAACGAUUCCUCCCUCACGGAUCGAAAUCGCACAAAUAAUCUUUCCUUCAUAUUCACCCAAUCUACAAAGUUCUCUCGUUCUUCUUGAGAACGGUAAAAGUUCAAUGCUAGUCCCUCAAAACUAAUAGUGGAUACAGUCAUUUUCUCAAAUUUAGUAAGUUUAUGAAUGUGCAAAUACCUCUCUACGUGAAACAGCCAAGAAUCGGGAUCAUCUCCAUUGAAUAUCGACAUCUCCACCUUCUUAAACUUAUUGCAGUAACUAUUACUUUCAUCAUAUAUUUUCUUUCCUUCCUUCCUUGUUUCGUUCUCCCAUCUUGGUCACCCUUCACCUUCGUCCACAUUCUUCGUCGAUAAAUUGUGCAUUGUUGUCUAUUCCAUAAUUCGUAACAUCAUCUAAAUUCUACCUCUCCAUAUUUUUGGAUAUUUUGGCCAACGUCUUUUCGAUCAUCAGUAUCUUACUAAUGUCUUUCUUAAUGUCCUGUAUUUCCUGGUCAAACGUCUCCAUCUCUUCGAUCCGAGUCUGAACCAUUUGCAUUCUUCUUGCCCGAGAUCAAUGCUCCGAUACCAAUUUGAUGGAAACCAGUCUUGGAAUGAAAUUGCUACUAUAUUAUUAAUGAUAGAAUAGGAAUGAAAUCCUAAUUACAAUAUGAAAUCCCUCUCCUGUUAUCCUCUCUCUCAAGGAAGAAUAGAAAUUCACUUUCUCAAACAAAACCUAACUUUCCCGCCCACGAUUACUUUUUAUUUAUACUAACAAUAAGGUAACUAACCCUUCCCUUUACUAACCCUCACAUGCUAUUCAUGUGCACGUGAUAUAUUUUUUUUAAUUUCUUUGUUCCUCUUCCACUGUAUAGAUGUAAUAUAGGGGGUCUAUCAGAUUCCUCCUCUUUUCAAAGCCUCCAACCAAACUCAAUGCUAAGUUUGACUGCUCCCUUCAGAGUGAAGACCCUCAUUUUCCCCCUUCCGUGGUUUGGGGAGGAUUCCUUCUCUUUUUAAAGCCCUCAAUCAAACUUGAUGCUAUGUUUAGAACGCUAAGAAUAGGUGGUCUAGUUUUGGUUAGGCCAAAAGUGAAAAUUUCCCCCAAAAGCACUAAUAGUUAGGGAACUCAACACAUUCUACUUGACUUAAUCGACUUGGCUCUCUAAUUUUUAUGAGCUUUUUUCAAUGCAUAUUGCAUAUGUUUUUUUUAUAGUUGUUGAUUGUCUCACAUUUUUAUGGUUUGCAUUUACAAGCCUCUUUUUUCUUUCUUUGGUAUGAAAUAUGGUAAUAGGCCUUGCUAGAAUCGGUGGGGUAAUCUCUCUAUGGUUCUAAGGAGCUUGGACGGUGGUUGGAGAGGGUUUCUAUGAUGUCGUCUUACACUUCUUUGAGACCAAUUACUUCCCUCAAGGGGUGAAUACGAUUGCUAUUACACUUAUUCCUAAAAGGAAUGGUGCUGAUCGAUUGGAGGAUUUCAGCCCUAUAUCUUAUUGCAGGGUUAUUUAUAAGUGCAUUUCAAGAAUAUUGGCAGAUAGGCUUCGUGUGUGGCUUCCUUCUUUUGUUAGUGGAAAUCAGCCACCUUUCAUCCCUGGGAGGAGUAUUAUUGACAAUAUUCUUCUUUGUCAGGAGCUUGUAGGGGCAUACCAUUUGCACAGAGGUAAACCUCGGUGCACUAUGAAGGUUGACCUCCAAAAAGCUUAUGAUUCUGUUAAUUGGGAUUUCCUCUUUGGCCUGCUGAUUGCCAUAGGUAGGCCUUUAAGAUUUAUGAGUUGGGUUCGAGCGUGUGUGACCUCUCCGAUGUUCUCCAUUAUGAUUAAUGGAUCGUUGGAAGGUUUUUUCCAUGGGAGGAAAGGACUUAGACAAGGUGACCCUUUAUCCCAUUCUUAUUUGUGAUGGUCAUGGAGGUGCUUUCUCGCAUGUUGAACAGGCCACCUCAGAAUUUUCAAUUCCACCAGUUUUGUGAGAAGGUCAGAUUAACUCAUCUUACUUUUGUAGAUGACCUAAUGAUCUUUUGUACUGCUGAUAAUCAUUCUAUGAGUUUCAUAAAAGAGACUAUUAAGAGGUUUGGUGAGCUUUCGGGAUUGUUUGCUAAUCUUCCUAAAAGCUCAAUUUUUCUUGUGGGGGUUAAUAGUUCGAAAGAUUCUCGGCUUGCUGCUAACAUGGGUUUUUCCAUUGGUCAUCUCCCUAUUCGUUAUCUUGGGCUUCCUCUCCUCUCUGGAAGAUUGCGGAGCUCUGAUUGUGAUCCCCUUAUUCAGCGUAUUACCAUUCGUAUUCGGUCUUGGUCUGCUAAAGUGUUAUCUUUUGCAGGUAGACUUCAGCUUGUUCGCUCAGUCCUUAGGAGCCUUCAGGUUUAUUGGGCUAGUGUGUUCAUGCUUCCUAUGAAAGUCCACAGAGACGUUGAUAAGAUCUUGAGGGCUUAUCUGUGGAGAGGUAAGGAGGAGGGAAGAAGUGGUGCUAAAGUUGCCUGGGAUGAGGUUUGUCUUCCUUUUGAUGAAGGAGGUCUUGAUAUUCGCGAUGGAUCUUCUUGGAAUAUAGCAAGCACGUUGAAGAUAUUAUGGUUGCUACUUGUUAAAUCUGGUAGUUUGUGGUUUCUUGGGUGGAAUCUUAUAUCCUUAAAGGGAGAUCGCUGUGGGAGAUCGAUGCUGGGGUGGGUCGAUCUUGGUGCUUUAGGGAAAUCUUGCGUAAGCGGGAUAUCCUUAAAGCUCAUGUUUAGAUGGAGGUGGGCAAUGGAAGGAAGUGUAGAGUGUGGUUGGUUCCAUGGAUUCAGGGUGGGCCGAUUAUCCAGCAGUUUGGGGAGAGGGUGAUCUAUGAUGCGGGUAGUCGGUGGGAUGUGAGGCUGGUGGAUUUCAUGGGUCGGGAUGGUGAUUGGAGGUGGCCGCUUGUUUCUUUGGAUUUGAUGGACAUUUGGGAUAAGGGUUCAGGGAGUGAGGCCGAGUCCGAGUGUUGAGGAUAGGUGGGUCUGGGUGCGGGGAGUCGUGAUAGUUUUUCGAUCACUAGUGCGUGGGAGACUAUUCGUCCUCAUAAGUAGGGUUGGAUGGUCGGGUUUACUAUGGGGUGGGGGAAAUAUUCCUAAGCACUCCUUCUGUGCUUGGUUGGCCAUCAGGGAUAGGUUGAGUACUAGAGAUAGGUUAAGUCGGUGGAUAGGUCGAUUCCUUUAUCGUGUUUGCUUUGUGGAGGGAACUAUGAGUCUCGUGAUCAUUUGUUUUUUUCUUGUCAUUUUGGGUGGGAGAUUUGGUCGAGGAUCCUUUUGCUUAUGUCAUCUUCUCAUAGAAUCGGUUAUUGGGGGUUGAGUUAUCUUGGAUUUAUAAUCAGGGUAUUGGGAAGAGUGUGAGGAGAAAACUGUGGCGCCUUCUCUGGUGUGCUACAAUUUAUUUCAUUUGGCAGGAGCGAAAUCAUCGUCUUCAUGGAGGUGCUGUUCGGGAGCCUAUGGUUGUAUUCCAGCUCAUUCGGUCGUGUAUUAAAGCGUGUGCUGCUUCUUGGUCGGAUGGUGUUCAUGGUCUUAUUUAAUGUUCUUUUCGUUUGCUUGUCCUCGGGCUGUGGGGUUUCUCUUCUCUUUAUUAACUUUGUUGUCUUUCUCUCUUUUCUUGUCCUUUUAAUGUUUGGAACACUAGUUGGUUUCUUUUGGUUUUAGUUCUUGUUCCCGAGAUGUGGGGUUGUUUUGGGUACUUAUGGGUUGUUUUGUCUAACUACUUGUUUUGUGAGUGUUGUUCGCUCUUUUGUCUUGACCUCAGGCUGUGAGGUCCACCUUGUUGUUGUAUAAUAUUAUCAUUAUUACCUUUUCAAAAAAAAAUCAAACUCAAUGCUAAGUUUGACUGCUCCCUUCGAAGUGACAACAAGCCUCGUUUUCGCCCUACUGUGGAUCGAGGAGGAUUCCUCCUCUUUUCAAAGCCCUCAAUCAAACUUGACGUUAUGUUUAAAACACUAAAAAUAGAUGGUCUAGUUUUGGUUAGGCCAAAAGCGAUGUUUUCCCCCAAAAUCUCUAAUAGCUAGGGAACUCAACAUGUUCUACUUGACCUAAUUGACUUGACUCUGUAUUUUUUAUGAGCUUUUUUUAAUGCAUAUUGCAUAUGUUUUUUUUUUAUAAUUGUUGAUUGUCUCACUUUUUUAUGGUCUGCAUUUACGAGCCUCUUUUCUUUCUUUGUUAUGAACUGCGGUAACUAGGCAUUGCUAGAACCGAUGGGUAACAUUUCUAUGGUUCUACACUUAGUUUCUAAGUGUGAUUGCUCACCUCUAAUUUUCAAAACACUUAAUUUCUAAGCACAUACAAUGUUCACCUAGAAAAAAAUGAAAAUUGUUGUAGUUAAGAUCAAAACUAAAUAGUUAUGAAAUAAGACAUAAGAGAUUUGAUUUUAACAACCUUCCCGUUGUACUUGGGAUCCACUCUGGCUUUGUGCUGGAAAAUUGGUUUGGAGCUGAUCGUAAGCUUUCGGUUGCUCUUCUGUAACCUUUAGAUACUCUUCAAAGCUAUAAGCUUUGCUUCCUGACGAAUAAUCUUCUACUAUUACAAUACAUAAGAAAAUUCUAUUUCAUAAACCCUGUAUCAUAAUUGAGGCUGAUAGAAUGAUUAUUCUAUAACCCUACUAUAGUUUCAUUCUUAACAUUCAUAGACACGAUGCAUGGCAGCUAUCCAAUUCUAUUUCAUGUUCUCGAGAAUGGCUCGGUUUAACAAUAAUGUUAAUUUUUGUUUUCUAUUUUAAAAUAAUAACGCUGCUUACUAAUAACUAAAUGUUUUAAGCCAUUUACAAAUUAGAUUUCAAUAAAUCGAUAAUCAUAUUUUUUUACAAUAUAGGACUAAAAAAGAUAACUAAUUUAUAUAUAUAUAUAAUAUAUAUACAUAUACAACAGUAUUUAGUUAAAUUACAAAAAAAAAUUCUUUUGAAUUUUGUAGUUUGUGUAAAAAAAUAACCUUAAACUUUGAAAUGUUAAAAAAAAUUGUUUUGAACUUUUAAAAAUUAUUCAUAAAUACAUCUAUAUACGUAGGAUGAAGGUAUUGGCAUGCUUCUCUAAAAAAACUUUCCAAAAAGAUGUUGUGUGACUUUUGAAAAGAAAAAUUACAAAUGGGGUCGUUUUUAAACAAAUUAGAUAUAUCGAGUUAUAUUUAUUUAAUUUUUUUCCUUUUUUCACAUAUUAUCAAUCACAUCUUACUUUUUUCUUUUUUCUUUGGAACCCUGCAAAAAUAACAAAAACAUUUAUAAUCACAUGACUCAUGUCACUACAUUUUCUAAAUUUUAAAAGUAGUAAAUUUAAAAGUUGAUAACCCUAUGAUUAUCGUUUGAUAGUCAUCUAAUAUCACUAAUUUUGUCAUAUUCGUAAUAUCCAAAUAAGGUUUCUUGGUGAGUCUAGAGUCAAACGUGAGGACUUAUACUAAAAAUAUAUUUAUAUUUUGAAAUUAUCUUAAGGUGAUUAAUAACAUACGCCUAAGAACAAUAGCGGUAUCAUCCACUUGUAAGGGGGGAGGGGAGUCAUCCACUAUAGAUAAGGUCCACUUGUCUCCCUCACCCAACUUCAUAAGGCUGCCAAAAGAGUUAGGCAUAAUCACAUCCACACGUUUACCCUUCUCUCGAACAUAAACCAACUCUCUUUUCUUCCUAAUAACGAGUAAUUUCAUCUCGAUUACCUACCUCCUUUUCCUUAAUAUGCCUAAUGGGGGAGCUAUUAGUCUUACUUUCCUCCAACUAUUUAAAGUCUAACACCACAUCCACAAGACACAAUUGUCCAUUCCUCCUCUUUGUUUGAAACCACCUUGCUCACAUCCUUCUCUCGAUGAACUUUGUUUUCCACAAUCUUAGGACACUUACCACUAGAAUGCCCAAAAGACCGGCACAAAUUACACCUUCGAGGCUUCCACUCAUAAUUCACAGUCAUAACGAAAUCCUCUCCCCUAAGGUGAAUUGUAAAUUCAGCAAGCAUAGGAGAGUCCACAUUUGAUUCAACACAUCUCAAGCAUGUGACAACCUUCGUCUUUCCUUAGUAGCUAGAUCUAAAGAUAGAGGUUUUCCUAUAGCACUAGCCACAACAGUCAAUCUGACAUCUAUCCAUAACUCCAUUGGAAUCCUACCUAGUUUAAUCCAUAUAGGAACAUAAUAAAAAACAAAGGAUUUAGGGACAAUACCUGGAGUCCAUUUACAGAGGAGCAUACUUUUGCCAGCAAGAUGUCGCGAUCAACGAGGUAGGAUCCAUUCAACAAGUUUUGGGCAUCUGAAUUGGAAACAUAUGAGUCCGUUCUCAAGAAUUGUAAUCGUUGGCAUUUUAAUUUUAUCAACAAUAACAACGAGCUAAACAAAUCCUCUAUCCAGGACGCACUAAUGAAAACUAAAAUGUAAAAUAAGUACGAAGUAAUUAAUUAAAACAGAAGACAAAAGAAACCCAAAGUAAGUUGACAAAAUGCCCACAAUAAGCUUCAAGAUGAGUGAGAGGGAACACCAAGAGAAACAUGAAUAGCCUUGCUAACUUUUCACUACUAGCUAACUACAUAUAUUUUUACAAUACGUGUUAGGGAAAUCUUUCCCUUUGCAAAACAGACCAAUAUAUAAUCAAUCAUUGGCUCCUUAUGGGAAAAUACAGAAGCCCUAUACAUGUCUGUUUCAAGCUUGUGUUGAACAACUUUUAAUUCCCUAAGAUAAGGAGAUUUAUCUGAAGGUUCGAGAAUAAUGGCAUGUCCUAAACUAACCCACCAUUUCGCAACAGUGAACCAGUUUGAUCGUUAGGGGACAACUUUUGAUAAUAAGCGCACAACCAUGCCCCAAUUCCAAUGUUGCCCAAAAGUAAAGGCCUUUCUUCACAAUGCUCCAUAAAAAAAAAGUUUGACUUUCACAUAAAGAUCUUAUUUCUUUUUUAUUGCUCCAAGAGAUCUAAUAGAUCUAUUUUCACCACGCAAAUCCCUUUUGUUAUCAUGGAAAAUGUGUUGGUUGUGCUCAAACCAAAUCUCUGCUUGCAACACUUUUAUCAAAUUAACCCAUGUUUUUUUUUAAAAAAAAAGAGGAUAUGAGUCUCACUAUUAUUAAUAUUGAAAAAUGAAGAGACAAAGCUCAAUGUCAUGAGGAUUAUACAAAGAGCAAUAGGAUGGAGGAUCAAUAGACGCACCUGGACAUCUCAACUAGGUUGACACCCCCUUAGCACCCUCAUCACAUCCAAAAAGCGACAACACAAGAUCAAAACCAAAAGCCACAAAUAGAAGGCUUUUUUUGUGUUUGUUUUGCCUUUGGACAUUACUCCUUUGUUAUGGGUUUUAGCUUGGUUGGAUAUGAUGAGGGUGCUAUGGGGGUGUCAACCUAGUUGAGAUGCCAAGGUGCACCCCCUGAUCCAUGGUUACAUGUUCAUUGUAUAACUCUCUUGUACUAUGAGCUUUUGUCUAAUUAUUAUUAUUAUUUUAAUAUUAAUAAAGAGGUUGUCUCCUUUUCAAAAAAAAAAAAAAAACAAAAAACAAAACAAAACAAAAGCCACAAAUAUAAAACCAAGCAAAACGAUAAAAUAAUAUGUCCAAAACAAAAUCAUAAAUCAUAGGUAGCAGGUCGAGAACAAAGAAGAAUAAGCCUUGAUUGAGCAAAAAAUCCCAACAAAUAUUGAAUGUUUGGAGAAGACGGAACCAACAUUUCGAUACAAAGACAUAGUCAAUUCAAAGGUGCUAAAUAUUUUUCAUGUUAUCAACACAAAUGGGGCAGACAUGAGGUGAGAGGACAUGGGAGGGAAGUUUUCUUUGAAGUACUAAAGCACAGUUUAAUUUUCCAAACAACGUAAUCCAUAUGGGGAUAUUUAUCCAAAGAGUGAGCUAAAUAGCCCAAUGAGUGAUUGUUUUAUAAAACAUCGUUUUGAAAUAAUAAGUAUUUAACAAUUAACUCUUAACAUAAAUGAAAUCAAACUCAAACAACUUAUCUCAAACUUUCCCUUUCAGUUGCUAUACCUAGAAUCGUCGAGACGAAAAACAAUAAACUAGGCAUAGAAGCCCUAUCCCGUGAUACGAUACUUACGAGAUGAAACUCUAGGCAUCAAUUGUGCCCUAUCUCGUUAUAACUACAAUGAGAUGGAAAACUAGGCAUUCGUACAGGCUCUCAUCCCUUGAGAUGGGAAACUAAGCAUCUUUAGAAGUCUUCAUCUCUUAUCUAAUACCAAUGAUGGAAAGCUAGGUAUUUACUGAAUAUCCAAAUCAAAUGACCUCUAUGCACAAGAAAAUAUUUCCCGAAGGGUUGCUAUAUAUCUUAGAAUAUUUUAGGUAUAGACUAAAACAUGCUAAUAUUAUUUUCAAGCUUAAACAUUUUGAAAACUUAGCACAAUCAUGAUUGCUUAUAAUUUUCAUUAGUAAAUUCAUCAAUAAAAACAUGUUUACCAAAAUGUUUCUAAAUUCAUGCUUUGGAAAUACUUUAUAAGUCAGUAUUCUCAAAUAUUCAAACAUCAAAGCAUGCUUGAAACAUUUGAUAGUAAAUUCAUGUUUAGAAAUCAACUUUAAACUCAUUUUUGUCAUUUAUAGAGAGUAGCUUGGACCCUUGGCUUAUAAACUUGUUCGAUCUCCUUCAGAUCUAAAAUAAUGAAAAAUAAUGGGAAAUAAUUCCAUUUAAUUCCCGUUGAUCAUAAAAAUAUCAAAACUUUGCUUAAAAUUUCCAAAAACCACAAAAACAGCCCAAAGACAUUAGCUUGCGUACAAAAUAUUGUGGCAGAAGUUGGCAGGUGCGCGUAGGGCUUGCCUUGCCAUGUCUCGUUCUAACCUCAUGUGCAGCGUGUCACAAUCACAACUUUUCAAACACGGAACAGACUAUUGUGCGACACUUGUUGUAACUCGAUGAACACGUCAGUUGUAUGAAAUUCGAUACGAUGUAGCCUCCCUAUAGGUUUUAAGAGAAAUUGGUUUUAUUAAACAUGAGAGAGAAAGGAAAGCAUUGGAAACAUCGUUAAAAAAAACUUUGAAGACUGUCCAUUGCAAAGAGAGCUUAAAUUGCAAAGAGUACCAUUAGUGUCGUUUUUAAGAAAAUUGUUUUCUUCUAGAUAUUAUAACUCUCUUUCCUUCUAGGAAUAGAAAAUGAAGUAGAAGAGAAUCAUGAGAUUCUAUUAAUUUAUAAAUAAUUAAAUUAAUAUAUAUUUCAAAUCUACUGAUUAAUUAAACAUUAAUCAAUUAGUUAAUAAUUAAUGAAAUCGAAUUUAAUUAAAUAAUAUUAAACUAAACUAUUAAUUAAUUCUCCAAUUAACUAAUAACACUAAAUUAUUUAUCUUAUAUUUAACUUAAAUUAAAUUUGAAUCAUAUUCAAAUAUAAGUUUCUCUCAAUAAUUUUAAUAUGAAUCCAAUUCACAUUAAAUUAAUAUUUGAACUCAUUCAAAUAUUUUAUCUCUCAUAAAUUAAUUUUGAAUCAUCCCCAAAGUUAAAUUUAUAUAGUAAAGUUUGAUAAACUUUAUAUUAUAAUGUAUCACUAUACAUUAUACUAAUUCCCAAGUUAAAUUUAAACAUUUUAAAUUACAACCAAUACAAAUAAAUCUCAUUACCCUUUACGAGCUAGGAAAGGGACCUAAUGGACCUACAGAUCAGAAGCUACAACGAUCUAAGAUUAAUUGGCUAAACUCAUUAAUCAAUAUUUGUUAGCUUUGUGUACACUCCACUAAAGACUCACAACUGAACUCUUCUCACUAAAAAUAUAUUUAUGUGUCCAUGGAUAUAGACCAAUAAUAGUAAGUUAGUCCUUCACGAGUGUUUGUAACACCAGUUGGACCAAUUUACCGCUUUACCCCUAUGUUACCUCUAAUCCUUAAAAACCAGUGCUCCUCUAAUGAACAACUUGUUUAUGGUCCUACUAAUAAACAAAAACCCAUCUCAUGUCAUAGAGAGGGUACGAGCCCUUUGUUCAAGUUUUGGAGACACCAUUUAAGCUAACAUUCAUCUACUUACCCUAAAGUAGGAAAUGAGUGAAUUCCAUUUUGUGCAAUUAUAAUCCCAACUCCCCACUCAGUCUUGUCCCCAAAAUCACUACUACAAAAACAGGCUCUCUUGACGGUUGUAGUUUUCCUUUCUUGACGUUUUUUCCCAAAAACGUCAAGAAAGAUGUGAUUUCAAAUAAAAAAACGUCAAGAAUUUUUAUGAAAGGCCAAUUUUCAACUUUCUUGACGUUUAUUAAACGUCAAGUAAGAUGUACUUUUUCUUGACGUUUUUUAAACAUCAAGAAAUAUCUAAUAAUUUUUUGACGUUUUAAAAACGUCAAGAAAUUUAUAAAAAAAUUCUUGACGUUUUUAAAACGUCAAGAUAAUUCUAAAAAAUCAUUGAUGUUUUUAAAAACUUCAAGAAAUUUUAAUUUGUUUUUGAUGUUUUAAAAACGUCAAGAAAUUUCCAAAAAAAUUAUUGUGUUAAUUUUCUUUUACAAAACGCAACGUUUCAAUUAGAUCACUUCCCCUUUUCUUAAUUAAACCUAAUUCGCCGCGACUUUGUCCCUUCUCCACCCGAAAUCAAAAGCGUCGUUCACCUAACCUUCCCUUCGCGUUCAUCUGUGCAUUCAUCUGCGUUCAUCGCCGAAAAAGACUUCCCUUCGCGUUCAUCAGCGUUCACCUUCAUUCAUUUGCCUUCAUCGUCCGUCACCGUUCGUCUGCUUUGCGUUCCCUUCACCUUCGUUGAUUUGCGUCCGUCUGUUCACCGUUUGAAAUGUGUAAACACAUUCUCUAUUCGAAAACGAGUAAACACGUUCACCGUCCUUCUGUCGCAUUCCACUUUCGCUAAACCUCUAUUCGUUUCCAAAUCCUUCAUGGUUACUCAUUCAUUUUCUUCCCUUUCUAAAGGUAAUAAUUUUCCUUUUUUCCUUUGUGAUUAAAAUUUGUAAUUUGGAAUUUAAAAUUGGAAUGCAAAAUUAAAGAAGAGGAAAUAUGCCUUAGAGAAUGGAAGAAAGGUUUUGCAUUUUAGGCUUGAAAAGGGGGGAUACAAGUUAUUAUAAUUGUAAUAUAUAAUAUUUUGAACAAGGCUACCAAGCGUGCGAAUAUGAUUCAUUGGUUAGUUUAGGGAUUGGAAAGAGAAGGAUUGUGGAGUUUGUGAUAAUAUUUUGGUACACUGGAGCUGGAAACAGAGAAUAUUAAAAAACACAUACUGUUAUACACAAUAUUAUAAUAAUACGAAUCACUAGAUUUUCUUCUUCGUUUUCUUUUUCUUCUCCUUGAAUUUUUGUUAUGGGUAUUGUAUUGAGUUUUGUGUUUUAGAUUGUGAAGUAUGGGGUAGCUAAACUCUUAAUCCUAGGGAUAGAUGUAGACAAAGUUUAUGAAUUAUUCUUUGUAAUGCAUCUGAUUAUCUGCUCUUAAUCUUUUCAUGUUUUUAUGUGAAUAAUGUUCAUAAUAUCUUAAUCACAGAUUAAUUGUUGAUUGGCCAUGAACCUUAAUCUUUGCAUGACUAGAGUGGUUAUGAACUUGGAAAGAGCUAAUUAAGGAUCCUUGAGGAGGUUGUUGAAAGAAGUGGACCUAAAAACUUUUGUUUGUUAAUAAAAAGAAAAAUGAACAGAGAUUCAUCUUCGUGAGGGGUCUUGAUGUUUAAUUUAAUUUAAAUUGUGUAUGAAUUUUUAAUUACGAGCAUUUUAAUAUGUUGCGUUUUAAUCCUAGGGAUAGAUGUAGACAAAGAGCACUAUAGCCAAGGUAUAGAGUGAGGGAGAUAAGGUUUAUAUGUCUUAGAGAAUGGAAAGAUGGAAUUUGUGCUAAAAUCAUUAGUGUUCCAAAUACAAUUAUGAAUUGGGUAUAGUUGCAUUCCCCCUUCUGGAUUGCAUAGCACAUAAAUAUACUCUCAUGGAUUGCAUAGCACAUAAAUAUACUAUCAAAAACAAUAACAUAAAACACAAACUUGAUUUAGUUUCAUUCACACUUGUACACCAACAUGUUUCAAUUAAUGAUCAUAUAUUAAAAAUCAUUUUCAAAUUUGGUAAUAUAAAAUGGAAGAAGUGAGACCUUGAGGUUUUAACCACCAAUACUAUCUAACUGAUGAGUUUAUGAUUUUUGUUUCUAUUGUGUUUUUCCUUAAGCUUUAACUUGCUUUAGGGGCAAGAUGGUGAAGGUCUAGUCCACAACCUUUCCCAAGAAUUUAAUGAUGUUUGGGUUGACCCAAUUAUUGUUAUUGGACACCGUUUUAUGGUAAUUGGUUGUUAUGGUUUUUAAGUGUGUUUUGAUAUCUUGUGUUAAAAAGUAAUUGCAAAAAGUCAGAAAAGUUUGUUAAAGAUUAAGUGUUUUUAAGUUUGUCAUUCCACUUUAAUUCUCACCAGUACUUGCUGAAUGGAAGCCUCUUGUCUAAGACAAUUCGAGUGGAAUAACUCUCGUGACUACCACAACAUUUGGGAACUCACCAAAUGUAAGACUAUUCCUUUAUCCUAGCAUUUGAUCUCUCUCUAUAAUUUGGUUUGCUAUCGUAAGUUUGAUUAAAAUAAAUGCUGAUAAUUCAACUCCAAUGUUCUUAUUUUCUUAACUCUCAUUCAGUCAGUUAGAAUCAGAACUCAUUUAUUUAUCUUGUCUCCAUAAUUUGGAUUCAAAGAUUCAUCACAAUAAUCUUCUCAACAACAUUCUUGAAAAGGUAUUGAAUUUUCAACUGUGUGACCUUUAUACACAAAUUUCUUCAAAGAAAUUUACAUUCUUUAGAGUUUAGAGCUUUGAAUUCUAGUACAACUUAUGAAGCUUUUGAUACUUGUUAGACUUUUUUGCUUGGUGCGGAUAAAACCUUAUUUACAUUCUUUCUUUCCUGCAUGUUCUCUUUUGAUAUUUGUUAGACUUUUUUGCUUGGUUGUCCUUAGUGUUUUCCUCUUUAGCUGAAAUUUCUCUAUCUUGAAAAAAAUAGAGCUUUAAAAUUCAACUUCAACUUUAUUUGAUACUAUCUUAGUCCAUACUUAUUUUGGUAUUUCUUUCCUUUCUCACAAACACAUCUAAGAGGUUGCCUUCACAAUAUGGCCAAAUUAACAAUAUGGCAACCUUUUUCAUUGCAAAACAUAUUAGAGGUUGGUUACUUAGUUAGCCUUAUUGGGUAAAUAAUUGACAUUUAGGUACUUUUUAGUUUGUAUAUUUAUAGAUGCCAAAUCGAUAUGUGAAUUUUAAUUGUUGCUUAUUUGAAACAUUGCAACCAUUUGAUAAAAUGUUGCUAUGUGAAUCCAUCUUAACUUGAUAUAUUAUUUUAUUUUGGUUUAGGUUGUGGAAUCCAAGUUUGUAUUUGAAGUCAAAUUCAUCCAAGAUCAUUGAGUUUCAAAGCUUCUUUAAUUAAGAUUUUGUUUCUUGAACUAGAAUUGUAGUCUUGUGAUUUUUGGAAUAGCAUAGUUGGAUUGGUUUUGUAAUUUUGGGAUUAUCAUAUUAGGUUGGGGUUGACUGAAGUAGUGUUUUGUAUAUGACAAUAUCGAACAAACAUGUAAAGUUUUCGAAAUGUUCAUACAUAUAUGAUUAAAUGUUAAUAUAUGUUAAAGUUUUGGAAUUGUAUUCGUGCAUAUUUAUGAGAUUGUUGGGCCACACUACAAGAAUUAUAGAGACAAUACAGGAACAAAAAUAUAAAUAAAUUAUAAUUUAGAAAAAAAAUGAAACAAGCUUCAUGUUUUUUAAAUGUCAUAAACAAAUACAUUCUUGACGGUUUUUCAAUGUCAUUAACAAGUAAAUUCUUGACGUUUUUUAAACGUCAUAAACAAUUGUGUUCUUGACCGUUUUUAAAUGUCAUAAAUUACAUUCUUGAUAGUUUUUAAAUGUCAUGAAUACUCAUUCACUUGACGAUUUUUAACUGUCAUGAAUAUUUGUAUACUUGACGUUUAUAAACUGUUAAGAAUCGCUAUUCUUGACGUUUUAUUAACCGUCAAGAACUUUGACUUUCUUGACGCUGGCUUCAACGACGGUUUUAAAACCGUCAAGAAUAGUGAUUCUUGACAGUUUAAAAACGUCAAGAGAGUCUAUUUUUGUAGUAGUGAAUGAUAAGCUUAUUGAGUCGGCGAUCUAGCCACUCUCACUCGUACAAAUCAAAGGACAAUCUCUCGCGAACAAGAGUUCAUAAUACACUCAAGAUUAAGACUAAGUUAUCUAGGUCAUCCUAGUGAAAUAGAAACCUAACUAGUUAAUGUAGUAACACCAAGUGGUUACUAUUUCACGGUCUGGUCUAUUGCAAUCUCAUUGCAUAGGAUACCUUCACUCGCAUGUCAACUACAUGAACACAUUGGAUCAUUGUAUUUGUAUCAAAUACAAGGUGAGUCGUAUUCAUAAUGUUACCAGGAUAAAGGUACCCAGUCUUAUCCCUAUACUAUAGACCCUUUAAGCUGAUCUCGAACAUUGAUCCUUGUAUGUCUCUACAUAAUAUUCAAUACUUAUUAAACAGUUUAGGAUGUUAGUUUAUUGGAUUUGAGUUAUUAAGACAAAACUAAUAAUAUAAUCAAUAACAAUUAUUACAAUAAUAACACUUUAUUAACAAUGGUCAAUGGAUUAUAUUUACAAUCUACGAGUUUUAGGACAUAAAUUCCAACAAACUCCCACUUGGACUAAAACUCUAGUCUCUUUGGGAUGUUCAUAAUAAAGUAAUCCUCUAACAUUGAAAAUGGUAAAAUGUACAAGUGUAUUACAUAGAAUGUGUAUAUACAAAUACAAUAAACUAGGGCAUCCUCAUACCCAUUACACAUCUGCCACUUUUCCUAGAUUACCUAAUGUACAUAACUCGCAGAUCUAGACUUUCUAGAAGACCCUUGAACACUUUAGCCAUGAGAGUCUUUGUAAAUGGAUUAGUAAUAUGCCCCACUAUUAUCACAAUAUAGAGUGAUGGGGUAUGUUCAUGUUUGGAACAACUUCCAAAUUAUGCAAGAACUUCCUCAGCAAAACUGCUUCUUUUGCUGCUUCACAAGUAUCAAUAUACUCAACUUUCAUAAUAGAGUGUGUAAUGACGCGUGGCUCAGGCUGCUUGAUCAUGCUAGGACAUGCUUUCUGCAUGUCCGAAGCCUAAAUAACCUUCUUUCGCUCAAAACACACGCUCAUCUCACCUUGUCAUCCUGGCAAUCAACCACCCUUGGCCUUGCUAGAAAUAUGAUUUUUCUACCAGAAACUUAACUCGACUUUGAAGCUUAAAUCAAUAAGAUUCCUUCUACAAACUUACUUAGAAUGUCUUCACUAGCUUACCACAAAGUGUCACUAACAAAUUCCAAGUAUUGAGUUAUGUAGCUCCAAAAUACUCUAACAUUGUUUAGGUUUUUUUUUUUUUUUUUUUUUUUUUUUUCUGAAAAUGACCUUUGAGUCUUUCUUCACUUCAAUGCCUUUCUUCCUGGUAGCCUUUCUCCUGAUACUACACUCAAUUUAGGAGAUUUUCGAAGUAGAGUUACCCAAUUAACACAAGUUGAUUGUUAACAUAAUUCGUCCAAAGUUGUACAUAUAGUGAUCCUUGCAUGCUCUUUGGUUGACACUUUUAUUAUCACCUCUUACGCCUAUACUUGCCACUUUCCACCUCAUGCAAGACACUUAUUUGGCAAAACUUAGGUAUCUUGUAUGUUGUCCACUUGUACUCUACCGCACAUCUUACCUCAUAUUGCUUAAGUCAUCCUUGGACGCAUAUCCCUUUUUCUAUAAGGGUUCUUUAGUAAAUUCUUACUGCCAAGAAUGCCUAAGACUUUUUUUUUCUCGCCUAAUCUCCCAAACAUCCCUCAAUGCCUUCAACAAACCAUGCCAUCUUGACUAGCAUUUUGUUGAAUUGCCCCAUUGGCCGCAUGGCCUAUGUCCACAUAGCCCACCUCUUUGUUGCAUGACAUUCCUUAUCCACGUUCUAACUUCUUUAGAGUUUCUUGACAUUUCCUAGAUGCUUAGCUUCCUUGCCUUAGCGCAUACCCUUGGUCAUAUAGCCUUGUCUUAUAGAGGUUGUCUUGACACCUUUCGGCCCAUACCACAUCUCAACCUUUGGCCACCCAACAUGUCUCUUUAAAGGUUCGCUUGACACUUUUGGCCGCCUAGAGUAUGCAACAUGCCCUAGCUAACACUUAGCCAAUUUUCGAACACCCUUUAGGCCUUUCUUUGUUACGAUGACACUUUUCUUUUGUCAUCUUAAAAAUAUUAACACAUCUUCCAUAACACUUCAACUAAACUAUCCAAUCUUAAACCAUCUUUCUCCUAACAUCAACCCCUAAUGUCCUAUUGAGUUCUUUAGAUGAAUUAAGGAUUAUUGGGUAUCAGGGUUUACAUGCGAGAUGUAAGUCUUCCUCUUUGGAAUUACGUAUAGUAGUGUGCGGAGGGAGAGGAAUGUGAUGCAGUUCUUCCUCCUCAACCCUAAGGAAUUCGUCUUCGCUAACAAUGCCCUUUUUAUCGGGUAAGGGCUUGCUCGGUCAGGUCGUGAGGUGAAGGAUGUUGUUAUAAUGAUGAGGUAUUUGGUGGUGAGAGGAUAAUAUUAAAGGUUUUGAGGUGUCUUCUUCUUCUCUCGCCAUUCUUCAUCUUAUUAAGCUUCUUCUUCUCUUUAUUCUUUAUCUUUAUUAAAGGUUUUAAGGUGUCUCUGUUCUUCUUUAUUUUGAUGGAGUGUUAUGGUUUGGUUGAGAUUCGCCUGAGAACAUGCAUAAGGGGUGAUUGGAGAAAAGCUAAAAGCUUAGGAACCGUCAGAGGAAGGGCAGAUCAUUAAUUGUAUGUUACGCCUUCCUCUGACGUGGUGGCAGCAACGUUGAGAAUAGAUUUAGGGAUUCCCGACGUAUUAUUAAUCGCGUGGGAAUAUGUUUAGGGAUUUCUGACGUUUAACAAAUUAGGUCAAGAAUAGGGUGCUAUUCUCGACGUUUUCGUUGUGCGUCAGGAGUUCUCUGUCUUUUUUAACUCCAUUCUUUACAUAAAAAAAACAUAAAGAGAAAGAAAAUGAGAGAGAGAGAGGGAGACCGAGAGGAAGAUUGAGAAGAAGAGGGCAUUGUCAUCUCCAUUGCCGUCCUCUGUUGUCGUCCUGUCGUCGUCGCCAUCUGUAAGUGGUUUAGUUUAGAUAUUGUUUUGUUUUAGUUAAUUAGUUUUAGUAUUUAGAUUUCAAAUUUGUUUUAGGUGUUAGAUUUUAGAUUUCAAAUUAGUUUUAGUAUUUAGAUUUUGAAUUAGUUGUAAGUUUUAGUAUUGAAAUUUAAUUUCAAGUGUUGUUAGAAUUUUAAAUUAGUUGUAGGUUUUAGAAAUUUGAAUUUGAAGUGUUGAAGUUGAGAUUGAAGUGUUAAAGUUGAGGUUGAAGUGUUGAAGUUGAGUUUGAAUUUAAAAUUUUCAAUUUGAAUUUAGGAAUUAAUUGAAGUUAUUUUUUUUUAAAAAAAUAGAGGAUCUCCCGACGCAUGGUUCCUAGACAUCUCUCGAUGCUAUAUUGACAACAUCUUUGACGUUCAUACAACGUCGGAAGAUGUCUAGAAACUCUCGACGCACAACAUUGUGCAUCGGGAGAGGAACUCCCGAUACAUUUUUCCUGACUUGUGUUCCGACAUAUAUUAGUGCGUCAGAAAAGCCUUUUCUGACGCUUUUUAUAUAUCUCCCAAUGAUUUUAUGCAUCGAGAGAGCCCUCAUUUCUUGUAGUGUUAGACAAAGAGCUUCAAUGUGGUAGAGGGGAAAGGCAUGACACCUUUAGGUUUCAUCAAAGAGAGGAUUGAGGUUCUGAUUACGGCGCUAAGGUUAACUGCGCCAUCUUCUUCUUAAUGCAAUAAAUCAUCAUUGUGCACUCUAGUGGGAUGGUGUUGUUGUCAACCAGGCAGGCGGUUUCGUUUUCAAGUCUUAGUUCUUAAUUCUUAACAACCUUUGAGUAUUGAUGCUCUACCCCAACCCUCAUCCAAAACGAUAACUAACACAAUGGUUUGGAAGUUUUUGUGAAAUAUCAUCUAUACUUUUUCUUUAAUGGUCGAUGAAAAAAAAAGUCAGGAAAAUGGUAUUUCUAACCAUUUUAAGUGUUACCAAAAUAUCACAUUUGGUGUAGUAUGGUAUUGUUUUGAAUAUUUUUGUAAAAUAGUGGAUCAAGAAGUUUUACUAAGAUAAAGUUUCAUGUUGGACAAGAGGAUAGUGGAUGGGAAUUAAGUUGAAUGGUCCACUUUUUUUUUAAAUCCUUUAAGGUUUUAUGAAAACCUUUCACAAUACCUUUUCAUAAUCAUUUUGUAAAAAUAAUAUCAAAUCAUUUAAAUAUACCAAAAAAUUAUUUCAUUUCAAAUAAACCUUUCUAUGCUUAAAAAAUCAUUUCAUUUUGUCAAGGAUCCCGAAUCGUUCUCUACGCUUGGUCUCAUUACCUCGCGUUUAGACUACUGUAUCAACAGCAUCUGAGAACAUACAAAUUCGUCUUUGUUGCUCAUACCGCUAAGCUUUAUACGCUCAUUUCAAUGCAUAAGUCAGCUUCUUAUUACCAUGUAGUUCGUACACUCCAUAGUGGCCUUCACUCUUUAUGUGCACACAAAAGUUAGCAUCAUCUCAAAGAAACAUAAUAUUGAAAUCAUAGUCAUCAAAUCAAGCUUUAACAUUAUAAAUAAUGCUUGAAAACAUAACUUUUCAUAGAAAUCUUUCUGAAACAUUCUCAUCUGAAUUCUUCUUUCGAAUCAGUAAAGAGAAAUCGUAAUAAAGUUUCUUAACAUAAAUUCUUUUGACUGAAAAGCACUCACCAAACUUUACUAAAGAAGUCCUUCUCACAACCAUCUUUUCGUGUGGCUAAACCAACAACACUUUAGCAUUUCAACAAAACUCUCAUCAUCCCCUCCUUAGUUACCUAAAUUCUCCUAUUUUAUAGAUCCCUUAUACUAACUUAGUCAUGCAAAUCCUUAAUAUUUAACCUAGUCAUGCUCAAAUCCUUAAUCUUACAUGUUAACCCAUGUCAAAUAAGAUUUGACAUUUUCUUUACAAACCUUGCUCCCCACCUACCCAAACCGUGAAUAAAUUCAACCACUUAACAUUUCUCGUGAAUAACCUUAUCGCUUGAUUAUAUUUUUAUUAUAAGAAACGUUCCACAUGAACUAACCAACUUUUACUCGCAUAAAACUCUUAUCACGAACUUAAACUCCAAGGCUUCCUUGUAGACUUCUUCUCCACGAAAUGCUUGAUUCUUCUCGGGAAGACCACCCAAAACUCCUAGUCUAACACUCAAAACUUUCAUUUCUUAACUUACGCAAAGACUUUUUCGCUUCUUAUCGCACAACUUCUUUCGCGAACUACACACUUAUCGCAAAAAAGUAUACUUAACCGUAAAAGAUCUUAUCACUUAAUCUUUCCAUGGAUUUAUUUGAACACCAACUUAUUAAUUCUUAGCCGAAUUUUACUUCCUUACUCAAAUUAGAAAUGGGUCGCACAACUUCCUUCGCAAACUACCCACUGAAUCGCAAUAACGUAUACUUAACCAUAAAUUUUUUUAUCGCUUAAUCCUUUUCGUGGAUUUAUUCAAACGCCAAAUUCUUAAUACCUAGCCAAAUUUACUUCAUUACUUAAAUUAGAAAUGGGUCUCACAUUUAGAGCCUAUCGCUUCUUUAAGAUACAUGAUCUUACUGAUUCAGAGAAAUUAACCACAGGCGUUAUUAGUUUUGAUGAUCUGGCAUUGGAUUGGUACCAAGCACAAGAAGAGUUGGAAGUUUUUAAGAAUUGGGCUGACCUGAAAGAACGAAUGCUUGUACAGUUUCGAUCAAUUCGAGAACGAACUUUGGUUGGAAGAUUUUUCUCAAUCAAACAGAAAAUGAAUGUAGAAGACUACCGCAACCGAUUUGAUCGAUAUUUAGCUCUAGUAGCAUUUCUUCAAACGGUAGUGUUAGAGGAGACUUUGAUGAUUGGGCUUAGCCCAUGAAUAAAAAUGGAAGUGGAAAUUGUGGGUUGAGCAGUGCAUUUCAUUGGGUUGGCCCAGAUGAUGAAAUUUGCGUUGAAGAUUGAGAAUAAGGAACUAGUGAGAAAAGAGUGUGGGUUGAGCAGUGCAUUUCAUGUAAAACUGUAACUCACCCUAUCUAUUGUGGAAAACAACAAUACAAUGAUGACUAAGGAAGAAACCAACAAUGGAAAGUCUACUGAUGAGAGCUAUCACCCUGAAGGGAGUUACUGAUAGAACUAAGACAUGCACAACAGAAAAAGAAUCGAAAUUCUACCCUAAUUGGGCUUAAUUAACGAGACUAAACCAAAAAAAUAAGGUUUUUAGAAUACUUACAUUUGAAGCUGCGUUUUAUUCGAACAACCACUAAGUUUGACUUAGUAUCCUCUAGACUCAUAAUCGAGUUGUGGGACCCGUUGGAUGAAAGAAUCGGACGAGAGAAAUAGAUGAAAAAAAUGGGCGUGGUAAAUUUUCUUUUUUUUUUUUAAGUAAAUAAGAAAAAGAAAUUCCAUUUGGUGUGAAAGCCCAAAUUUAAUAGGAAAAUGAAAGGGAAUUCCUUGGAAAGUUGGUUUGUGUGUCAUUAAAAGUCAAGGUGGAAAACAAAGUACAACAUAUGGCUAAAUGUGAGAGUAGGCGUGCAAGUAUAAUAAAUACCUACCAAGAUGUUUAUUAAUAACAUGUGUUUGAUACAUAAUUACAACACUUUGACCAAACAACCAAUGCUUAACUAUUUUCAAAACGUCUGGUCAUCUCGCUGCAAAUCCUUCAACCUUCUUCUCUACUUGGCCUAAACACCUCAUCUUGGAAGAUGAAUUUUUGAAAGAAUGUCUAAAAGACUAAGGUUUUAUGAAAUCCUUUUCGCAAUACCUUUUCAUAAACAUCAUUUCGCAUAAACAACAUCAAAUAAUUUUAUCUCGCAUAAACCUUUCUUUAUCCUUAACAUACUCAUAACAUAACAAUUUCACAUAAACACACAUUAGUUAACAUUCAUUCCUUUCACCAAUGAUUUUGAAUCGUUCUCUACACUUUGAUGUAGAACAUCUCCCUUCUUGAUGUUUCUUGAGUUUUAUCCUAGAGGAGUGGUUUGAAUUACCAUUUUUAUAGUUUAGGAUUAGUUAUUUGAAUUACCAAUUUUGUAUCUUGAGUUAGUUAUAACUAACUCAACUCCAAGUUAAACUAACUCAACCCCAAGUUAGUUUAACAACUCUCGUAAUCUCCAGCCUAUAAAAAAGCUUCUCAUUUUCAUUAAUAAGACAUAAAAAAAAAAAGAGGCAUUAUACAUAAAGAUUUCUAGCUUUGCAAUUACUGCAUCAAUUGGUAUCAGAGUGUGAUCCUAGCUCACUCUUCCCUAAAAAAACUUGGAUCCUACCACUCUUAUCCAUGGACGCAUAAGCCUCAUUCAACCAAGGCUUGCAGUUGGUAGAACAAGCUAUUGAAGAACUUCGAAAAGGGCAGUCGGAUAUACAGCAAUCGUUAGUAGAAUUAACAAACCUUUUUACCCGAUUUCAUGUCCAACCUUUAGAAGAAGCAAUUCAUCCCCCAAGAAACCUAAUUGCAGCAAACCAAGAAAGACAAGAAAGACCAAGAAACCCAAUUGCAGCAAACCAAGAAAGACAAGAAAGACCAAUAAACCCUGUUGUAAACCAAGAACUACUAAGAAAUCAACCUAUUCACAUCCACAAUAAUCGAUUGUAUGGAAACAACGUACUUGGAAAUUUCUUAAACGAUUCUGACUCUUUCGAUGAAGACAACUUGCUGAACAUUCAUCAAGAACCUCAACAAAGGUUUGGACUUCGACCAUACUUUCAAGAAGAUCAAGAAAUACGUAUGAAAGUGGAUCUCCCUACCUUCAAUGGUCGAAUGGACGUGGAGAAGUUUCUUGAUUGGAUCAAGAACGUAGAAAUUUUUUUCGACUAUGCCAAUACACCCGAACACAAGAAGGUUCGAUUAGUUGCUCUCAAACUUCAAGGUGGCGCAAGCGCUUGGUGGGAUCAAUUACAAAACAAUAGACGAUUAUUCGGUAAACAAUCUAAAGAUUAGCUGAAUAUCUUAUAAAAAGAUGUUGCCGUAGGCUUAGUGGUGACAGGUGAGAAAGUAAGCUGUAUCUUUUAUGACUCUUAAACGUUGAAGUCAAUCAAUGAGUUCCAAAUGCAAUAUUGGAAGUUUUCUUAAAUAUUUUGAUGCUUUUGCAUGUUGUGAAAGAACUUGGUUAGAUGUGAGAAAGGGGUUUAUGAGAUUAGUUACUUACUAUUCCCUUUUUCACUGUCAUUGCUACUCCGUAGACAUGCUAUGGGCUCGUGUUUCUGUAGAAUAUAAUUCAGAUGCUCUUUCUCUAGAAUAUAAUUUAUGUGCUUUCUCUACAAAUUUGAAGUAAUUUCUACUGCUUUUGCUAAUAUUCUCUAAAGCUUAUUCAAAAUGUAGUUGUUUAAUGACUGUUCAGAUUUAAAAUAUAUUAUAGAGUUAAAUUUAACACAGUUAAUCAGCUUAAGCAUUUGACUCUGGUGUUCUUAAGAUAUAAAUUCAAAUCCCUAUAAUUUUAUCAUGUUGAUCUUUUCAAUCUUCUCACAUACCGUCUUCAUUUCAUAAUCUUGCCUACUAGCUGUGUAUCAUCAAUGAAAUUACCAUAGGAGUCCACAUGUGGUAAUUAUGGAUCUAGCACGAUAUACUGCGUAUCAUGUUGUUGGAGAUCAGUUUAAAUGAUUAACCAGUCUAUUGGUGGUUUGAGUCUUUUCUUUUGAAUCUAUAGGUUGUUCAAUGGUCUAAUAUUAACUGUGUUUAGAUUUAUGGUAAUUUUCAUUCUUUUACAGCCUUAAUAACCAAGAAAAGGUGUGCUUUGAUAAUCUUUUCUUUCUCUUCAGCAUGUUGGUAAUGUAGAAAGAUUACAUGUAUACUAUGCCCAUGGACUAGAUAGCCCAACCUUUGUUCGCCGGUGUUAUUGGCUCCUAGAUAAGUAUGUUAUGGUUGAAAGAAAAUUGUUAAAUUGCUUGCUACCAGUUGUUUCAGUGGGGUCUAUCCCCAUCAUGCCACAAGCAAAGAAAAAUGAAAUUAGACAGUGGCAGUAUAUCGUGUUCUACUUAUAUAAUUUAUGACUUUCUUCUGCUUUUUGUUCAGGACCUUUGAACACAUUGUCCUUGUUCAUUACCGUGAAACACAAGAGGUUAGGUUCAACACAAUGCAUCUGCAGUUACUAAAAUAUUAUCUUGAGACAAACUUUUAUCAUUUGGACUACUACAUCUAUUUAAGAUUUGCUGAUUUUUCCUCCAUGGUUGCAAUAUUAGAACUUCAUCCAAAAUAAUGUUGUCAUGUGUGUCUUUAAAUUUUUACUGGCAGUCUGGCACCAUAUAGAUCUAGUAGUUGUGCAUGCAUGUCUUCCUCUCUAUCCUCCAUUGAAAAACUCGAUAAUUAUCUAUUUGUGUUUUAUUUUGAUGAUUUAAUCCAACAUUUAUUAUGGAUAAAGUCAGCCAUAAAAUACAUAUGUUUACUACUGCUCUUUGUACAUUUUAAAUACUAGAUUUCUUGAUGAUUGUUGUCUUUAAGUUGCUCUUAAUGUUGUUGCAUAUCGAGAAAUGCACUGUAAUUUCUGUACCAAUUUUAUCACUGCUUUUAACUAAAUCUUCAAAAAUCAAGGCACCACCUGGAUGUAGAGUGCUAUAUGGUGAUUCAAGUGUUGAGAGUUCUCUUUCUUCUGCUAUCCAUAAAUUUAUGGAAUGGAAAGGCAAUGAUCAUGACACUAUUUUUUGUCAGAUAAACACAGGUUUCAUAUGCUUCAACUCUGUGGUGCUUCACAGCACACGGAUAAAACUUCCAAACAUUCUGCACCCAAUAUUACCAUAAUGCAUUUGGACACUUCAUUAACAACUUCUUACAAUUAGCCUUUCUAUAUUGAAAAUAAUUCGUUGUCUUAACUUCAUGUUGCUGCUAGUUUCAAAAUUUUGCAUCCACAUCGUUGAACUCAAAUUCUGGUUCUGUCUCUAACCCAUCAACUCCGUGGCUUUUAUCGGAGGAACUUGAUUCCAAGGCUACUCAUGUUUAUUCUCUUGGUGAAAAUGAAUUGUUAGGUGAUACUGGCCGAACCUGUCAAAAAUAAAUGAGUCAUAGUUUGUUUGAUCAUUCAUUUUCUAAUCUUUCUUCUUUAUAUUUAAUUAGUUGUUUAAUUUCUUAAAAAAGAAUUCUGGUUUAUUUAUAGUAUAUUUGGUAGUAUGCAUGCCUCAGCUCCUUUAAUGCAUGUCUCUUACAGUAUAUUUGGUAGUCUUUUAUAAUGUUACACCCUUUUUUUUAAUUCCUAAAACCUUUUAACUUUCCAAAUUUUCAUUCAUUCUUUUAGAAAAUUAUUUUCAUUAUUUUUUUAUGGUUACAAAACCAUCCAUUAACUACAUUAAUUAGACAAUUCACUCCAAUAAUAAAUAAAUAACUUUUUUGGAUCUAAGGUCUUUUCUCAUUCUACAAAUUUAAUUUACUAUAUAAAGGUUAUUAUGCUAAUUGAAAAAUAUAUUUCUCUCAAGUAUGCAAUGACAGAAAAUUAGGUUAUAAAUAUAAAAAAAUAAUAUUUUUAGGUAUUAUAAUUUUUUUAAAAAAAUUAUAUUUUAAAUUUUUAAUAAAACCUUGCAUUUGGGGAUUCACAUGUUGUUACUUGUCGAACCAAAAAAGAUAAAUUCGUGGUGAAAACUCUUUAAAAGCCCAAUUCGUGGAAGGAAAAAUUGAAGUGUGGCGUUGAGUUAUUUUGUUGUUGAAGAAGAUCAGUAAAAAACCCACAGCAUUAAAACUUCUUUUUUGUUUCUUUAAGUAUAUUUUAGAUUGCAACGUAUUUUCUAUUUGGGUUUAGUUAGGGUUUCUCUUGUUUAUUCCAAGAUAUGCAUGGAUAGUUCAUGUUCGACUAUUUGGAAAGAGGGAUUUAUGUAGCACGGGUAUUAUAUUCUGGUUUUGGAAGUGUCGAGAUAAAUUAAGGACUUUUUUAAUCUUCUUCAAACAAACCUAUACGAAGGCGAAGAAUAAUUUGUGCUUGUAUUUUAGUCGGAAUAAGAAGAAACAUGAAGAGAAUGCCCACGAGGAAAAUGACCAUGAGAAAAAGUUGUGUAUUCCUCCAUCCAUAACUGAGCUCUCUAAUGUGUAUUUCUCCCUCCAUAACUGGCUUACUUUGGACUGUUUGGAUAGAAAGAAGAAUCCUUCGAAGCCCUAGACUUGUCUCUACCGCAUUCGGAAAUGCCAAGUUCUCUCUGAGGAUCUCUAACUUCUGCCGUGUUCACCGUCCGUCAGUCCGCAUUCCUACGUCUGCGUUCACCGCGUUCACCACGUCCGAGUUUAUCUAAUAUAUUUUUCCAAAUCUUAAAGAAGAACUUUUGAUUUCAUUGGAGUUUAUCAUUAGAGGCAUUACUAUAUUUGCUGCCUCUCAGUGGGCGAUAGGUUUUCCAAUGGUCAUUUGAGACUGGUUGAUAAUAGCAAAAGUUAGAGCUUGAGAAGAAGGAGAGAAGAAAGUAGUGAAGACAAAAGAAGAAAGAAAGCUGAGUGAAAAACGAAAAUUGACAAGGUAGAGAUGUGACAUGAAAAUGAUGAUGAGAAGUGAAGGAGGCACGACACAAUACUGGUACACAAUAACAAAGCCUUGAUAAUUAAAAAAAGGAUGGUGCCAAGAAAAUUUAAAUACAAAAAAAAUGAAGGUUCUUGCAAGUGUAUUGAGUGAAUGGGAGAAAGAAAGGAUAAAAAAGGUAGAAAGAGAGAAAGAGAAGUCAAGGGUAGAGAUACAUAGCUUUGUAUAUAGAAACUUUAUGUUUAUACUCCAUUAUACGUUGUGGAGAAUAUAACAUCCUGAUAUGUUUGAUUCAAUUUGAAUGAUGCAAUUAUUUAUUUUUCUGCAAUAAUUCUACUUCUAGAACCUAAAUUUUGAAAGCCUACUAAUUUUUCAGAAUUAAUUCGAGACCCCACUUUUGCUCCCCUUCCUACCUACGGUUACUUUUUGCUUAAACUUUAAAAGUUGUUUGAAAAUUUUUGCUGAAACUUGUAAAAUUUGUUUGAAGUUCGUAUAUCUCUCACAUAUUGCAAGGUUUCUUAAUUAUUUUAUUGAAUUUCCUACAUAAAUGCAUUCAAACAUGAGUUGACAUAAAUGCAUUUUGCUAUCAAGAGAGUAUACCAUACAUGCAUGUGUAGGACUUUUAUCCCUUAUAUUUUAUAAUUUGUCUUACUACUGUUAUUGACUGAUAUACCAAUAUACAUGUGUAAAGUAUUGAUCAUAUAUAAUUAAUAUUAAAUUUAUUACAUUCACUCAUCAAUUUAAGUUUUUUAGUCAAUGUAUGUUCAUGAUGUACCAUGGUCAUAUCAUAAUAGAAUAGAUCCAAGAUUAUAUAUGUUCAAACCAACUGGUGAUUUAAUUAUCAAAGAUAUUAUGAUUUUGUCCAGUUUUUUUUUUCAGUCACUACUAGAAAAAUGGAUUUUAAUCAAGACAUUGUGUCGUUGAAAAUAAAAGAAAAAAAGAGGUGGGAUGAGGUACAUUGUGUUGUUUGAAAAUAAAAAUAUGGAUUAUUUCUUAAAACAAUCAUAUUGACACAAUUUAAUUUAUUUCAAAACAAUUUUUGCGUCAUUAAUUAACGACAAUUUUUUUGUCAUUAAAAAAAUUUUCAAAUGAAAAAACCUCAAAUUUCAAAAAAGUUCGAAGUGGGCUACCGAGUCGUUAUGAAGAACCCUUGCCCUCCAAUUUUUUGCCACUUGCCGUCGUCGAUUCCACACUCCAACCACUGUUGUCGUUGCUCCCACAACAAGCCUUCGCCGUCAAACCCACCAAUCUAGCCACUUUCGUCGAAUAAAUUUAUUUAGAAAUAUAAGUUUUAAUGACACUUGAAAUCAAGAAAAAGGGAUAUGAGGGAAUAAAAUGUGUGUCGUUAAAAAUAAAAAUACAAAAUUUUUUGUGACACAAAUUGAGUUUUCUUGACAAAAUUUUCGCAUUGUAAAUAAUGGCAUAAAUUAUGUGUCAUUAAAAAUUACCCUAAUAAAAAAUCAAUGUUUUCCUUCAAUCAUAUGCUUUUUGAUUUAAAACAAAUAAUUCGAAGCUUUCAUCCCACUUGUGAACAAAUGACCGAAAAAAACCUUACUUCAUCCCACAUCGUCACUGUCUUUAGCUCUCUCGCAAAUGCUCUCUGGCGACGUUCCCCCCUCUCUCGCAAAUACUCUUCACGACUUUUUCUCUCUCUCAAAAUUAAGCUCUUCGCCCACCGUUUGAAGGAACUCACCAAAUUUGCAAGUAAUUGAAGAAUUUGUGGUCCAUGAGAUCGAUUAAGUCCAUUUAUGAGUUAGUUUGAUUAGAUUAUGUCACAUAUACAUGUAUUACAAUUAAGGGACACUUGCGAAAAUGGCAAAAUAAGUUAUAAUAAUUAAGUCCAUAGAACACAUACUUUAUUAUUUGAGAAAGUGACAAAAACAAAGACCAACUGUAACGACCCAACUUUUCUAGGUAAGUCGAGAGUCGUUAAUUUUUGACAAAAGACUUUGGUUGAUACAAAAUGAAAUGUAAGCCAAUUGAAAAACAACUUUAAGUCAGGCCUGAUUUUCAAAUAUUCCAAAAACUUAAAAAAAGUACUAUUUACAAAUAAAAGUUUGUAAGUUAUGUUUCAAUACAACGUCUUAAACCUAAAACAAAACAAUAAGCGGAAGCAAACUAACACAUUUCCUAUGGCAAUCACACUUCCUUGCUGCCCCUCGCCGGUUUGCCGCCUUUAUUACCUUUGCCUGAAAAUUAAACAUAAGAAGGGUGAGUAUAAAAAUACCCAGUAAGAGACCCUCUACUGGUCCCGUCAGGGGAAAAAUAAAUUGUUAACAUUCUAUUGGGACACCCUGUACAGUCGCGCAGUCUUGUGAUCCCGUAGGAUGCACAUUUCAGUCUAACGCCUCGAGGGACGUACAUUUCAGUGUAGUGUUCUGCAGAAACACAUAUCAGUCUAAUGCUCCCGAAGGUACAGAAUAAUUGGUGAUCCCGUGGGACACCUACAAGGCACACAUCCCAAUAAAAGCUAACAAUUUUUCCCCUCAAUCCAUUCGUACCAUCUUUCAGUUACUUCAAAAUAUAAAGUUCUUUCACUCAACGUUCUAACAGUCAACUUAUCUCACUUUAGCCCAAUGUCUGUCAGUAACAUACUAAUACGUCAGUCAAUCAAACUAUAUAGUCAUAACGCCUCUCAGUUCACCAGCACACAGUCAUACUUUAGUAUAACGUACACCCAGUCUAAACGACAAUCACAAAGUUCACAUCCGCAUCUCAAUACAAACACAAUCUACAAUUGUCGUCCUGUCUACAUCCACACACAUAUAUAUAUAUUCCAAGACAAUCACAAUAUGCAUUCAACAUCAAGUCUACUUCAAUUCAUGUGUAUAUAUAUAUUUUCAGUCAUCCACAGUAUACAUUCAACACCGAACCUACAUCCAUACGUAUAUAUAUAUUGUCUCAACACAUUUACUCAAUCAGAGGUGACUAACAUUACAAUUCAAAAGCAUAGGUGAGUCCAGUAGAAAAUAAAAUCCCUUACCUCACUUUUAUGCAAGUUCUUCAAUCUACUAAAUCCAAUGAAUCAAAUCCUAAACAUAAUCAAUCAUAAAAUCAACAUCUUUCUAAAUAGUUUCAACCAUUCAAAUUACCCCAUAUGUAAAUUCCACAACUUACCCAAGAAGUGGAAAAUCAAGUCCACUUCAACCUUUUGGAAAAUCAAGGAUUCGCUCACUGAAUCAAGAUGUACCUUCAAGAAUUAAGCAUUUCGCCAACAAUUAAAUCCAAUGGCAGCAUUCAACAAAAACCAAGAAACCAACAAAAACCAUAACUUGUUCUUACCCAAAUAUGAGCCCAAUGGUUCACGGCGAGGCAAAAAUGACAAUCAAGAACGAAUCAAGCGGCUGUAAAUAGAGCAACACUGAAUGCGACUCAACUGGAAAAGAAAAUCGGCUUCAAAUCGUAACUCCGUCUUACAACGAGCAGAAGAACGUCGACUUGAUAGGGGACACGUAAUUUAGGAAGAGAUCGACUUGGAUCCGUGUAUGACUUCACGAGAUGUAUGCGUCGACGGCUUCACGGAGGUGAAGACAGACGCGGUCGGAGAGUCACGCGGCAGUGCAGAAAACGGAGGAGAAAGGAACGGGCGGCGGCUGGGCUUGGCUUCGACGGAGACAGAGAUUGCGCAGCAGGGCUUCACGAACGGAGAGGAAAGGAAUGGGCACGGCGAUGCAGAUCUGGACGACUGCUGCAAGGUGACGCGUACGGCACUUCACGAACCGGCGACGGUUGCAGCGACGGAUCUGGGUUAUGGCGAACUGCAAGGGUGAAGCACAAGCGACGGCGAGGACCUGGACGGCUCGGCGAUGCAGAUCUGGAUGACGAUUUGCUUUGACGCGGGAGGCACGACGGUUGUGAGCGGAGAGGCACGGUGGUUGUGAGCGGAUGGGCGCGGCGGUUUCGAUCCGAAGGAGAAAAGGAAGACGACCGGAAAGAAGAAGAAGAAACGACCGGCAGCUUGUGUGGCCGACUGGGUGAACGGAGAAGAGAGGGAUGUGCGGCUGCUAGGGUACGGGAAGGAGAAAGGGAUGGAGGACGCACGGGAGGAAGAAGGAAGGAAAAAUUUCUUUUUUCUUUUCUUUUAUUUAAAUAAUAAAAAUAAAACUAAAAUAUAAAUAAAUAUAUAUAUAAUAAAAUUUCUUUUUCUUUUCUUUUAUUUAAACUAAAUAAUAAAACUAAAAAUAUAAAUAAAUAUAUAUAUAAUUAUAUUAUCACAUUUUCAAAUCUUCUUUCCCCCCUUCAACAUAUUUUCUUCAAAACAAUAAAUCUUGUACAAAUCGAAAAAAUCUCUUAAAAUAAAAUACCUUCGAGUUUGGGGCGUUACAUUCUUCCCUCCUUAAGGCGAAAGUUCUAAUCCUGAAAUAACUCUUGAUAACGAGUCCUCAUCUCUUCUUCUCGCUCCCAUGUCGCCUCUUCAAUUCGAUGAUUCCGCCACAAAACCUGUACUAAUGGAAUGCUUCUAUUACGAAGCAUCUUUACCUCUCUAGCCAGAAUCUCCACAGGUUGUUCUACAUAGCUCAAAUGCUCAUCAAUCUCCAAGGGUUCAUAGUCCACGACAUGAGAUGUAUCGGCCACAUACUUCCUCAACAUCGAAACAUGGAAAACAUUAUGGACUGCAGAGAGUGAUGGUGGUAAUGCCAAGCGAUACGCCACAACACCAACCCUCUCUAAGAUCUCAAAUGGUCCAACAAAACGAGGACUUAACUUCCCUUUCUUCUCAAAACGCAUAACACCCUUCAUAGGUGCUACCUUCAAGAAUACCUUUUCUCCCACAUCAAACUUAAGGUCUUUUCGCCGUACAUCUGCAUAACUCUUUUGUCUACUCUGCGCUGUUUGCAUACGUGCUCUAAUCUUUUGAAUAGCCUCAUUAGUAGACCGAACUAAUUUAGGUCCCAUCAACCUCUGUUCACCAACCUCACUCCAACAAAUAGGGGUUCUACAACAUUUACCAUACAAAGCCUCAAAUGGUGCCAUACCGAUGGUAGCCUGGAAACUGUUGUUAUAAGCAAACUCCAUCAAAUGUAGAUGAGAGUCCCAACUACCUGGAAACUCUAGAACACAAGCUCGUAGCAUAUCCUCUAAAACUUGGUUCAAACGUUCAGUUUGACCAUCAGUUUGUGGAUGAAAGGCUGUACUGAAAUCUAAUCUCGUACCCAUAGCAGUCUGAAGUCCCUUCCAAAACUUGGAAGUAAACCGUGCAUCCCUGUCAGAAACAAUCGAUACAGGCACUCCAUGCAGUCUCACAACCUCAGUUAAAUACAACUGUGCCCACUUACUAGCAGUAUAAGUGGAUUUCCCUGGUACAAAAUGUGCCGAUUUCGUAAGCCUGUCUACAACAACCAAAAUCACUGUGAAACCCUUCAGGGUCUUAGGCAGCCCUGAAAUAAAAUCCAUCGACACAUUCUCCCACUUCCACUCUGGCACACUUAAAGGUUGUAACAAACCUGCUGGUUUCUGUCUAGGUGCCUUAACCUGCUGACAUACUAGACACUUACUAACGAAUUCCGCCACUUCCCUUUUCAUAUUCCGCCACCAAUAAAAUCGUUUUAGAUCCUGAUACAUUUUCGUACUACCAGGAUGCAUGGAAAAUGAAGAAUUAUGGGCUUCAUCUAGUAAGUCAAUCUUAGCUGCACUGUUCGCUGGCACACACAAACGUCUCUCAAACAUCAAUCCACCAUCAGAGGAUAUGGAGAACUCAUCAGUCUGCUCUGUUCCAACAAGGCGACGUCUCUCCGGAGUCAAAUAAGGAUCAUUACUCUGAGCAUCAACAAUCUUCUGCCUCAGAGUCAGUUGCACCGUUAAUUGAGCUAACUGUGAGGUGACUCUCCCCACAGAUACUACAAUCUCAGCUCUCUCCAAGUCUCGAUGUAAUGGUACCUGUCUAGUAAUGAGUGCUGCCGAAUGUGAUACUUUUCUACUAAGAGCAUCAGCCACCACAUUCGCCUUACCAGGAUGGUACAAUAUCUCACAGUCAUAAUCCUUUACCAACUCGAGCCACCUUCGCUGUCUCAUAUUCAACUCCUUCUGAGUGAAGAAGUACUUCAGGCUCUUAUGGUCAGUAAAGAUUUGUAUCUUUUCACCGUACAAAUAAUGUCUCCAUAUCUUCAAUGCAAAAACCACUGCUGCCAACUCCAAAUCAUGUGUGGGGUAGUUCUGCUCGUGACUCUUCAACUGACGAGAGGCAUAAGCAACCACCUUACCUUUCUGCAUCAAAACACAACCCAGUCCUUUCUUGGAAGCAUCACUGUAAAUCACAAAACUUCCGGAUCCAUCUGGUACUGUAAGGACCGGUGCAGUAACUAACCUUUGCUUAAGGUUCUGAAAACUAUCCUCGCAAGCUGGACUCCAAACAAACGGAGUUCCCUUCCUUGUCAACUGAGUCAAGGGAGUAGCCAAACGUGAAAAAUCCUCCACAAACCUCCGGUAGUACCCUGCUAAACCCAGAAAACUACGAACCUCACUAACUGUAGAGGGUCGAGACCAACUGGUAACCGCUUCUAUCUUUGCAGGGUCUACAGAAACUCCCUCACUGGAAACCACAUGACCAAGAAAAGCCACCUGCUUCAACCAAAAUUCGCACUUAGAGAAUUUAGCAUAAAGUUUAUUGACUCGAAGAGUCUCUAACACUUUAUGUAAGUGUUCCUCAUGUUCGGCCUCAGUCUUGGAAUAAACCAAAAUAUCAUCAAUGAAGACUAUCACAAAAGUGUCUAAGAAAUCCUUAAACACCCUGUUCAUCAAAUCCAUAAAUACUGCAGGUGCAUUAGUCAAACCAAAAGACAUUACCAUGAAUUCAUAAUGUCCGUACCUCGAACGAAAAGCAGUCUUAGGAAUAUCACGGUCUCUAAUCCUCAACUGGUGAUAACCUGACCGUAAGUCAAUCUUAGAGAACACCGUGGCUCCCUGUAACUGAUCGAACAAAUCAUCGAUUCUAGGUAAAGGAUAUCUGUUCUUGAUUGUUACUUUAUUCAACUCUCUAUAGUCAAUGCAAAGACGCAUCGACCCAUCCUUCUUCUUCACAAACAAUACUGGUGCACCCCAAGGCGACACACUAGGUCGAAUAAAGCCUUUGUCAAGCAACUCCUGUAACUGUACCUUCAGUUAUUUCAACUCGACAGGAGCCAUCCUAUAAGGGGCUCUAGAAAUGGGAGUAGUGUCUGGCUCCAACUCAAUGGCAAAAUCAAUCUCUCUAUGUGGCGGUAGUCCUGGAAGAUCUUCUGGAAACACAUCUGGGUAUUCUCUUACCACAGGUUCUGAAGUUAAGGAAGUCUCAUCUUCCCUAGUAUCCACCACACUUGCCAAAAUACUCCAGGUACCCUGGUUGAGCAGUUUACUAGCUUUCAUAGCUGAGAUUACUUUAGGCAGUACUACUGUUCCUACCCCUUGAAUUUAAAGCUAGAUUCGGUAGGGGGACUGAACACAACCUCUUUACGAGAGCAAUCAAUACUAGCAUGAUUAGUAGCUAGCCAAUCCAUACCUAAAAUUACAUCAAAGUCACGCAUAUCUAAUACCAACAAGGUUACGUCCAGCACACGACCAGCUAUCUCAAUUUCACAUGCUUUAAUCUUUUCCUUAGACAACAUAAUUUCUCCAGACGGUGUAGACACUGACAAAACAUAAUCUAAGGGUUCCACCUCUAAGCAUGCAUGCGUCACAAAAAGCGAUGAAAUAAAUGAAUGAGAAGACCCCGAGUCAAACAAGGUCAAGGCAAAAUGCCCUAACACUGGUAAUGUACCUGUCACCACUGUGCAGGCCUUCUCUGCUUAUGAUCUAUUAGUGGCAAAGAUUGUACCCCGCUGUGGAGGUUUCGCUCCCUGACUGCUCUGUCCAGCCCCAGUAGAUCUCAAGGGACAUCGAUCAGCCAUGUGUCCCUCUUGCUUGCACUUAUAACAGACUCUCGUUCCCAUCAAACAACGACCCAGGUGGUGUUUCCCACACGUAUUGCAUAGUGGCUUCUCUCGAGUAGUGUCUCCUGCCCCGCCAGAACUCUGCUGGAAACUGCAAAAAGGAUCGCCUAAUCUCAAGUUCCUCUGAGGAAUUCCCACAGUUCUCUGCUCUGCUUUCCUCUUUUGACCAGACGACGAUCCCUUAUCAAAACUCCUUGCCCGAAUUUCAUCCUUCCCAAUGCUCAUAUCCACUGCCAGGCGCAGCGCUUCAGCCUGGGUAGUGGGCUUUAGUGCUCGCACAAAGCCUCUAAUCUCAUCUCUCAAUCCUUUGACGAACCUAUCAGCUCUAGCCUGCUCAUUACCAACAAGUUCAGGGGCAAAACGCGACAGCAUAUCAAACUCCUGGUCGUACUCCUCGACUGUCAUAUGUCCUUGCUUCAAUUCCAAGAAUUCCUGGCUUUUGGCGUCUCUAAGGUUAGCCGAGAAAAACUUGGUAUAGAAGCAGUCUUUAAACUGAUCCCAGGUAAUCUGUCUCACAUCUCCACCUAGCAUACGCAUCGUAGUUCUCCACCAGAUAAUACCUCUGUCCCUCAGAAGAAAAGCAGCACACUGAACUCUAUGCUCCUCUGGACAUCUCAUGUAAUUAAAUAUGGUUUCCACAGAGGACAACCACAACUCAGCUUUAGUAGGAUCCUCUAGUGACCCAUCAAACGUCUGAGGGUCAUAUUUCCUAAAGUCCCUCAAAUGUUUCGCCUCAGCAGAAAGUUGGUUCGGUAAUGUCUGCGGCUGUUGUGCAGCCAAUCCUUGCGCAGGAGGGGCUGCUGGUGCAGGUGGAGCUGCUGGUACAGGGGGAACCACAGGUGCAGGUGGAACUGCAGGUGCCUGCUGGUUCUGAGCUAUAGCCGUCAUAAGCUCCGUGAACCUCUGCUCCAUGUGAGCAGACAGUGCAGCAAACUCAACAUGAGUCACGGGUGCAGUAGGAAUUCGCUAUUCAGCUUGACCCUCAGUAGGUUGAUUACGACCUGCUCCUCUACCCGGCCUCUACGACCUCCUCUACGUACACCUCUCUUUGGCGGCAUAAUUCCUAUUAUCCACCAACAACACUCUUUAAAAAGUCUUAAUCAUAAGCAUAAGAAGUCUUUAUCGUCAUGCAAUCUAGUUUAAUUUAGGCAAAGUCAUGCAAAUAAACCAUACAUAUAAGCAUAAAGCAUACCUGACGAGAGACGAAGGGUCGCGUUAGGCAUAGGGACAUAAAACAUAGACUUACAUCGUAAGUCAGUCUACAGAACCUAAAACUUAGGCUCUGAUACCAACUGUAACGACCCAACUUUUCUAGGUAAGUCGAGGUCGUUAAUUUUUGACAAAAGACUUUGGUUGAUACAAAAUGAAAUGUAAGCCAAUUGAAAAACAACUUUAAGUCAGGCCUGAUUUUCAAAUAUUCCAAAAACUUAAAAAAAGUACUAUUUACAAAUAAAAGUUUGUAAGCUAAGUUUCAAUACAACGUCUUAAACCUAAAAAAAACAAUAAGCGGAAGCAAAAUAACACAUUUCCUAUGGCAAUCACGCUUCCUUCCUGCCCUCGCCGGUUUGCCGCCUUUAUUACCUUUGCCUGAAAAUUAAACAUAAGAAGGGUGAGUAUAAAAAUACCCAGUAAGAGACCAACUGGUGAUUUAAUUAUCAAAGAUAUUAUGAUUUUGUCCAGUUUUUUUUCAGUCAUACUAGAAAAAUGGAUUUUAAUCAAGACAUUGUGUCGUUGAAAAUAAAGAAAAAAGAGGUGGGAUGAGGUACAUUGUGUUGUUGAAAAUAAAAAUAUGGAUUAUUUCUUAAAACAAUCAUAUUGACACAAUUUAAUUUAUUUCAAAACAAUUUUUUCGUCAUUAAUUAACAAUUCUUUUGUCAUUAAAAAAAAUUUCAAAUGAAAAAACCUCAAAUUUCAAAAAAGUUCGAAGUGGGCUACCGAGUCGUUAUGAAGAACCCUUGCCCUCCAAUUUUUUGCCACUUGUCGUCGUCGAUUCCACACUCCAACCACUGUUGUCGUUGCUCCCACAACAAGCCUUCGCCGUCAAACCCACCAAUCUAGCCACUUUCGUCGAAUAAAUAGAAAUAUAAGUUUUAAUGACACUUGAAAUCAAGAAAAAAAGAUAUGAGGGAAUAAAAUGUGUCGUUAAAAAUAAAAAUACAAAUUUUUUUGUGACACAAAUUGAGUUUUCUUGACAAAAUUUUCGCAUUGUAAAUAAUGGCAUAAAUUAUGUGUCAUUAAAAAUUACCCUAAUAAAAAAUCAAUGUUUUCCUUCAAUCAUACGCUUUUUGAUUUAAAACAAAUAAUUCGAAGCUUUCAUCCCACUUGUGAACAAUGACCGAAAAAAACCUUACUUCAUCCCACAUCGUCACUGUCUUUAGCUCUCUCGCAAAUGCUCUCUGGCGACGUUCCCCCUCUCUCGCAAAUACUCUUCACGACUUUUCCUCUCUCUCAAAAUUAAGCUCUUCGCCCACCGUUUGAAGGAACUCACCAAAUUUGCAAGUAAUUGAAGAAUUUGUGGUCCAUGAGAUCGAUUAAGUCCAUUUAUGAGUUAGUUUGAUUAUUAGAUUAGAUUAUGUCACAUAUACAUGUAUUACAAUUAAGGGACUUGCGAAAAUGGCAAAAUAAGUUAUAAUAAUUAAGUCCAUAGAACACAUACUUUAUUAUUUGAGUGACAAAAACAAAGACCAACUGUAACGACCCAACUUUUCUAGGUAAGUCGAGGUCGUUAAUUUUUGACAAAAGACUUUGGUUGAUACAAAAUGAAAUGUAAGCCAAUUGAAAAACAACUUUAAGUCAAACCUGAUUUUCAAAUAUUCCAAAAACUUAAAAAAAGUACUAUUUACAAAUAAAAGUUUGUAAGCUAAGUUUCAAUACAACGUCUUAAACCUAAAAAAAACAAUAAGCGGAAGCAAAAUAACACAUUUCCUAUGGCAAUCACACUUCCUUCCUGCCCCUCGCCGGUUUGCCGCCUUUAUUACCUUUGCCUGAAAAUUAAACAUAAGAAGGGUGAGUAUAAAAAUACCCAGUAAGAGACCCUCUACUGGUCCCGUCAGGGGAAAAAUAAAUUGUUAACAUUCUAUUGGGACACCCUGUACAGUCGCAGUCUUGUGAUCCCGUAGGAUGCACAUUUCAGUCUAACGCCCGAGGGACGUACAUUUCAGUGUAGUGUUCUGCAGAAACACAUAUCAGUCUAAUGCUCCCGAAGGUGCAGAAUAAUUGGUGAUCCCGUGGGACACCUACAAGGCACACAUCCCAAUAAAAGCUAACAAUUUUUCCCCUCAAUCCAUUCGUACCAUCUUUCAGUUACUUCAAAAUAUAAAGUUCUUUCACUCAACGUUCUAACAGUCAACUUAUCUCACUUUAGCCCAAUGUCUGUCAGUAACAUACUAAUACGUCAGUCAAUCAAACUAUAUAGUCAUAACGCCUCUCAGUUCACCAGCACACAGUCAUACUUUAGUAUAACGUACACCCAGUCUAAACGACAAUCACAAGUUCACAUCCGCAUCUCAUACAAACACAAUCUACAAUUGUCGUCCUGUCUACAUCCACACACAUAUAUAUAUAUUCCAAGACAAUCACAAUAUGCAUUCAACAUCAAGUCUACUUCAAUCCAUGUGUAUAUAUAUAUUUUCAGUCAUCCACAGUAUACAUUCAACACCGAACCUACAUCCAUACGUAUAUAUAUAUGUCUCAACACAUUUACUCAAUCAGAGGUGACUAACAUUACAAUUCAAAAGCAUAGGUGAGUCCAGUAGAAAAUAAAAUCCCUUACCUCACUUUUAUGCAAGUUCUUCAAUCUACUAAAUCCAAUGAAUCAAAUCCUAAACAUAAUCAAUCAUAAAAUCAACAUCUUUCUAAAUAGUUUCAACCAUUCAAAUUACCCCAUAUGUAAAUUCCACAACUUACCCAAGAAGUGGAAAAUCAAGUCCACUUCAACCUUUUGGAAAAUCAAGGAUUCGCUCACUGAAUCAAGAUGUACCUUCAAGAAUUAAGCAUUUCGCCAACAAUUAAAUCCAAUGGCAGCAUUCAACAAAAACCAAGAAACCAACAAAAACCAUAACUUGUUCUUACCCAAAUAUGAGCCCAAUGGUUCACGGCGAGGCAAAAAUGACAAUCAAGAACGAAUCAAGCGGCUGUAAAUAGAGCAACACUGAAUGCGACUCAACUGGAAAAGAAAAUCGGCUUCAAAUCGUAACUCCGUCUUACAACGAGCAGAAGAACGUCGACUUGAUAGGGGACACGUAAUUUAGGAAGAGAUCGACUUGGAUCCGUGUAUGACUUCACGAGAUGUAUGCGUCGACGGCUUCACGGAGGUGAAGACAGACGCGGUCGGAGAGUCGCGCGCAGUGCAGAAAACGGAGGAGAAAGGAACGGGCGGCGGCUGGGCUUGGCUUCGACGGAGACAGAGAUUGCGCAGCAGGUCUUCACGAACGGAGAGGAAAGGAAUGGGCACGGCGACGCAGAUCUGGACGACUGCUGCAAGGUGACGCGUACGGCUUGCUUCACGAACCGACCGACGAUUGCAGCGACGGAUCUGGGUUACGGCGAACUGCAAGGGUGAAGCACAUGCGGCGGCGAGGACCUAGACGGCUCGGCGAUGCAGAUCUGGACGACGAUUUGCUUUCCGAGGGAGCACGACGGUUGUGAGCGGAGAGGCACGGCGGUUGUGAGCGAAUGGGCGCGGCGGUUUCGAUCCGAAGGAGAAAAGGAAGACGACCGGAAAGAAGAAGAAGAAACGACCGGCAGCUUGUGUGGCCGACUGGGUGAACGGAGAAGAGAGGGAUGUGCGGCUGCUAGGGUACGGGAAGGAGAAAGGGAUGGAGGACGCACGGGAGGAAGAAGGAAGGAAAAUUUCUUUUUUCUUUUCUUUUAUUUAAAUAAUAAAAAUAAAACUAAAAUAUAAAUAAAUAUAUAUAUAAUAAAAUUUCUUUUUCUUUUCUUUUAUUUAAACUAAAUAAUAAAACUAAAAAUAUAAAUAAAUAUAUAUAUAUAUAUUAUAUUAUCACAUUUUCAAAUCUUCUUUCCCCCCUUCAACAUAUUUUCUUCAAAACAAUAAAUCUUGUACAAAUCGAAAAAAUCUCUUAAAAUAAAAUACCUUCGAGUUUGGGGCGUUACACCAACUCACACAUCAAGAGGUAAAAUGUCACAAAUGCCCUCGUUAUUGAUGUACAUUUGAUACACCUUAUACACGUCUGAUACACCUAAUACCUCUUGAUACAUUAAGUCCAUUUAUGAGUUAGUUUGAUUAGAUUAUGUCACAUAUACAUGUAUUACAAUUAAGGGACACUUGCGAAAAUGGCAAAAUAAGUUAUAAUAAUUAAGUCCAUAGAACACAUACUUUAUUAUUUGAGAAAAUGACAAAAACAAAGACCAACUCACACAUCAAGAGGUAAAAUGUCACAAAUGCCCUCGUUAUUGAUGUACAUUUGAUACACCUUAUACACGUCUGAUACACCUAAUACCCCUUGAUACACUUGAUACUUCUUACUGAUACACUUGAUACAUUUGAUAGAUACAAUUCAUGCACUCGGUACUCAUUGAUACACUCGAUACUUUUUGAUACACACCUGAAACAUCUUCAUACACAUAAUACUUCUCGUUCCACAUAAUACUUCUCGUUACACUUGAUUCUUCUUGAUACACUUGAUACCCCUGAGACCUUGAUACACUUGAUUAGUUUGAUACACUUAAAGACUUCACUUAUAAGUUUGAUACACUUGAUACACCACUAAUAAACUUGUUAUACUUCAUUGGUACACUUAACAAAUUCGAUAUGUUUGACGUACAUGCACUACAAGAAAUUUACCCUUUGUCGAUGACAAAUAUCGUCAGUAAAUCUUCAAAAACUAAUCAACUUUUCUUUUGCCAACGAAAUUAAGCUGUCAACACACACCGUCAGGUAGGUCUGUCGGAAGAUCCUCUAUCGAUGGCAAAAAAUAAACUGUCAGCAAAAAUAGGAACUAUCGAUGAAAUUGAACCAUCAGUGGGCGUGUGUGUGUGCGCUCGUGUGUGCGCAUGUCCACGUGUGCUUGGGUGUGUGUAUGCGCACAUACAUGUGUACGUGAGUAGGUGUGUGCGUGUUUGCGUGUGCAUUUGUGUGCGUGCGGUUUGGUGUGCGUGUGCAUGUGUGUGUUUGUGUGUGUGUGCCUAUGUUCGUGUGUGUGUGCGUGUAUGGGUGCACGCGCGUGCAAGUGUAUGUAUGUGUGUGCGCGUGUGAUUGUGUGUGAAUAAGUUGAUAUUUUUUAAUGUUGAGUUUCUCCCAAUUUUAAAACAAUAAUUUAAUUAUCUUGAUAUUCAAGCCAUUAAUAUUAUUGUGAGAUAAAGAUAGUGAAUAAGUUGAUAUUUUUUAAUUUUGAAAUUCAGUUAAAGUUAUUUUGAUACAAAAUCUAUUGCUGAGAUUAUCAUAUUCUGAAAAAUAAUAAUUUUGUUAUUUUGAAAUUCAAUUUGGUUAUUUUGAAAUUCAAAUUCAAUUAGGUUAUUUUGAAAUUAGUAAGAUUAAAUAAAGUUGAAGUCUUGAAUCCAUUAGUUGAGUCCCGAGAUAUUAAGAAAAAAGUAUGAUAUGAGUUUAUGUAUCUUUUUCAGGUAAAAAAUAAUUAAAAGCUGAUAAAUGCAUAAUAUAAAUUAAUUACAAUAUAGAAACAAGAUAAUUUUAGUUGGAGAAUGUGAAUAUUUUGGUAUUUUAUAAAAUAUUAUGCACGUGCAAAAAAUGUUAUUUGCUAAAAUUAACAAAAAAAGUUUUGCCAUUUUUCAAAAUGACCCAUAAAAAUGUUGCUAUAUCUCUUAUGACAGAGUGUAUAUCUACUGGUUCAUAUUCGACAUGUUUGUUGCUAAUAGAAUUGGAUAAAAUCGCAUUAUAUUGAAAUAAUUACACGAAUGACACUUUUAAGCCAAUAUUGGUAGAAAUUAUAGUUUAAUUAAUGUUAUUAAGUCAAUGAACAUGGUUUAAAAGUCCUUCUAAACACAAUUAAUGUAGUUGUUUUUUAAUUUUAACUCAUUUAUACAUCUUUAUGCAUAUGUGCUGUGUACGUGUGCGCGUGUAGGUAGGUGUGCGUAUGUGUAUGUGCGUGUGUUCGUGCGAGUGUCCGUGUGCAUGUGUGUGUGGGUGUGUGCAUGUUUGUAUGUGUUUGUGCGUGCGUGUGUGUGCACGGGCUAUUGCGUGUGUGCUUGGGUGUGCUCGCGCGUGCGUGUUUGUGCGCGUGUGCGUAUGUGUUUACGUGUGUGCGUUUGUGCGUACGCGUGUGUGCGUUUGUGCAUGUGUGUGUGCUUGUGCGCGUGUGGAUAGGUGUGUGUGUGUGCAUGCGUGCGCGUGUGCAUGUGUGUGUGCGUGCGUUCGUGCGUCUGUGGGUGUCUAUGUGUAGGUGUGCGUGUGCACGCGUGUGUGUAAGUGUGCAUGUGUACGUGUGUGCGCAGUGCUUCUAUGCUUGUGUGCGAACAAGUUAAUAUUUUUUAAUGUUGAGUUUCUUCCAAUUUUAAAAUAAUAAUUUAAUUAUCAUGAUAUUCAAGGCAUUAAUGUUAUUUUGAGAUAAAGAUAGUGAACAGGUUGAUAUUUUUUAAUUUUGAAAUUCAAUUAAGGUUAUUUUAAUACAAAAUCUAUCGUUGAGACUCUCAAAUUUCGAAAAAUAAUAAUUUUGUUAUUUUGAAAUUCAAAUUCAAUUAGGUUAUUUUGAAAUUAGUAUGAUUGAAUAAAGUUAUUAAUAUGUUGAAUUAAUUAGUUGAGUCUCGAGAUAUUAAGAAAAAUAUUAUGAUAUGAGUUAAUAUAUCUAUUUCAAGUAAAAGAUAAUUAAAAGCUGAUAAAUGCAUAACAUAAAUUAAUUACAAUGUAGAAACGAAAUAAUUACAGUUGAAGAAUGUUGAUAUUUUGGUAUUUUAUAAAAUACCAUGCACGUGCAAAAAAUGCUAGUUGCUAAAAUUCAAAGGAAAAAGUAGUUUUGUCAUUUUUCAAAAUGACCCCUAAAAACGUUGUUAUGUCUCUUAUGACAAAGAGUGUAGAUCUACUGAUCCAUAUUCGAUUUGUUUUUGUUGGUAAAAUUGGAUAAGACCGCAUUAUAUUGAUAAUAACGAAUGACAGUUUUAAGCCAAUAUUGAUAGAAAUUAUAAUUAAUCAAUGUUAUUAAGUCAAAUGAACAUGGUUUAAAACUCUUUCUAAACAUAAUUAAUGUAUUUGUUUUUUAACUUUAAUUAAUUUACACAUCCUUGUGUGUGUGCAUAUGUGCGCGUGCGUGUGCGUGUGUGGAUGGGUGUGUGUUGCGUGCGUGUGUUGUGCACGUGUGCGCGUGUGCUUGUGUGCGAACAAGUUGAUAUUUGUUAAUGUAAAUUUCUCCCAAUUUAAAAUAAUAAUUCAAUUAUCUUGAUAUUCAAGUCAUUAAUGUUAUUUUGAGAUAAAAAUAGUGUACAAGUUGAUAUUUUUUAAUUUUGAAAUUCAAUUAAAGUUAUUUUGAUACAAAAUCUAUCGUUGAGAUUCUCAAAUUUCAAAAAAUAAUAAUUUUGUUAUUUGAAAUUGAAAUUUAAUUAGGUUUUGAAAUUUUGUAAAUGAAUAAAAUUAAAAUCUUGAAUCAAUUAGUUGAGUCCCGAGAUAUUAAGAAAAAGGAUGUAUCUUUUCAGGUAAAAAUAAUUAAAAGCUAAUAAAUGCAUAACAUAAAUUAUAAUUACAACGUUAGAACGAAAUAAUUACUGUUUGAGAAGGUGAAUAUUUUGGUAUUUUAUAUAAUAAUAUCAUGCACACGUGCAAAAAUUCUAUUUGCUAAAAUUAAAAGAAAAAGUAGUUUUGCCAUUUUUCAAAAUGACCCAUAAAAACGUUGCUAUAUCUCUUAUGACAAAGAGUGUUGCAUCUCUGGUACAUAUUCGACUUGUUUUUUGUUCGUAAAAUUGGAGAAAUUGAGGACACAACUCCAAUUCCUAGCAUGUUUCUCUCCUAAGACUAUGCUGGUCCUAGUCGGGGAGUGGCAUUUACAUCCCAGAAAGACACACAUGUAUCACCUCGUGUUGGCACUUCCAUUGCAAUGCCACAACUCUGACAUAUAUAGUGCCGACAUUUCCUUCCUUAAGCUUGAAAAAAGGUGAUUUGAUGUCCAUAAAAAAUUAACUGAGCAGUUAGAUAUUUUCUAAUAUGUAUCUCACGUAAUUUGAUGCUCAUUGAUACUGCAGUACUGUGUCAGGAACGUGUUUGAUGUAAAAUCUUUCAGUUUUGAUGGAUCUUAUUACAAGCUUUCAACUCUUCUUAGCACGACUUCUGACAGAACAAAGGUUUGAUAUAUCUUUACACGAUCGCAUAUCACAUAUGAACGAUCGCAUAUCCCAUCUGAAAUAUCGAUCACCCUUGGUAAAACAACCGUUUAGAUAUUCUACACGAUUGUUUGCUUAAGGAUACACGAUCAUUUUGUAACUAUUUUUUUUUUAUCCUUUUUUCUUUCUAUACUAGAACCAGAAUCAAUUGUUUGAUGAUAUUAACAACAUGUAUGAUGAUCUUCGUGAUGAUUCUAGUCAUCACAAUCUGGAAGAAUGAUGACCAUCAAAAUAACAAACAUGUGAUCAUCCAUGAGAAUCCAUUUGUUCAAGAGUCACAUCUUCAAGAAUCUACUGUAGAAACUCAACAGUUAGUGUUUAAUUCAUUAGUUACCGCUUUAUAUUGUUUAAAAUUGCUUAGAUUAUAAAUAAACAACAAUAAUUUUUUUUCUUUUCUGUGUAGGGAACAAAAAUGAACAACGCCUCAACAUCAAGAGUAGUCAGGCAGUGAUAUUAGCAUAUAUGGCAGAGAUGCACAUUUGAUAUUAACUAUAAGUAAUAUAGCAGAAAAUAUGGAAGGUCAUACUCAAACAGAAAAGGGAUUGCUAGAAAUGAUUGAAAAUCUUCCGUUGGUAAGCCAACCACUUCCACUUUGUGAGAUGCUACCAUUAACUACUGUCAAAGGUCUUGCAUUAGUUUAAUUGGUAUGUGUGCCCUAAAGGGAUAAAAGCUCUUGGCAGUGAAAGAUUUUACAAAACCAUUCAUCAAUUUUAAUUUGAAAAUUCCAAAAUACCAGUACAUUGACAAUAUUUAGAAUCAAAGUUCUAAAUAAAGAACUAAAUAUGCUUUUAAAUUAAAAGAUACAUAGAACUGACUCUUGUUGACGUCUUUGAAUCUAUAAUCCACCGAAUUGGGGACACCACCCGUUGGAGACCUUCCUAUCUUCGAAGAUGAGAUUGGUUUGUGGAAAACAAUUGGAAUGAAAAAAAAAUUUAGAGAGAAACUAUGUAACACCCCCAAUAUCAAGGUAUUUCUCUCAAGCUAAAUUUUUAAAAUUUUAUUAAGAUUUUAAGGAAUUUGGUUGUGGUGUGGAUUUAGCAGGAAGUGAAGGGGGCUUUUAUGAAAAAAUAUACUAAUACUAAAGGUUAAAUAAUAAUAAUAGAAUUAAUGUUAUUAUUAAUUUAAAAUAUCAAUUCUUUAUUGAUUCACGUGCAACCCCAUCUCUUUCUCCUUCACUCUUCCUCUUCCCGUGCCCACCGCCACCUGCCUCCCUUAGCCAUUUUAUAUUACUCUUGGACGUCAGCCGGCCACGCCGUCACCGAUCCCUUCGUCUCCGUUGAAGCCGAAGCACCGUUCGUCGUGAGUUCGAACUCUCGGCAUCGCGUCUCACCUCUGUUUUCCAGCCAAGCUGUGAUUCAUUCGCGCGUAGCUCCUUCGACGUUGCGCCACCACAUUCUGCUCCAGGUGACGAGGAGCGUCACCGAUUGACCUAUCAUCUCACCGCGUUGUUACUUAGUUGAAGCAGCCGUCGACAGACCUGAGCCCGUCACGUCUGUUGAAGUGCCGUCGCGCGGCUCUUCACCUUCAGCCAUGGGUUGUAAGCUGAAGUUUGUUUUUCGUUUGUUGAUUAGAUCUGAUCUAUUACACGCGUCGAUUCCAGUUAUUCGAAGUUGUUGCCCCCAUUUUACUCUAAUUUUUGGGAUUUUUGUGGUAAGUUGUAUUGGUGAGUGUGGUGGUUUUACAUUGUAAUUAUCCUUGGGUUGUAGUUUUGGAUAAUUAGUUAAAUUGUUAAUUGAUUCUUGAAGUUAGCGUUUGAGUUCUUUGGAUUCACAACUAAGUUGUAGAUUUGUUGGAGUUCGGUUCGCCAAUAAAGCUAGAAUUUACAUUGAGGAAAUUAAAUGAACGAAAGUAUUGUGAAAGUAAUUGAGUUCCAUAUUCUUAGUAUUAGGUUUCCUUCGUUCGAGAAAUUUAAGUAACAUUAAAGUAAGGGGUUUCUAUUACUGGACUCUUUGAAAGUUUUGAAAUGUGUUGACUGUUUGGAUCUCUGGACUUAGUAUGGUUUACCAAAUAUGUAGAAGUAGAUAUGAUGACAAAUGUAUAUUAUGCCAGACUAGUAUAGAAGUAGAUACGAUGGAUAAUGUAUUUGUAAACUAAGAAAGGUGUUAUGUAUAUAUAUAUAUCUUGACUGUCUGGUGUGUUGUUAUAGUAUCAACUGAUUUUAUGAUAGAUUGAAUAGAUUGAACGUAAGUGUGUUAAGUUGGAUUGAUGAUAUGAUGAAGUAGUUUGACUAUACUAGGAAUGGAUUGAUUAAAUGUUUAUAAUGGACUAAGGGAAAAUUGUUAGCUUUGUCGAUUGGGUAGUGUGCCUUGCAGGUGCCUACAGGAUCACCACCUGUUGUGCAUUCUUCGAGAGCACUAGAAUGACAUGUGCAUUCUUCGAGAGCAAUAGACUGACAUGUGCAUUCUUCGAAAGCACUAGACUUACAUGUGCUUUCUGAAGAGCACUACUAAUAUUUGUGUCCUUUAGGGCAUUGGACUGAAUUAUGUGUAAUUUCUACAUGAUCACAAGACUUAUCUAAAGGUGCGAGGGCACCUCCAAGUAGGAAGUUAACAAUUUUAUUUUUCUUCAGUGAACCAGUUUGAUCAGUAGUGGGUCUCUUACUGGGUAUAAGUUUAUAACCAUCACCCUUUUCCAAUGUUUCCCAAAAGUCUUGGCCUUUCUGCGAAACUGCUCCAUAAGGAAAAUGUCCUUCAAAUUGACUUAUACAUCUUAUAUUUUUUUUAUUGCUGCAAGUUUUCUUAUAGAUCUAAUUUGAGCACUGUUUUGGGUUUCAUGAUCAUGAACGAUGUGUUAGUUGUUCUUGAACCUUAUCUUUAUUAUCGAUACUUUUAUCAACUUUACCAAAAUUUUAUUGGAAAUAGAGCCCGAUAUAAAACUCACUCUUAUUAAUGUUGUAAAAUGAAGAGACAUAGCUCAAUUUUUUUAAGAUUAUACAAAGUGCUAUAGGAUGGAGGUUAAAGAGACGAAUCUAGUCAUCUAAAGUAAGUUAACUUCAGCUUAGCAUUCGAAACACAUUCAGGUCGUUACAAUACUAUUUUGCAAUCAAAAGCCACAAAUCGAAUGCGAUUUUUAUGUUUGUUUUGCCUUAAGAAAAGACUGCUUUGUUAUCGGUUCUAGCAUAGUUGGAUAUGAUGACGGUGCUCUGGGGGUGUCUUUCUAGUUGAGAUGCCAAGGUGCACCCCCUGAUCCGGGGUUACAGGUUCAUUGAAUAACUCUCUUGUACUAGGAGCUUCUAUCUAACUAUUAAAAAUAUAUUAAUAUUAAUAAAGAAGUUGUCUCCUUUUCAAAAAAAUCAACUAAACUAAUUACACCAUUAAUCAAUUAGUUAAUAAUAUAAAUUAAAUCAAUAUUAUAAAUUAAUAUUUCCAAAUUUAAAUCUUAUUGAAUGAAUAUCUCUCCAAUACCUUAUAAGUUUUAUACUUAAUUUAGCAUUAAAUCCCAACAAAUAUUGAAUGUUUAAAUAAUAUUAAACUAACACUUCGAUUCAAUUAAUUAAUCAACUCAAAGGUGCUAAAUAUUUUUCAUAUUAUCAACUUAAAUGGGUUAAAUUUGAAGUCAUAUUACAUAAUAUGGAACUUUUAUCUCAAUAACUAAAUUAAAGUUUAAUUAUACAUACAACGUUAUCCAUAUAACGAUAUUAAACUUUAUAUUGAGCUAAAUGUAUCACUGUAUGAUUAUACUAAUUAUACAUAAUUUUCCAAUAAUAAAUAUUGAAUAUUUCAAAUUAGAACCAAUAUGAAAUCAAACUCAAACAACUUAUCUCAAAUUUUGCCUAUCAGUUCCAUUACUUUGUAUUGUCGAGUCGAAAUACAAUAAAUUAGGCAUCGAAGCCCUAAUACAUAAAACGAAAUAUACGAGAUGAAACUCUAAAAAAAAAAAAUGCCCUAUCUCGCUAUAACUACAAUGAGAUGGACAAAUAGACAUUCGUAUAGGCUAUCUAUCUCUAUCUAUCUGAAACUAAGCACACAUAGAAUUGUUCAUAUCUUCUCUAAUACCGAUGAGACAAAAAUAGCAAUCUAUUUAAUAUCUACCUGAGAUGACAAACAUUAAAAAAAAAAACCUUACCGAAGGGUUAAUAUAUAUCUUAGAAUACUUUAGGUAUAGACUAAAACAUGCUAACACGAUUCUCAAGCCCAAAGAAGUUCAAAACUUAGCACAAUCUUCAUUGCUUAAAAGUAGCUUUACUUCUUUCAUCAAUAACCACAUGUUUGCCAAUACAUCUCUAAAUUGAAGCUAAGCAUGGUAGCUACAGGUCAGUUCUCUAAGAUCUUUAAAAACUAAAUUUACACUGUCUACACAAUUUGAUAGUCAAUUCAUGUCUAGAUAUCAACUUGAAACUCAUUUUUGUCAUACCUAGAGAGUAGAUUCAACCAAUGGCUUAUCAAAUUGUUCGAACUCCUUGGAAUCUAACAUGUAUGAUUUAUACUGUCUCACCUUUUAAUAUCUUUACUAUGUGUUCUUUUGCCCAUCCAAGCUUUCUGCUUAAUAUUAACUCCAAGCAUUUGUACAUGCCUUAUGCACAAUUGCUUUCGGAAUGAAUACGAUGGCAGAAGUAGACAUGAACUUGAACUGCAUGCUAUCAAGCAACUGUCAAUCUAACCUGUUGAAGAAGCUUGUCAUAAUGACAACUAAUCAUUCAAUGAACGGUCUAUUGUUCGAUAAUUCUACUUACUCCAUCCAAUUGAAUCUGUUCUACGAUAUUAAAUACAAUGUAGAGAAUCUAAAGGUGAUUCGAGACAUUCGUACCAUUAAAUUUCAGCAACUAAGUAAUUCAUUCAUAACAUAGUUAACAUCCACUUCCAUUGACCGUCCAUUAAAAAGACAACUUAAAUCGGAAAGAGUACCAUUAUAAUCGUUUGUAAAAAAAAAAAAAUCUUCUAGAUAUUAUAAGUCUAUUUAAUUCUGGGAAUAGAAAAUGAAAUAGAAUAGAAUCAUGAGAUUCUAUACAUUUAUUACUGAAUAAAAGAAUAAAUAUGUACAAACUACUGAUAAUACUAAACACUAAUGCAUUAGUUAAUAAGUAAACGAAAUCGAAUGCAAUGAAAUAAUAUUACAUUAAACGAUCCUAUUAACCGUGAUAAACGACCAUUUACACAACGGUAAAUGACUAAUAUUUGACUUAAAAUAAAUUUGAAUCGUGUUGAAACAUGGGUUUAUCACGAUCAUUAUGAUAUUGGUGCAAUUCGUAUUGAAUUAAGAUGUAAACUCAAUCGUCUAUGUUAUCGGUCACACGAUCGUGUUGAAUCAUUUGUAAAGUUGAAUUUCUAUUGUAUAGUUUGGUAAACUGAUCGUGUAAUGUCUCACUGUAAAUUAUCGUAAAAAACUAGUUAAACUUAUCGAUCUUUAAUUACAUGAAGUACAAAUAAAUCUCAUUACCCAUUAAUACUUAAGAAUUUGUUGUAACGAUCCAACUUUUCUGAAGCUAAGUUGAAGUCAGAUUAAUUUGGACAAAGAGACCUUGAUUGACACAAAUUAGCUUUAUGUAAAAUUCACUUGAAACUCAUAACUGAACUCAAAGAAAACAAACUAUAUGUUCGGGCCCUAUUUCAAAUAGACCAAAACUUUAAAAGUACUAUUUACAAAACAACAGUUCGUAAACUCCAGUUCCAUCAACAAAAUUCUUUAAACCAACCUUACAUGUACAAAGGAAAAACCAAUGAAACACUAAAGAAGAACCCGUUUAUUGGUCCCAUUAGGGGAAAAAGAAACUGUCUAACUUCCUAUUGAGGGUACCCUACCACAGUUCACAGUCUUGGUGAUACCAUGUAGGAUACACAUUAAUCAGUCUAACACCUCAAAGGACGCAAUAAAUCAAGUCUACUGUUCUGCAAGUAUAAUCACAACUAUCCAGUCAGUAAUGCUCUCGAAAGGACUGCUACAAUAUCAGGCUCUAGUGACUAUCAAAGGAUGCACAUAUUCAGGUGGUGAUCCCGUAGGACACCCAGCAAGAUGUAACUACCGAAUAGAAAUCGUCAACAAUUUUCCCCUCAAUCCAAUUCUAAACAUUCUUAACACUCAUUCAUAGUACAGUCCGAGCUACUUCAACAUAUAAUCCUUUCACUUAACACCCUGAAAUAGCUCAUACCUAUCUCACUUUAGCCCAAUGUCCAGCCAGUAACAUAUCAAUACAUAACGUCAAUCAAACGUCAAUAUAAGUCUAUAACACCCCUCAAUUCACCAGUACACAGCCCUAAACUUUAGUAUAACCUACACCCAAUCUAAACGACAAGAAAUUUCCAAACAAGUAUCACAUCCACAUUCCAUUACAAAACACAAUCUUACAAUUGUCGUCCUGUCUACAUUCCAUACAUAUAUAUAUAUAUCCCAGACAAUCACCAAUAUGCAUUCAACAUCAAAAGCGUCGUACAUCAAUCCAUGUAUAUAUAUAUAUUUUUCAGUGCAUUCACAGUAUACAUUCAACACCGAAGUCUACAUCCAUAUGUAUAUAUCAUCGUUUUGAUUCAUUCAUUUACCUUCAACGUCAGUCAGGUAACUAUACAGACAGCACAAUUCAAAAUCUAUGAGGUGAGUCCGUCAGUUCACCGUUAGAAAUGUGUAAUCCCUUACUCUAUUCGAUAACCUGUAAACACGUUAAGCUUCCUUUUGUCAAACUAAAGUUGCAACGAACCUCGACUCGUAAACAUAAUUGAAGAGAAAUCAAUCACUUUCUUCACAAACUAAAUUUAAUCCAUUUCCAAUUUUCACUCUAUGAUGUAAAUUUCCAAUAACUUACCCAAAUUGUGGAGAAUGCAAAUUCUAACGGAGACGGAUCGAUGCAACAAAUAACCGAACAAAGGUUCAGCAUUCUAAACAUGAACAUGGGGAUACAAGUGACUAGAACUGUAAGAUGUACUCGGGCUAACAAGGUUACCAUGCGAGCGAAUAGGAAAAAAUGGUUGCUUGACGGAUUCUAAAGUGUAGGAUUGUGAAGACGGUGGUGAUAGUUUGGUACAUUGGAGAAGGAAACAGAGAAGGAAGAAAAGAGAGAUUAUGCUAUACACAAUGUGAGAAGCACACAAAAAAAUUGAAAAUAAACUUCGAAAAGAAGAGAGAGACCUUGAAGUUCUGUUAGGGAGAAAGUAUUCAGUUUCCUGUUUCAAAUUGUGAAGUAUGGCAAAGCUAAAUUCUUCAUCCAAGGGAUUGAAAUAGACAAAGGUUAUGAAAUAUACAAAGUCAGCCAUCCGCUUCUUCUCCUCUUCAGCUUUGCAUGUUUUCGUCUCCCUCAUCUUCAUAAUAUAUUAAACAUAAAUUAAAUGUAAAAUAUCCACGAACCCGAAUCUUUACACGACAAGACUAUUUACUCCAACUUUUUAAGAGCUAACAAACUAUUCUACUCCAACUUUUUAAACUACAAAUUUAAUUUCUCAACUUUUAAACUAUUUAUAAACUUACAAAUCUACUUUGAUUCAUCUUCUUCAGGAUCUUGAUAUCUAACAUAAUUUAAAAAAAAUAUCAAAAUUUAAUUACGAGCACUUUAAAAUGUUGCAUUAAAAUCCUAGGGAAAGACCUAGAUUAAGAGCAAUAUAGACAAGGUUUAAGAGGUAACUAGACACACUUUAAAAGUUCUAAGGGAAAGAAUCUUUUGUUUAACUAUUACAGUAAUUAAUUUUGAAAAUAUGUUAUUUUAGAAAAACUAAAGUUGUUUGACAACUUCUGGAUUGAAUAGCUAUUGAAUAUACUCUCAAGGAUUGUAUUUUAAGCAAUUUUAAUAAAAAGAAAGUCUAACAUAAAACACAGAUUACCCUUUGUUAAAGGAACAUUUUUUCUCUAAUCACGUUCCAAUGGAACAUCAAACACGUAACUUCAAGUUCAAUUCUGGUAAUAUCCAAUGGAAUCAGUCUCAUCCAGACAUUUAAACAAGAACACUAUCUAACUUGAUGAGAACUUCAUUUUUACCUCAUAUUUACAAUUCCCAAAGCUUUAACUUAAAUGAAGGACCAUAUCCUGAAAACAUACUUACAUCCAACUUUCUCCAUGAAUAAACUUAUCGUUCUUUUGAUGUACUGAUGAAUAUUAGAGAUGGAGCGAUCAGAGUUUGUUUAUGUACCAAAUUAGAGUGAGUUGAGAAAAGAGUGGAUUUAACACUAAGGACGAAAUGGCUGGCUGCUGCUUGUUCAAAACUGAAAGUUUUUAAGGGUGACCUUGUACUUUCAUAGGGACUCAGCAAAUGCUGAAGGGAAGCCUCCAGGUCUAAGACAAUUCGAGUGGAAUAACUCUCAUUACUACCAUGCCAUUUAGGAACUCAUUCAACGUUAGAAUAGUCCAUUAUCCUAGCUUUUGAUCUACGGCCACCAAUUGGCUUCCUAUCCUACGUCUUCCUCACAAGCCACAAAGAUCGUUCUACUCCAAUACGCUUGUUUACUUUACUCUCAGUCAGUCAGUUAGAAUCAGAACUCAUAAAUUUAUCAAGCAUAAUGAAUUUGGCUUCAAAGAUUGAGCAGAAAAAACUUCUCAUGUAUAUACUUGACAAGGUAUUGAAUUUGCAAGAAUGUCACCCUUAUACAAAAAAUUAUUCAAACAAAUUUACAUUGUUCUAGUCCCUAAAAUUUUCCAUUCUUUUCCCAACUUAUCAAAAUUUUGAUUCCUAUGAGACUAUAUUCCAAGGUGCACAUAUAGCAGAAAUGACCGAUGAGUAUUGGAUAAAUGAAUAUUAGUUGAUAAAUGUUAGACUUUACAAAAUACUAAAAUCGUUAGUUGGCUACGUCUUUAGCUGAAAGUUCUCGAUCUUGAUUAAAAUGGAUGUUUUGAAAGUUAACUAAGGCUAAAAUGGAUACUAUCUAAAUCCAUACAUAAUUUAGUAAGUCUUUCCAAGAUCAAAGUCACAGCUAAGAGGUUGCCAUAACAAUGUUGCCAAAGUAAGAAAAUGGCAAUCUUAAUCAUAAUUAGAAACAUGAGAUGUAUGUUAUUUAGUAAACCAAAUUCACAAAAUAAUUAACAUCCAAGUACUUUUUAGUUCGUAUAUUUCUAGAUGACAAUUAAAAACUUGAACAUUAAUUGUUGAUUAAUUGAAACAUUGAAACCACGUGAUAAGAUGUUGCCAUAUGAACCCAUCUUGACUUGCUAUAGUACUUUAUUUUACAUUACAUGCUCAAUUCCUAGUUUGUAUUUCAAAACAAAUUCAUACAAUAUUAAAGACUUUAAGAAGCACAUACACUCUAGAUUUUGGCUAGUGUACUCGAAUUGUAAACAAGUGAUGUAUGGAACAGCAUCGGAGAACACGUGUUGUAACACUAGGAUUAGUACAGUAGGAUGGUGUUGACUGAAACAAUGUACUGUAUAUGACUAUAUGAAAUUUCUAUAUAAAGUUAUCGAAAUGAUCAUACAUAUAUGAUUAAAUGUUAAUAUAUAUUAAAACUGUAGAAUUCUAGUCAUGCAUAUUCCUGAUAUUUUUUAGCCACACUACAAGAAUGACACAGUCAACACAUGUACUAUGAUUUAAUUGACCCAUGAUCUAGAAAUUCGUGAUACGUGCUUCAUGUUUGUUGAAGAACUUCAACGUCUUCAUUAGAUGACGGAUUAGCCAUGUCAUUAAUAAGUGGAUUCUAUAUGUAAUAUAGAGAACCUAAACCAUAGUAAUCGAGACCGUUUGUACAAUAACAGAGAACUUACAUUCUCCACCGGUUUUAAAUGACUUGACUACUCAAGGACUUGACGAGUUUUAAGUGUCAUGGAUGGUUGUAGACGUGACGCUGAUAAACUGCAAACAAUCGCUAUACCUGACGUUCAAAUAAAGUUCAAGAACAUUGACUUUCUUGCCGCUGGAGUCAACUGCAGCUUUUAGGCUGGCUCGAAUACUGAUUCUUGAUAGUGUAAAAACGUCAAGAGAGUCUAUCAUUGUAGUAGUGAAUGAUAGGCAUACUCAGUCUGCAGAUCAAUACAGGAUCAUUAAUACAAAUCACAAGACAAUCUCUAGCGUACAAGAGAUGAAAAUACACUCAAGUGGAAGACUAAAUUACAUAGGUCACGCUUGUGAUACUAGCAAGCCAAUUCGAUACUGUACCAACAACAUCUGCCUUCCCGUUCACGGUUUCGUCUAUUGCAACCACACUGGAUAGGAGAAAAUCACAAGCAUCUGAAGUACAUUUGCACAUUAGAUCAUUGCAAUUUUAGUAAAUACAAGAUGAGUAGUAAUCAUAAUGUUACCAGGAUGAAGGCACCCAGUCUUAGCCGUAUACUGUACACACUUGAAGCCGACAUGGUACAUUGAUCCAGUAUGUCUCGAUAAUCUAUUGAGAACUUAUUAAACAGGAGAAAAUAAUAGUUUAAUGAACAGUAGCUAUGAAGAACAAAAAACAUUCUACAAUCAAUAACAAUCUUCACAAUAACAACACUUGCUUAACAAUGGUCAAUGGAUUAUACUUACAAUAUAAAAGGUUUAAGAUAUUACGUUCAACACUCUCCACACUUGGACUGAAAGUCUCAACACUUUCACAUGAAAGAAAUGAAAUACUACUCUCAAAUUAUAACUGGAAAAAAGCAUAAAUGGGUUACAUAGAAAAAGCAUAGAGAAAUGCAAAAGAAUCCUUGGCUUUGAUAUAUUGAAAGGUAAAGAAUAUCAACCAUAGAUGCCCGGGAGAAGAACUCCUACAAAUACACACUUAACGCAGAUUAUCAUUCGCUAACAUGAGACCUUCUAGAGGAAUUCUGUUAGGAUACUUCCAAACAAGAACAAGAUCUUAAUUUAUUAUAAUGAACUAUAAGAAAAUACAAGAUAAAACCAAGUAUAAGGCACUUGGAACCUCCCUCUUGAGUACUCUCACCCAAGCCCUAGAUCACUCCCCAAUUCUCCCCUCACUUACCCUCCCUCCAUUUAUAAUAAGAUGUAACCACACUUACAUAAUAACUACUAGUAACUUUCUAAAUAUCUAAUUACCCUUAUACCCCUAACCUUAUAAUAAUCUAAGUAUCUAACAUUACCCGAUCCUUCAAAACACCUUGUCCUCAAGGUGUGCUUACAAACAUGAUCAAGGCCCCUUUCUCUUUUUUUCUCUUUUUAAUUGCAAACAAUCCCCAGCAUUCUGCUCUUCAAUGUUGAAAAGAAAUCCUCCCUUCGGCUUUGAAAAACUCUUGAUUCCAAUAAGGUCCAUUGACUUCAGCCCACAAAGCAGCCCAAUGUACUUGAAUUUUCCUUUUCCAAAACACAUUGUCUUAGUUAACCCUUUGCAUAUCACCAACAAGUGUUUAAUUUUCAAACUCUUCAUCUCUAGUGGGCUCGGCCAUAAUCAAAGUGUUGCGUCAAGACCAAAAUCAUAUUGCCGCCGGUUUCAUUCCUAGGACCCACCUACAUACACGUUUUUCUUCCCUCCUAUUUUUGGAACUCUCCACCCACUUCAUCUACAAAAUGAUGUGCCCCCAAUGUUUUAUUUAGAAUAAGUUGAAGCUCAUUUAGAGUAAGUUGAAGCCCACUUGAAAUAGUAAAACCCAAGAUUGUUACUUUUGUCCUAAUCCUCUUUCCUACCAAUUUCUACCACGUCAUUGUCACCAUCAUGUGUGCAGCAACUUCUUCCUCGUCACGUGAUUCACCCCUAUUCCAGACCACCUUCUCGAGCCUCUGUAGACCGGUAACUGUCGGCUUCUUCUUUCUCCAUUGCAACCAGCCAUUUUGUUUUCUUUGAGCAACAAAUUUUUCUCCACUCGAGUCUUCAUUUCGAGCCUCACAGGUAAUCCUCGUCGACCUUCCUCUAUAGUUUCUUCUUGGUCACUCUUUGCCAUCCUCUUCACCUUCGUUGUAUAACCGUUGCAAUCGCGUUUUCCUCGAUUCUUCUAUGGAUUUAGCAACUUCUUGGAAUCCAUCGAUUUAUGGACCUGAAGAUUCCAAUCCGUUCUAAAUAAACACAAUCCAGAUCAGUGCCACUGAACACAGGCAUUUCAACCUUCUUGAAUUUGCUAUGAUCGUUCGAGUUUUCAUCCCUUUUAAAGUUGUUUGUUUUACCUUCUACCUUGAUUUCCUUCAAUGUCUUACCUCCACCUUCGAUGAUACUCUCAAUCGUUGGUCCUUUGCUCGACGAUCCUUCCAUUCUUUCGGAGAUUUUCGAAUUAUCCUUCUGCUAUUCCUUCGAUGCAUUUAGCAACCGUUCUUGUUUUUCCAACUAGAUGACCAGUCUUUCGAUGCUUUCUGGCAAGGAUAACAAGUUUUAUUCAAUUGCCAGCAACUUGUGUAACUCCACUUGUAUCCCCGAGAUUUCCUUAUCAGAGGUCUCCAACUUCUCUUCGAUCCGUUUUUGUGCUGCUCUAUCGUUCUCCCAAGUUAAAACGCUGUACCAAUUUGUUAAGAUACUGUAAAUAUACGGCAAGUGUAUCUUACUUUAUUGAAUUACCUCAACGAAUUACAGUAUAGAGAAUAAAAAAUCACUCACAUCUACUUCCUAAAGGCACACUCCAGUGAGGAUCACAACAAAGAACAAGAAAAACUAAGAACAAACCGCAACCAUGAAAAUGACCAAAACAAACAAUAAAAAGAACUUGACUUGGACCCUCUACUUCUCCCAAGCACGAAAGACGGCAGCCUCUACUUCUUUGGAAUAUUUUGUCCCCUUUCUCCCUCCUCUUUCCUCCCUUUUAUUUUGCUUUACUAACAAACUAAUGGGAAAGAUCUCCUCCGAUAUUUCUCCUCCUAUAAUCUCUCCUAUAUUCUCGUGUGGGUCAAUAUUACCCUUUUUAAUUCUUCUACUGUAUUUAAAUAAUAUUGGAGACAUAUACUUCCUAACAAGAACAAGAUCUGAAUUUAUUAUAAUGUAACUAUAAGAAAAUACAAGAUAAAACCAAGUAUAAAGCAUUGGAACCCUCCCUCUUGAGUACUCUCACCCAAGCCUUAUAUCACUCCCCAGAAUUCUCCCAACUUACCCUCCCUCCAUUUAUAAUAACAUGUAACCACCCUAGUUACCACACUUACAUAAUAACUACUAGUAACCACACUUACACAAUAACUACUAGUAACUUCCUAAAUAUCUAAUUACCCUUAUACCCCAACCCUAUACUAAUCUAGGUAUCUAACAAAUUCCAUAACAUAAUGUAUUAGGGGAAGAAGGAAAUCGAGGAUAAAAACACUAGCUAGCCAACAAAUAUCUUUCAUUAGUGAGCUUGAGCCAUUUUACACGUAAAAUGGGAAAAGUAAGCCUGAAACCCAAAUUAGCCUAAUGGUUGUCUUAACAACCACUACCCACCAUCACGAUAGAAACAACUGAGAAGGAAGAGCAUGAUACAAUCCAACUCAAACAUAAGAAUUGAUUUUUGUUUAAUUAAAAGUAAACAGGCAGUAGAAUAAGAAACUAUGCCCUUUUAGAUCUAGAAGGUUCACAACAAUUUCCAGCCUAAGCACAACUACGAGCAAUGGAAGAAUAACGCAAAGGCCUUGUGUGCAUGGAAUCGCUAACUUUGUGCAAAUGAGAUGAUUAUCGGUAUUCAAAGGCCAAAAGGACACAUAGAAGAGUGUUCGUCUAAGGUUGCAAGACUAACCCUGAAAAGAGAGCAAUACAAAAAUUUAGAGUUUUCCGCAUUUCCUGUAAUGACAUGAGUGCUUGUACUCCCAUCAGCAGUGAGAGAACCACCAAGCUCCUCAAUCAUCUAAAUCAGAAAACAACUGCACAUUAGAGCAGUCACAAUUUGGAAUAAAUAGAACUUUUUAUUGUUAGAAUCUUAGAAUAUUUAUGAAAAGUUUAUGGGAAUAUUUUUCUUAAUUCCUAAAUAUUUUCCUUUUUUAUUCCUCUGUAUAUUCUAUUUAUUCUCCCUUGUACCUAUUGUAUUUUUCAUCAAAAAUAAUAAGAAGAAAAAUAUAGUGGUUUUUCUCCUGGUACACAGGUUUCCACGUAAAGUUGUGUGUUUUUGUCUCCCUUUCAAUAUGGUAUCGAGCAGGUGGUCCAAGAAGGUCUUGUGUUCAAGCCUCGCAUUGUCGUUUCCUCCCCAAUUAAAAUCCAUUUCCAGUUGUUGGGCCUUUCAAAUAUUUCAAGCCCACAAGUGAGGAGAGUGUUGGUGAUAUAUAAUUGAAUUUUCUUUCUUUUUUUAAAAAAGGAUACGAGUCUCACUAUUAUUAAUAUAAAGAAAGAGACAAAGCUCAAUGUACAUGAGGAUUAUACAAAGAGCAAAAGGGGAGAGGGAAGAUCAACAGGCGCAUCCGGGCAUCUCAAACUAGGUUGACACCCCCUUAGUGCCCUCAAAACAUCCAAAAAGCGACAACACAAGAUCAAAACAAAAAGCCACAAAAACAAAGACAAACAAAAUGAUAAAAAGAAUCUUUCCAAAGCAAAAUCAUAAUCCAAGGCAGCAUGCUGAGAACAAAGAAGAAUAAGCCUUGAUUGGUUGAGCAAAAACUGUUUGAAGCAGAGGGUUGAUCCGAAAGUUCUGAUCAUCACAAUAUCCUACGUCGAAGAUCUUCUUUUGCAUUACAUUUUCUAAAAUUUCCAAUCCACUCUGUUAAAGGCCUUUUCAAGGUCUAAUUUAAUGAUCCAUCUUUUCUUUUUUCGGAUACUAUAGACCUCCACAGUUUCUUUUGCUAUUAAAAUAGGAUCCAAUAUUUGGCACUCUUCCAGAAAGCCACAUUGUAAUGGAGAAGUAUGUUAGGAUUCUAACAAUAAAACACAAAAUAUCCUAACCAAAUGGCUAAACAGAGGCAGCACUCUGUAAUUCUUUAUUUAUGUAAAAGCCAAAACACAUUCAACUGUAGUAGAUAUGAAAAAUAAAGGAUGAACAACAUAGAAAACUUACCCAGCUCCUUUAUACGGGGCUGGAUACCCUCAGGCUACAACAGCCUUUACUCUCCUUGAAAUAACCAAAAAAGACCUAGCCUCCCCUACCCCAACAUUACAUAUUUAUACCUCUCUCUCUCAUCCCUCCUGGCGGCCCCACCUGCACGAUCCUCUCCCAUUAUUCUCUCAUCAUUGGUUGCUAAGGAAUUUCCCUUUCUACCGUUCCUUUUAUAGGUAUAGAUAAUAGGAGGUCUUACAAAGUAAUACUGGCCUGACUUUCUUUAAUCUUUCUGCGAGAACCUUUCCAAACAACUUAUAAAUUAAUGUUGAAACAACUUAUAAGCCACACUGUAAUGACAUUCCUUCUCUUGACCGAACUUCAAUAAUCGACAACUUAUAUUUAUCCACAUAAUCAGCAAAACUCUUAAUCUGCCACUAGCUUCAAACAAAGACCCAGCCAAUUCCUUUUAAACUCCAUAGUGCCUUUAUAAUACAACUGGCAAUCUCUUCUCUUUUGGUCUCCGGAAUCAAUGCUCUAUCUGGAUUAGCUUUCUUCAAAAGAUUUUUAAUAGCCAAUUGUUUCGAAUGGCCCAUGAAUCCUCUAGUGUUCCAUGAUAUAAUCUCCAUCUUUGCUACCUCUGCCUUAUAUCAAUUCAAUUUCACAUGCUGCCAAGAAAGGAACCAACUCUUGAGGGGGAAGGAUACUUGUUGACCUGCACAAAAUUUCUUUUUAUGGGGAGGAAAACAGUUUAAUAAAAUCUGGACCAAGAGAGUCAAUGUCCUCUUGUUUCUCUGUCUCUGAUUGAAUUAUUUCUUCCUCAACUGGUUCAAAUUCUGCACUACUUAAACUGGUGACUGAUUCAACUUCCAUGAAUUCAUCUUCUAGGUUCUCAACUUUUUUGAGACAAGAAGUAUCUUGCACAAAAUUAAAGAAUGAACCAAAAAGUUUAGAGGAGGAUUGAGAAAAUGUAUUACUUAAGGAGGAAGGCAGUACUGACCUUUUGCCAAGUGAAUUUGGAAUUUGUAUCUUCACACAACUUUCCUCUAAUAAAUCAGAAUUAGCCAAGCUCAUCCAAAUGUUGCGAAAAGAAGUUCUCCCUUUGGUAUAGGUCUUGAGGUGCUUAGAAAAAUUUCUGGCAUGAAUUGGAAUAACUUUCAUUGCAGAGGAUAUUUUAGUCUUGGGAGAGGUUGAUAAUUUUGGUUGAGAAAUGAAAACAGGAGAUGGCCCGCAAGUGAAGUUCCUUGAUGGAGGAGAGGACUCUGAUUCUUCCUCCAAUUCGUCAGAAUACCAAAAGCCAUUGGAAUUCUGAUUAAUAAAAUUCUUGGGGCCUACCAUCUGUGUGUCAGCUUUUAAAAUAUCUGCAGAUACAUUAAGUUUGAAAAAAUCUGGUUGGGGAGGGCAAGGUGAGCUAUUUUUUUAGAUAAUAAAAUGCUGGGUGCCUGUCUUUUCUUCUUUCGAGAUCUGUUUUUCUCUCUUUGCCUUUUGAAAAUUAUUUUUUCCGGUCGAACAAGGUUUUCUUCUUCCUCACCCAACUUCCUAAGUGCUUCGAAAGGAUUUCUUGAGAUGGAUGGGGCAUUCUGUUUGAGAAAAUUCAGGUAUCUGAGAGACCAUCACUUUGGAGCCCUUCAUCUAAAAUCACUGAAUUUAUUCUACAUAAAUCAAUAGGAUUGGAAAAAUCACUUUGAAAUAGAUCAAAUUGGAUUAUUACAGGAGCUUCUAAGGGUUCAAAAUCCCCAAAAUUAAGGGAAAAAUUUCCUCAGUUCUCACUCUUUAAUUCUAUAGUUGCUGGUAAGAAUCCGCAAAGAUUUUUCCGAACUUUAAUUCUUGCUUCAGAGAACUUGAUCAGAUUGAGUGUUUCUAAGAUUAUACUUUCUAGUCCACCAAAGUAGCUUAAGCUUAAGGCGAUAAUUGAAUUUUCUUUCAACCACCAGCUUAAACAUUUUGGUGAAUCGGUGGUUUAAUAUUUAUAUUCAUAUUUUAUAAAAAAAAGUAUACAACUAAUGCCAUAUAAAAUAAAUAAAGAAAUACUAUAAAAUCUACAUCCAUAAAAUAUGCAUGUGAACACAUAUCAGAAGAUGGAUAUUCGUAAGUUAGAAAGACCGAUCAAAAAAUGUCAUAAUUAAACAACAACAUUAAUAUUAUGGGUAGUUUCAAGCUUCAUUUGUCUAUUUUAGGUAGGGAUAUUGAAUAACUCUUAAAAAUAAUAUAAAGAUUGAAUCCCUAAACUUCAUGUGCUUGCUAGUAUACAACCUAAAAGUUCAACAGUUAAAGAAACUGAUUAAUCAUUUUUGGCAGGAUGUCAGAUUCGCCUUUUGAAAUCCUACAUGAGUAGAGCCAACCAAAUAAGCCAAGCAAGAUAUGCCUCUUAAGGAAUAUGGAGAAGUUCAAUGACUAGGUAUGUAUAUGAUAAGCCUUAACCUCAAUUUUAUUUAUCAAUAAUGGAGGGAAGGAAUCAGAAGCUUCUCUAGCUCUCCCAAUUAUUCUAAGAAAUCUGAUACAAGCUAUGCCAAAACAUACCCUCCCCAAACAAUCAUAAUAGCAUUUAUAUGAAAGCAUAAAAGACUCAUGGCUCCCUUAACUAGCAACAUUCAGACCAACAAAUACAGCUUCCCAUCCUCCUCUCCUGAAUCCUUUCUUGUGCCUACGGGUGUACACCUUCACUACCAUGGGCCUAUCAGUAUUUAGAGAUCGUAGAGGCUGUAUGAGCCAAGGAGCUGGAAGAGUAGGAUUAGGGAAGUGUGGAGUUUUCCGCUCUUUGUUUGGCCAAAAGUGUUUGUCCGAAAUCCUACAGCUUCAACUAACUUUGGAAAGUCAGUCGAACACAUUGAAAUUCCCUGAAUGUGUGAAAUCCAUGGAUUUUAUUACACAUCCCAAAGGUGAACGACUUUGAGGCAUCUUGGUUAUAAUCAAUUGGUUCCUGAAGUACGCCACCUUCAUCCCCACUACAAAACUAUGUUCUGUCGAGCUGAUAGCACACUUGUUCUUUAAGAACGUCUUGAAGUUAUGAGGAGUUCCAUCAAGCACUGUGAGUGACAGGGAUGGUAGAUUCAUUGGUACUCUCUGGACCGAACUAUUCGCCUUCUUGGGGACACGCUUAAAUAUAUCCUUAAGCUGCCAUCCUCAAACGAAUGGCCAAAUAUUGGCCAUGUGCCCUAGUUUCAUAUAUAUUCUCUCACACCACAUCUCUCAUACCACUAGGAAUUUUAGUCCAAGUGGGAGUUUGUUGGAAUUUUUUGUCCUAAAACUCGUAGUUUGUAAAUCAUAUUCUAUUCAAUAAAGUUGUUAUUGAGAAAUUAAAAUAUUAUAAUCUUAAAUCCAAUAAAUCAAAGUUCCAAGGCUAUUUUUUGAAUAAACUUGAACUUUAUGUGUAAACAUAAACGUGGAUCAAGUUCGAGUAUAUAGCCUAAAUAGUCUAUAGUAUAUGAAAUAAAGGUGGGGCGCCUUAUUUUGAGAGACUAUGGAUGCGGCCCACUUUGUAGUACAAACGAUGUGAUCCUAAUCGUUCAUGUAGAGACAUGAAAGUGGGGGCAUCCUAUGUAAAAUGUUUACAUAAGACUGAACCAUGAAUUAGUCAUUUUUACGUUAUAACACCGUUUACUGUUUAAAACUGACUAUCUCAAUUAUUGAUGACCUAGGUAACUUAGUUCUUAAUCCCUGAGUUAACUAUGAACUCCUGUUCAUACGAGAUUAUCCUUAGAUCUGCUAUAGGUGAGGGCAGCUCAUCUAGCGUUGGCCCAAUAAGCUCUCCACAUUUCAGGGGUAAGAUCGGGUGGAUAGCUGGGAACAUAGAGUACAAGAUGGAAUUCACUCCGUAACCCGCUUUAGGGUUAGUAGAUAGGUUGUUCUCUUAAGCACUGAAUCCAAGUCUUGAACAAGGGGCCCCACCCUCUCAUUGGCCCGAGAGGGACUUAAGUUUAUAAGGUUGAACCUUAAACCAAUUGUUCAAUAGUGGAUUAGUGGGACUUACAGGAGCAAGUAUGUAAUCUUGGGGGUAAAACGCGUAUAUUUGACCCAGCCAAGGUUACGAGCAACCUGUGAAGGAUUAACUUUACUUGAUUAUGGUUUUAUCAAAUGGACACAAAUAUAUCUAUAGUGAGGGGAGUGCAACUACGGGACUUUAGUGGAAUGACCCGUUAGUUAACGAAUGUUGAUUAACUCGGUUUAGAAAGAUAGUUUAGCUAGUCUAGAUCUUGAAUCGUUGGAGCCCAUGAUCUAUAGGUCCAUAUAGGUUCCUCUGCUGAGCUCAUAUGGAUUAAACUUAGAACAGUGUGAUGAAAUAAGUCGAAUUGUUCGAAUCAGGGCAGAAGAAAGGAAAACCGACAUAUACAGUGAUAUAAUCGUCGGUCUUCUAAUUAGAAAUAUGAGCUUUAUGUUUUACAUACUAUAAGUAUGAAUACAGAUUCAUACUAAGAAGCUCGAAAAUUGGUCAAAAAUAGUAAAAAGUCAAAAUGUAUGACUUUUGACUUUGACAAAGUCAAACUUUGACCAGCCUUAUAUUCAAAUGUGAUUUGAAUUUUGGAAACAAUGAAUGCGGAUUCAUGCUCGGGAGGUUGGAAUUAGUCAAGACGGACAAAAUGGUAAAAAGUCAAAAUAUCUGUAUCUUUUGACUUAGAGAAAGUCAAAGUUCUGAACUUUUGACUAGAAAAAUCUAAUGACCAUUUUCACCCUAUGGACUCAAGUUAGUGGGAAAAUUCCAACAUUUUGUUGGAUAAUCCCACUAACUCUUAGUGGGAUAUGUGGCUAUAUGAGAUAUAGACACCUAGCCCACUAAGUUCCACUAAUUGUUAGUGGAAUAUUAGGUGUUGAGAUUUGGCAAUUGAAUUGCAUGCAUUUUGCAUGUAAUUAGGCUAUAAAUACGAGAUGUUUUCGAGAAUGUUGAAGGUACCUUUUGCUCUCUUUGUGAUCAUUUUCAGUAAUCUCAACAAAAGAAAAAAAAAAGCUUCCAAUCUCAUUUUAUCUCCACUAACUUUCUACACCAAAAUUGGGUCCCACAACCCGGUUCUUUGUCUAGAAGGAUAGCUAGUUGAGUACUAGUGGUGGUCUGCGGGCUCAGAAUUGGUAAGAAUGACAUCAAACCUUUUGAAAGUCUUCAAAGGUAAUACUUCUUAAAACCCUAAUUUGAUUAGUUUAUGGUUACAUGUUAAUUGUGGCAAUUAGGGUAGAAAUUCGAUUCUUUUUCCGCUGUGCAUGACCUUAGUUCUAUCAUGUGGUAUCAGAGCAUGCUAUCAUUUUUACCCAACUUGCAUGGUGGUGGGUUCAUAUUUCAUUAGAUAAAUUUUGGUUUGAACUAAAAUGGAUAUAUUAUGAUUUUGGCUCUAGAUCUCUAAGUGUUUUUGUUCUAAUUAUUGUAAUAUAGCCUUGUUAAUGGCUUAUUUUUAUUGUUGCAAAAGUGUAUUGUAAUUUUUUAAAAAAUAAAAAAAAGUCAUUAGAGUUGAAGCUAGGCUGUCAAUUGGUUCAACUCGGGUGAAGAGAAUUGAAAAACCAAGUGAAGAAAAGAAGGUCACAGACCCGAAUACCCGGUUGUUGACCCGCUUCGCGACCCGCACGCGCCCGCAAUGCCCGCAUGUGUCCGCGCGCCCGCCUUCGCCGCAGCCUGUCUUCGCACGACCCGUAGUGCGCCUGGGCCGGUUCAAGCCAAUAAAUUUGGUUUUUGGGCCGGUUCAAGCGGUUCGGUUGGUUUUUUAGCACGGUUCGAAAUUUUUGGGAGUGGUUCUGUACUACACCAAAUUAAGGAUUAUGUAAUAAUUUAGCACUUAGCUUAAUUUAGGAGCCAAAAAUCAGUCCUGAUUUUAGGGUGUUUUUUUUAUUUAUGCAUGUGAUGUCCAUGAUUAAAUUACUUUAAAUUUGUAUGUGCAUUUUGAAUGUCAUAACUGAGAUCUUAAAGAUCCCACCAUAGGUUAACAUGUUCAUGCAUUAAAAUGUAUGAUAUAAAGGUUAUAUUGUAUUGUAUGCAUGUUAAUUGAUUAAUAUGGAAAUUAAUUAAUAUGAUUAAUUAAUUAUUGUAAUUAAUUAAGUUAUUCUUGAUUAAAUAUGAAUUUAAUCAAAUUAAUUAAUUAGUUGUUUCGAUUUAAUUUAACUUAAAUAUGAAUUUAAUUAAAGUUAAGAUAAAUUAAAAUCCAUUAUUAAUUGAUUGUUCGUUUAUUAUAUAUUGAUAAAAGUGAUUGAUUAAGUUUGAAAAGUUUUUAUAAGUGUUAUAAAAUAAAUUAGACUUUUAAAAUCAAUAACAAAGAUUAAAUGCAUGCUCACUUAGGUUAAACAUAUCUUCCAUUUUUCAUAGAAAGUAAAGGUACGAUAUCAUUGUAAAACAUGGUUACAAAAGGCUCACCUGGUUCAAUCUUGUCAACAAGUCAGAUAAGAUGACUAAGGUUGGAGGUUUCUUAAGUUGACGGUUUACGGAACACCUCCUACCUGGAGAGUCCGUAAUCAAGUUCUUGAGCCUAGUUAACCUAGUUUUAUGAGCAUUCGUGAGAGGUGUUGAGGUCAAUAAAAAUGGUUUUUCACCUAGGACAUCAUAGGUUAGAAAUCCUGUAUAAUGGUUACGUACUUGGAUGUUUUAUUCUAGACUUAAGAUUUGUUUAAGUUAGCCUAAAUAUAAAUACUUGAAGUUUGGAUUACCCUAUUUUUUUCUUUUAGAACACUUCAACUAGAGAAAAAUAAUGUAUUUUAGCUCUAGUGUCCCUAAGAGUUCACACCGUGAGGUCCAUGCAGGGCUUUGUGCCGUGCAUAGGAGCGGCCUCCCUUACGGAGAGUGUUUGUCAAUGGAUCAAAAUCAAGGUGAAUAGGGGAAGUAGUUCAUAGUAAGUGGGUUGAGGGAUUUGUGGCCAGCACAUCCCACGGUCUCUUCCAUUAGGUCGCACCGUGAGGAUUUCUAUAAUAUGCCUGCUUGUCUGCCCUGGAGUCGACGUUCACCCUUCGGAGGGUUGUAUUAUAGGAUUCGGAACACCGCGAACUCCAAAACUGGAUAGGAUUUCUUAGAUUAGUUUUCAUAAAUGAUUCUAAUCUAUAAAAUCUGAAAAUGGUGGGUAACACUUACAAGAAUUACUAAUGUUGUAUAGUAUAUUCUUGACUAAAGUAGCGAUAAACUAAGUGCUGAUAAAGAAUAAAGAGUUAUUCUUGAGAUAGCAUCUAGUCAAGAUUGUCUUGGUAUCAAAGGAGGAAUAAGUCAACUACCCUUCGGAGAAGGUUGUUCUAAACCUUUGAAAUAUUGUUGCAAAAUACAAAUAAUGAAAGGGUACCAUUAUUAGUAAUUGCUAAAUUAGAUUGGAUAUUUUUUAGUGAUUGAUAGUUUUUUCUUAAAAAGAAUAUGUUUGUUUUUCAGCAUGAAUAGCUCAAUAGUUCAACUUUUAGCUUUCCGAAAAACUUAAUGGCGAUACAUUAUGCGGCUUGGAAAUCAAAUCUUAACACAAUACUAGUGGUUGAACGAUUUAAGUAUUUGUCUUAACUGCAGGAAUGUCCUCAAAACCCUGCCUCUAAUGCUAACCGAACUAGUCGGGAUGCAUAUGAUCGAUGGAUAAAAGCUAAUGAAUAAAGCCCGUGUUUACAUUCUUGCCAGCAUGUCUGAUGUAUUGGCAAAAGAAACAUGAAUCCUUAGCCACGGCUAAAGUGAGAUUAUGGAUUCAUUAAGGGGAAUGUCUUGGGCUAACCAUGAAUGGUCCUUAAGACACGAGGCAGUCAAAUACAUUUACACUAAGCGUAUGAACGGAAGCGGAACCUCUGUUAGAGAACAUUGUUCUGGACAUCGAUGAUGCACUUCAACAUCGCUGAAGUGAAUGGUGGUCCCAUCGAAGAGGUUAAUCAAGUUAGUUUUGAUCUUAUUGAGUCUCUUCCGAAGAGCUUCAUUCCAAUUCCAAACGAAUGCGUCUUUGAACAAUGAUAGAACUUUAACUUUGACAACCCUUCUGAAUGAACUCCAGCAGAUUCGCAAAACCUAACUUAUGGGUAAAGGAAAUACAAUGUGGAAGCAAAUGUUGCUACCACAACAAAGAAAAUUUAUAAGAGGAUCGUCCUCUAAAACCAAAGCUGGACCCUCAAAACCUAAUGCUCAAAUAAAAAAGAAGGGAAAGGGAAAGACUCCCAAACAGAACAAGGGUAAGAAAGUGCAGAAAAAGGUAAGUGUUACCAUUGUGGCCAAAACGGGCACUGGUUAAGAAACUGCCCAAAAUACCUUGCAGAAAAAAAGGCAGAGAAGGAAACACAAGGUAAAUAUGAUUUACUAGUUGUAGAAACAUGUUUAGUGGAAUAUGGAAAUAUUCUACCUGGAUACUAGAUUCAGGAGCCACUAACCAUAUUUGCUUCUCAUUUCAGGAAAAUAGUUCUUGAAAAAGCUUUCAGAAGGCGAGAUCACUCUCAAGGUUGGAACAGGAGAGAUGGUCUCAGCUUCAGCAGUGGGAGAUUUAAAGUUGUUUUUUAGAGAUAGAUAUGUCAUACUUAAGAAUGUCUUAUAUGUACCUCAAAUGAAAAGAAAUUUAAUAUCUAUCUCUUGUAUUUUGGAACAAAUGUAUAGAAUAUCUUUUGAAAUUAAUGAAGCGUUCGUUUUCUAUAAAGGUAUUCUAGUUUGUUACUGCUAUACUUGAAGACAACUUAUAUAAGUUAAGACCAACUAGAGCAAAUUUUGUCUUAAAUACUGAAAUAUUCAGAACAGCCUGAAACUCAGAAUAAAAGACAAAAAGUUUCUUCUAAUGCCUAUUUAUGGCACUUAAGACUUGGUCACAUAAAUCUCAAUAGGAUUGGGAGAUUGGUUAAAAGUGGGCUUCUAAGUCCGUUAGAAGAUAACUCUUUACCUUCCUUGUGAAUCUUGUCUUGAAGGAAAAAUGACCAAGAGAUCUUUUACUGGAAAAGGUCUAAGAGCCAAAGGACCCUUAGAGCUCGUACAUUCGGACCUUUGUGGACCAAUGAAUGUCAAAACUCGAGGUGGAUAUGAAUAUUUCAUUAGCUUCAUUGAUGAUUAUUCAAGGUAUGGUCAUAUUUACCUAAUACAUCAUAAGUCUAAUAGUCUUGAAAAGUUCAAAGAAUAUAAGGCUGAAGUAGAAAACGAAUUAGGUAAAACAAUAAAAAUACUUCGAUCAGAUCGAGGUGGAGAGUAUAUGGACUUACGAUUCCGAGACUAUUUAAUAGAAAAUGGAAUCCAGUCACAACUCUCUGCACCUAGUACACCUCAACAGAACGGUGUAUCAGAAAGAAGAAACUGGACCUUGUUAGACAUGGUUCGCUCUAUGAUGAGUUUUUCUCAGAUGUCAGAUUCUUUUUGGGGAUAUGCUUUAGAAACAGCUGCUUAUAUUUUGAAUAAUGUUCCCUCUAAAAGUGUUUCAGAAACACCUUAUGAGCUAUGGAAAGGGCGUAAAGGCAGUUUACGUCAUUUUAAAAUUUGGGGUUGUCCAGCACAUGUGUUGGUACAAAAUCCAAAGAAAUUGGAACAUCGUUCAAAAUUAUGCUUUUUUAUAGGUUAUCCAAAAGAAUCAAGAGGUUGGUAUUGAAUUUUAUGAUCCUCAAGAAACAUAAAAUACCACAUCAGGGAUCAUCAACCUCGUAGUAAACUAGUAUUUAAAGAAAUUUCCAAAAGUGCUAUAGAUAAAACCUAGUUCAUCCACUAAAGUAGUUGAUAAGACUAGGAAAUCUGGUCAAUCACAUCCUUCUCAACAGUUGAGAGAGCCUCGACGUAGUGGGAGGGUUGUUCAUCAGCCUGAUCGCUAUUUGGGUUUAAUUGAAACUCAAGUCGUCAUACCUGACGAUGGCAUAGAGGAUCCAUUAACCUAUAAACAGGCAAUGAAAGAUGUAGAUCGUGACCAAUGGAUCAAAGCCAUGGACCUCGAAAUGGAGUCUAUGUACUUUAAUUCUUUCUAGGACUCUAGUAGAUCAACCAAAUGACGUAAAACCUAUUGGUUGUAAAUGGAUCUACAAGAGAAAACGAGACCAUGCCGGUAAAGUACAGACUUUUAAGGCUCGACUUGUGGCAAAGGGUUAUACCUAGAGAGAGGGAGUAGACUAGAGGAAACUUUCUCUCCCGUUGCCAUGUUAAAGUCAAUUAGAAUACUCUUAUCCAUCGCCACUUUUUAUGAUUAUGAAAUUUGGCAGAUGGAUGUCAAGACAGCUUUUUUGAACGGUAAUCUUGAAGAGAGCAUCUAUAUGUCUCAACCAGAGGGGUUUAUAAAACAAGAUCAAGAACAAAAGGUUUGUAAGCUUAAAAAAUCCAUUUAUGGAUUAAAACAAGCUUCUAGAUCCUGGAAUAUAAGAUUUGAUAUUGCGAUCAAAAUCUUAUGGCUUUGAACAAAAUGUUGACGAGCCUUGUGUUUACAAAAGGUCGUCAAUUCCAUUAUAGCAUUUUUUAGUCUUAUAUGUAGAUGAUAUUCUACUUAUUGGAAAUGACUAGGAUAUCUUCCUGAUAUCAAGAAAUUGGCUAGCUAUGCAAUUUCAAAUGAAAGAUCUGGGAGAUGCACAAUACGUUCUCGGAAUCCAAAUUGUUCGAAACCGUAAGAACAAAACACUAGCCAUGUCUCAAGCAUCUUACAUAGACAAAAUGUUGUCUAGAUAUAAAAUGCAGAAUUCCAAAAAGGGUCUGCUGCCGUACAGAUAUGGAAUUCAUUUGUCAAAGGAACAAUGUCCUAAGACACCUCAAGAAGUUGAGGAUAUGAGAAAUAUUCCCUAUGCUUCCGCUGUUGGAAGUUUAAUGUAUGCAAUGUUAUGUACUAGAACCUGACAUUUGCUACUCAGUAGGGAUGGUCAGUAGGUAUCAAUCCAAUCAUGGACGUGAUCACUGGACAGCCGUUAAAAACAUUCUACAUGCUCAUGUAUGCGUACAAAGGAUAUGAUCCUUACUGGAUACACUGAUUCAGAUUUCCAAACUAAUAAAGAUGUUAGAAAGUCUACAUCAGAAUCAGUAUUUACUCUAAAUGGAGGUAGCAGUAGUUUGGAGAAGCAUAAAGCAAACUUGUAUAGCUGAUUCCACAAUGGAAGCUGAUCAUUUUACAAAAGCCCUCACGGCUAAAGUGUUUGAGGGUCACCUACACAGUUUAGGUGUACGAUGUUUGUAAACUAGGACAAGUGGGAGACUUAUUGGCCAAUGUGCCCUAGUUUCAUAUAUAUUCUCUCACACCACAUCUCUCAUACCACUAGGAAUUUUAGUCCAAGUGGGAGUUUGUUGGAAUUUUUUGUCCUAAAACUCGUAGUUUGUAAAUCAUAUUCUAUUCAAUAAAGUUGUUAUUGAGAAAUUAAAUAUUAUAAUCUUAAAUCCAAUAAAUCAAAGUUUCCAAGGCUAUUUUUUGAAUAAACUUGAACUUUAUGUGUAAACAUAAACGUGGAUCAAGUUCGAGUAUAUAGCCUAAAUAGUCUAUAGUAUAUGAAAUAAAGGUUGGGCGCCUUAUUUUGAGAGACUAUGGAUGCGGCCCACUUUGUAGUACAAACGAUGUGAUCCUAAUCGUUCAUGUAGAGACAUGAAAGUGGGGGCAUCCUAUGUAAAAUGUUUACAUAAGACUGAACCAUGAAUUAGUCAUUUUUACGUUAUAACACCGUUUACUGUUUAAAACUGACUAUCUCAAUUAUUGAUGACCUAGGUAACUUAGUCUUAAUCCUGAGUUAACUAUGAACUCCUUGUUCAUACGAGAUUAUCCUUAGAUUCUGCAUAGGUGAGGGCAGCUCAUCAGCGUUGGCCCAAUAAGCCUCCCAUUUCAGGGGUAAGAUCGGGUGGAUAGCUGGGAACAUAGGGUACAAGAUGGAAUUCACUCCUACCCGCUUUAGGGUUAGUAGAUAGGUUGCUCUCUUAAGCACUGAAUCCAAGUCUUGAACAAGGGGCCCCACCCUCUCAUUGGCCCGAGAGGGAUUAAGUUUAUAGGUUGAACCUUAAACCAAUUGUUCAAUAGUGGAUUAGUGGGAUCUUAAGGAGCAAGAUGUAAUCUUUGGGGUAAAACGGUAUUUUGACCCAGCCAAGGUUACGAGCAACCUGUGAAGGAUUAACUUACUGAUUAUGGUUUUAUCAAAUGGACACAAAUAUAUCUAUAGUGAGGGGAGUGCAACUACGGGACUUUAGUGGAAUGACCCGUUAGUUAACGAAUGUUGAUUAACUCGGUUUAAAAGAGUUUAGCUAGUUAAUCUUGAAUCGUUGGAGCCCAUGAUCUAUAGGUCCAUUAGGUUCCUCUGCUAGCUCAUAUGGAUUAAACUUAGAACAGUGUGAUGAAAUAAGUCGAAUUGUUCGAAUAGGGAGAAGAAAGGAAAACCGACAUAUACAGUGAUAUAAUCGUCGAGUCUUCUAAUUAGAAAUAGAGCUUUAUGUUUUACAUACUAUAAGUAUGAAUGCGGAUUCAUACUAAGAAGCUCGGAAUUGGUCAAAAAUAGUAAAAAGUCAAAAUGUUGACUUAUUGACUUUGAAAAGUCAAACUUUGACCCGGCCUUAUAUUCAAAUGUGAUUUGAAUUUUGGAAAAAUGAAUGCGGAUUCAUGCUCGGGAGGUUGGAAUUAGUCAAGACGGACUACAAAUUGGUUAACAAAGUCAAAAUAUUGACUUUUGACUUAGAAAAGUCAAAGUUUGACUUUUGACUAGCAAAAAUCUAAUGACCAUUUUACCCAUUGGACUAAGUUAAGUGGGAAAAUCUCAACCAAUUACUAUGUUGGAUAAUCACCACUAACUCCUUAGUGGGAUAUGUGGCUAUAUGAGAUAUAGACACCUAGCCCACUAAGUAUCCACUAAUUGUUAAGUGGAAUAUUAGCGUGUUGAGAAUUUGGCAAUUGAAUUGCAUGCCAUUAUUUGCAUGUAAUUAGGCUAUACCAAUAGAAGAAUGUUUUCAAACUGUUGAAGCGCACUUUGUGCCUCUUUUAUCAUUUUCAUAAUCUCAAGCAAAAGGAAAAAAGAAAGCUUCCUAAUCUCAAUUUUAUCUCCAUUACUUUCUACACCAAAAUUGGGUCCCACAACCCGGUUCUUUGUCUAGAGGCAUAGCAGUUGAGUACUAGUGGUGGUCAUCGGGUAGAAUUGGUAAGAAGACAUCAAGACCUUUUGAAAGCUUCAAAGGUAAUACUUCUUAAAACCCUAUAUUUAGAUUAGUUUAUGGUAUACAUGUUAAUUGUGGCAAUUUAGGGUAGAAAUUCGAUUCUUUUUCCGCUGUGCAUGACUUAGUUCUAUCACCAAUACUAGAAGAAGGAUUCAAUUGUAUGCUUAUGGCAAUAUCUACGUAUAUUUUGUUGAUUCUGGACAAAAGAAUUGGGACCUAGUUGAUGGUAUGUGGCUCAAUUUUGUGUUUAAUGCACAAACUAGUCUAUCCACAAGAACGAGUCCUUUCGAAAUCUUGAGUGGAAGACAACCUAUACUGCCGUCAUAUUGUUGAUCAUCCUUAUGCAGGAAAAAAUCCUACAAGCUCAUAACUUUACGAAAACGUGGGAGAAGACUACGAACAUCGCUCGAGCAUACUAAGAGAAAGACUCGAAGCGUAUGAUAUAGAAGCAUCCAUCCUCUCAAGUUUUGAGCGGAAGACCAACUUUCGUAGAGUUUAAAGCGAAAGCAAAUUUGAUUUAGAGGACAUCAACAUCAACAUCUCACCAGAAAAUACGAAGGGCCUGUUGAAGUUUUGAAGAAAUUCUGAGAAAUGCAUUAUAUAGGGUAUCGUUGCUUGCAUGGAUAAAAAAUCAUCUAGUAGCUCAUGUGAGCAACUUGAAACCUUACCAUCAAGAUCCAGAUGACCAGUAGUGCAACAAUGGUGUAUGGUCAUCUAGUGACCUAAAGCAGAAAGACGAUAAAGAAAUGGAAGAAAUCGUUCCUAAGAGAGUGAGGAAGGGUAUACCCAUGAAGAGGAUACAUGAAUUCCUACUGAAGUGAAAGAACCUCCAUGCGGAAGAAACACGUUAGGAAUGUGCUGAAGGGUAUACCCAGUCGACAGGGACGCCAAUUGUUUAAGAGCGGGAGAAUGUAACAAGCAUGCUUGUCCAGGGCGCUGUUUGCUUAUGGCCGCAUGCCAAACACCCAAAAUUUACAUUGUUUUUUAUGUUUGUAUUUAGUUUUACUUUUUGCUUUCCUUUUAAUGUCAUAAACCUUGGGUGUGACUUGGCUUUUUCUUAUGCAAGCCUACCAGAACUAAAAAAGUCUAAAAUGUACUAUAGAUGGGACAUAGUAGUUGAAUCCCUGCCCAAGCCUUGUUGCACUCUUCGCAAUCAAAGUUUUUUCUUUGGCAAUUGACAAUCUUCAAUGCUUGCUUUAACGAUAUUUUCAUUGAAUUUCUUUCUCCUCACGUUUUAUAAAACAUUUUCUCAAGAACGUGAAGAGAGGCUACAUCGUAUCAUGUGUUUGUCCGUGGUUUUUGGAUUUUGAUCAGCUAACUUGUUGUCUAUGUAAAACAAGUGCAACAUAAUCGCUCCUCUCGUGUUUGAAAAGCUCGCGAUUGUGACACAAGAAUGCACUAGCCAAGAAUGCACACGAGGAGGGCUACACGAAAUGCCAAGCACGCAACCAAGUGAGGUUCACAAUGUGCUUGUGUGUGAGGUUAGCACGCAGGCAUGCCCAACGCGCGUGAAAAGCCUCUUGUGAGAUUUACACACACUAGCCAGCGCCCAACCAAGGCCCUACCGCCCACCCAUUCGUGUCAGGCAGUGUCAUAUUGCGUGUUGAGCUAUUUUUGGUAAUUUUUUGAGUUUUUUAAGUAUAAUUUUGAUAUUUUCUUGGCAAAAGAUAAUUAAUUGUACUAUUUUACCAUUAUUUCAAGACAUGAGAAGAUCACAAAAUUUAUAAACCAAGGAUUUGAGCUUGUAUCUUUGAGUGGAAAUGUUUUAUUUAAAAGUGAUUUCAAGCAUGUUCUUAAGUCAUGAUUUAUGACGGAUUUAUGCUAAAAUGUUUAAGUUAUGUUAUGAAAAGUCUUUCAAGCGUGUUAUUGUUAAAGGUAUUUAUUCAAGCAUAUUUUUUACUCUUCAAAAUGCAUAAUAUUCAAAAUGUUUUCCCACUUUCUAGUAGAGAUCGUGUCCUCUAAGCCUAACUUGAACCUGUCUACUAAAGGAUUUCAUUUUGUUAUUGUAUGUGUCCUGUAUUUUGUACUAAUGGUAAAUUAGUCUUUUGUGCUAUCAGACUUAUGCUUUUGGAAAGGUUUAUAUAAGGUUUUGUUCUAGAUAAAUAAGAUUACGUUUUUUCUAUGUUAAACUUGUCUAAGGUUGUUAAUGAAAAAGGUUUAGCCCAAUUGGUUUCAGUAAAACUUAUGUGUUAUGUUUCCACUGUUGUUUAGAGUUUAAAGUUCAGGCUAAGGGUCAGAUAGUGUCGUUCUUGACGUGGGUGCUAUCGAUUGGCUUCACGCCAUAUCUCGAGCCACGCAAGUAGGUGCUCGUGGUGGGGUGUGAUAGCCUAAGUUGGCUUAUUAACGGUUAAAAUGUAAACAUGUCCAUAACAAAAUAGUUGGGCAAGGCCCAUGUGGACCGACUGGUAAAGGUUGAAGAGCAAAUGCUCUACCUAAUGAAAGUUCCUAACUCAAUUCGCUUCUUGGAAACCCGCCUUGAAGAAAUUUUUUAGAAAGCUGAUGCUAUUAAUUAAACCACCACCCAAAAUCUUAAGCUAGUGAUUAAAAGUAAAUUUAAUUAUAUAUCACUAACAAUCCCCCACUUAUGGGUUCGAAAUAUCUAAAAGGUCCAACAAGUGAAAAUCAAUUUUAAUUGGGAAGGAAACACCAAUACAGGGACUUGAACAUAAGACCUUUUGGACCACCUGCUCUAAUACCAUAUUAAACCCCAAAUUCACCCAAAAGCUUAAGCUAGUGGUUGAAGGUAAAUUUAAUUAUAUAUUACCAAAGUAUGAGGUUUCAUCACAAUACCAAUUGGCAAUGAGAGGAGUAGCUCAUCUAUUUUAUAAGGAGUCUAAGUUUCCUUGGUUUUUCAAUUGUGGGAACAUGCCCCUUCAAGAUGGUGCCUCUUUGGUUUCACCUAUCUUGAACCAAAUAUCCGUUUAGGCUUAAUGAGCUCUAAUACCAUAUUGAAAGCAAUAUAUACGAAACCAAAGCUUACGUGAAAACGUAAGAAUCGAAAGAAAAGCAUUGUGUUUGUAGUUUUAUUAUUUUUAUGAUAAUUACAGACGUACAAUUGGUGGUUUAAUAUAUAUCACUAACACUAUUGCUGCAAUGAUCGAUCAUCUCGAUGGAUUACCCAUUUAAGAGUUGUUGACAAGAGUUGACACUCUAGAAUCAAAAGUUGUAAGAACUAGAUGUUGUAAUAAAUGUCCUAAAACUCGUUGUAAUCAUAAUCUAUUCAUUAAAGUCGUUAUUGAUACUAUAAUCUUAAAGCCAAUAAACUAAGGACCCGAAGUUAUUAUUAAGUAAACUUGAACUUUAUGUAGAGACAUAAAAGUUGAUCAAGUUUAAGUAUAGAGCCUAAAUAGUAUAGAUUGUACGAAUACAGUUAGGCACCUUAUUCCAGGACACAAUGAAUGCAGUCUGCUUUGUAUUUAGUAUAAACGAUGUGAUCCUAAAUCCUAGAGACAUGAAAGUGUGGACAUCCUAUGUAAAGAGUUUACAAAAGACUAGAACCAUGAAAUAGUCACUUUUAAGUUAUAACACCGUUAACUUUGAAAAACUUACUAUUUCAUUGAUAGAUAUCAAAUAUAACUUAAUCUUAAUACUGAGCUAACUAUAAGCUUCUGUUCUCACCAGCAUGCUUGUUUAAGGCGUUGUUUAUCUAUGGCCACAUGCCCAAAUACCCCCAAAUCACCUUUUCUUUAUGUCUUGUAUUUAGUUUAGUCUAUUGCUUUCCUUUUUAUGUCAUAGACCUAGGGUGUGAGGUGUCACACAUUUUCAUUUGCAAACCUGUCAAAGCUCAAAAAGUCUAAAUGUACUAUAGAAGAGACCCAAUAGUUGAAUCCCCAACCAUGUCUUAUCGUAUUCUUUAUAAUCAAAUUUUUAUUUGCAAUUGAAAGUCUUCAACGCUUUCUUUAAUGAUGUUUUUAAUGAUAUUCUCUCUCACAUUUUAUAAUAAUUUUUUCAAGAACGGGAAGGGAGGUUAUAUCAUAUCGUGAGUUUGUUCGUGAUUUUCGGAUUUUACAUGACUGACUUAUUGACUGAGCAAAACAAGUGUUCUACAAUUGUCCGUUCCAUGUUUGAAAGAUUGCGAUUGUGGCACGCAGAGUGUCACAAGUGUGCUUGUCCAAGGCAUUAUUUGCCUAUGGUCGUAUGCUCGUAUAUCCUCAAACCACUUUAUCUUUAUGCUUUGUACUUAGUUUAGUCAACUGCUUUCCUUUUGUUGUCACCGACCUAAGGUGCGUCGUUUCGCAAUUUUCAUAUGCAAUGUUGUCAAUGCUAAAAAAGUUUAAGAUGUAUUGUAGGGGAGGCAUGGUAGAAAAUUGAAUCCAUCUCAACUAAGGCCCCUAUUGUGAUUUUUGCAAAUCUAAGCUUUCUUUGCAAUUGACAAUAUUCAAUUUUUUCUUUAAGGAUGUUAUCAAUGUUUUUCUUUAUCUCUCACGUUUUAUACAACCAAUUUCUCUCAAAAGAUGAAGCGAGGCUACAUCGUACCAUGAGUUUAUCCGCAACUUUCAAAUUUCACAAGGUUGCCUUGUUCAUCAAUUUAGAACAAGUGUUGCACAAUCGCCCGUCCCGUAUUUGAAAAGUUGCAUUUUGUGACAAGUGGUAUUAAAGCUUUCUUAGCUCCUUGGCUAAGCGAGAUGCAAUUAUGUCGACAAUGAAACAACUAUCAAAGUUGCAAUCUGAGCGACUGACUGAGAUUGAAGAGGAAUUCUUGGAUAUGAAAGAAUUGCCAAAGGAAGUAAGAUUUCUCCAGACCUAACUUGAGAUGUUUAAAGAAAAAGUCAGAGAAAUAGACGCAUUGAAUGCCUAAAUAGACAAACUACCCAUAAAUGAAUUGGCGUUGAGGGUUGAUUCGUUAGAACAUAAAACCACCAAAGUAGGUAGUUUUGAACGUGGAAGUAGCUCUUCAAGUUCUAUCGCACAAAUGGAAGAGCGUGUCAAGAGUUUGACUUUUGACAAGCUCCAACAUAAUCAGUUAUAUUUCAAGAAAGAGAAAAGUGUUUUUGCUAAAUAGCGUAUCAAUUUUCUGGGUCACAUCAUCGAAUGUAGAAAGAUUUGAAUGGAUGAACAUAAGUUGUGAGCUAUUAAGGAGUGGAGAGCCCCCACUUCCGUGAAAGAGUUACGUUUCAUCCUUCAAUAUAUUCUAAAAUAGGGUUCACCUACUAUCCUCUAGACUCAGUACCGAGAGAAAGAAAUAGAUGGAAAAAGAAAUGGGCUUGGUAAUUUUUUUUUCUAUGUAAAUAAGAAAAAGAAAUCCAAUUUGGUAUAAGAGCCCAAAUUCAUUAGCCAGUCCAUCAAAUGAGGUCAACGACCCUAUUUAUAAGGAUUUUCCAUGCAAAAUUGCAUGUCCAUGGAAUACUAAAGCCCAACAACUCAAAGCUCUAUUUCUAAUAUGAAAUUCGAUGGCUAUAACACAUAUACUUGUCAGUUUCUCUCUCUUCUCCCAAUUCGAACAAUUCGACUUAUUCCAUCACACUAUUUUAAGUUUAUUCCAUAUGAGCUAGCAAGGGAACCUAAUGGACCUAUAUAUCAUGGACUCCAAUGAUUCAAGAUUAAUUGACUAAAUUCUUAUAGACUGAGUUAAUCAACAUUCGUUAACUAACGGGUCAUUCAUGUAUGUACUGGAACGAUUCAGAAUCACCUCGUUUGUACUAACUACAAAGCGGGCGGCAUCCACAGUUUCUCUGAAAAAAUCUGGGUUACUACAACGUCACCACGAUGUACAAUUUUCCUGAUAAGAUGGUACUUACGUUCGAUAUGUAUUCCCCGUUUACGGCUUUUAGGUUCUCUUGAAUUUGCAACUGCACCACUGUUGUGACAGUAUAAAGUGAUUGAUAGAUGCAUAUUUGGAACGACUUUCAGAUCUGUCAAGAAUUUUCUUAGCCAUAAUGCUUCUGUUGUUGCUUCAAAAGUUGCUACGUAUUCUACCUCCAUUGUGGAAUCAACUAUACAAGUUUGUUUUAUGCUUCUCCAAACUACUACUCUUCUAUUUAGAGUGAAUACUAAUCCUGAUGUAGACUUUCUAGCAUCUUUAUCAGUUUGAAAAUCAUAAUGAGUGUAUCCAGUAAGGAUCAAAUCUUUUGUACCAUACACGAAAAUGUAGUGUUUUGUUCUUCAAAUAUAUUUUAGAACAUUCUUAACGGUUGUCCAGUGAUCACAUCCAAGAUUGGACUGAUACCUACUGACCAUCCCUACUAAGUAACAAAUGUCAGAUCUAGUACACAACAUUGCAUAUAUCAAACUUCCAACAGCGGAAGCAUAGGAAAAUUUUCUCAUAUCCUCAAUUUCUUGAGGUGUCUUAGGACAUUGUUCCUUUGACAAAUGAAUUCCGUAGAUGUAUAAUAGCAUACCCUUUUUGGAAUUCUACAUUUUAUAUCUAGACAACAUUUUGUCUAUAUAAGAUGCUUGAGACAUGGCUAGUGUUUUGUUCUUGCAGUUCUGUACAAUUUGGAUCUUAAGAACGUAUUGUGCAUUUCCCAGAACUUUCAUUUGAAAUUGCAUAGCUAGCCAUUUCUUGAUAUUAGUAUGAAAUCCUAUGUCCUUUUCCAAUAAGUAGAAUAUCAUCUACAUACAAGACUAAGAAUACUACAAUGGAAUUGACGACCUUUUUUAUAAACAUAAGGUUCGUCAACCUUUUGUAUCAAAGCCAUAAGAUUUGAUCAUAGUAUCAAAUCUUAUAUUCCAGGAUCUAGAUGUUUGUUUUAAUCCAUAAAUGGAUUUUUUAAUCUUACAAACCUUUUGUUCUUGAUCUUGAUCUAUAAACCCUCUAAUUGAGUAAUAUAGAUACUCUCUUCAAGAUUGUCAUUCAAAAAAAGUUGUCUUGACAUCCAUCUGCCAAAUUUCAUAAUCAUAAAACGUGGCGAUGCAUAAGACUAUUCUAAUUGACUUUAGCAUGGCAAAGAUAGAGAAACUUUCUUCAUAGUCUAUGUUAGAAAGAGACAUGCGCAGUGGAAAAAUGGAAUACAAAAUUACCCUAAUUGCACCUAUUUAACUUGCAACCCUAAAUUAAAAGAAUUAGGGUUUAGGAAAUAUUAUACCUUUGUAUCUAUUCGAAUAUGAACGUCUAUACCUCUCACAAAAUUCCAAAAGUUUUUGAAACCAAAAUGUAACACCUUAAACUUAGGAUUUGGAAUUCGUAUCUCCAGCAUUCUCUGCAUCCCCUGCGACCUGGCAGCAUCAUCCUUACUAUUCUUAAAAACUUAUUAGAAUGAAAUUCCUCUUCACAAACCAACACGAAAUCUUUCAUCAUGCUUUUCCUCACUCACAUAUAUCCUAGGAAAAUUUCCAAGAGGUCACCCAACAUAGAAUUUCUUUCAAGCUAAGCACGCUUAACUAUGAAGUCCCUAUAAUCGAGCCACCGAAAAAAAAAGGUUCACAUUGUUGGUAUAGGUAAUAAGUUUCAAUUCUUUUAAGUCUUUCUUAACAUGACUUUCAUGUCCUCAAGGUGCACCUUGUCGGUAUACUUGUCGAUUUCUCUCUCUUCUCUCAAUUCGAACAAUUCGACUUAUUCCAUCACAAUGUUCUAAGUUUAUUCCAUAUGAACUAGCAGGGAAACCUAAUGGACUUAUAUAUCAUGGGCUCCAGCGAUUCAAGAUUAACUGGUUAAACUCUUUUAGACCGAGUUAAUCAACAUUCGUAAACUAACGGGUCAUUCCACUAAAGUCCCGCAGUUGCACUCUCCCUCACUAUAGAUAUAUUCUUGUCCAUUUAAUAUAACCAUGAUCAAUAAGUUAAUCCUUCACAUGUUAUUCGUAACCUCGAAUGGAUCAAAUUACUGUUUUAUCCUUGAGACUACAUCUUAUUUCUUAAGUUUCAUUGAUCCACUAUUGAACAAUUGGUUUAAGGUCCAACCUAUAAACUUAAUCCCUCUCGGGCUAAUGUGAGGGUGGGGCCCCUUGUUCAAGACUUGGAUUCAGUGCUUAAGAGAACAACCUAUCUACUAACCCUAAACAGGUAGAAGUGAAUUUUGUCUUGCAUCCUAUGUUCCCAGCCAUUCAUCUGAUCUUACCCUUGAAAUAGGAGGCUUAUUGGGAGAACGUUGAUGAGAUACCCUCACCUAUGCAUAUGUAACCCUAAAACAAGUAGAAGUGAAUUCAGUCUUAUGUAAGUACUUUACAGUGCUUAAGAGAACAACCUAUCUACUAACCCUAAAACAGAUAGAAGUGAAUUCAGUCUUAUGUAAGUACUUUACAGUGCUUAAGAGAACAACCUAUCUACUAACCCUAAAACAGGUAGAAGUGAAUUCUGUCUUGCAUCCUAUGUUCCCAGCCAUUCAUCCGAUCUUACCCUUGAAAUGAGAGGCUUAUUGGGAGAACGUUGAUGAGAUACCCUCACCUAUGCAAAUGUAAGGAUAAUCUCAUGUGAACAGGAGUUCAUAGUUAGCUUAGGAUUAAGAUUAAGCUACCUAAGUCAUCAAUAAACGAAAUAGUCAGUUCUAAACAGUAAACGGUGUUAUAACGUAAAAGUGACUAUUUCAUGGAUCAGUUUAUGUAAGUACUUUACAUAGGAUGCCCCCACUUUCAUGUCUCUACAUGAACAAUUUAGGAUCACCUCGUUUGUACUAAUUACAAAGCGGGUCACAUCCGUUAGUUUCUCUAAAUAAGGCACUAUAGACUAUUUAGGCUAUACACUCGAACUUGAUCCACGUUUAUGUCUCGACAUAAAGUUCAAAUGUAUUAAAAAAUAGCAUUAAGACUUAGUUUAUUGGAUUUAAGAUUAUAAUUUUAAAUUUUUCAAUAACGAUUUUAUUGAACUGAAUAUGAUAACAAACUACGAGUUUUAGGACAUAAAAUCCCAACAUAUGUAUUUUUGCCUCUAAUAAUAAUGUUGAAAGAUGUUUGUUGUGGUUUCAUAUAGGUGAUAUCUCUUCUGGUUGGACAUAGUUAGGUUUUGUAAUGGGUGACUUUAACGAUAUCAAAAUGCAUUUUGAGGCUUUUGAUAGGUCUUCUGUUCCUAUGGAUAUGGAGGAGUUCGAUAUGGCUAUUUGCGAGGCUUAUUUAGUUGAACCUACAGUACAGGGUAACUGGUUCACCUGGACUAGAAAGGUUCAUGGGUCUGGUUUGAUAAAAUGGUUUAAUCGUAUUCUGGUUAAUGGUGUUGGAUUACUGCAUGGCCUUCGGGUAUUUCUGAUCACUCCCCUCUUAUUUUAUCCGCAACUUUUAGCAGAGACAGUGGGUAGUUUCUUUUUGUUUCUUCAACCAUUGGGUUGAGGAUUCUUUGUUUAUUGAUGUUGUCUCUUUGAUUUGGAGUCGCCAUGUAGGAGUUUCUCUGAUUGUGAGUUUCGUGAGAAAUUUACAUAACCACAAGCCUACCCUCCAUAGACAGUUUGGUAAGCACAUUCAGACCUAAGUGAGGAGGUUCGUAUUGCUAAAGAGUCCAUGGAUAAAGCUCAGAGAAAAGGUUGGGCAAAAUCCUAUGUCUGAUGUUUUGAGUCGCCAAGCAGGUCUUGCCAUUGAGGCCUUUUGGACGGCUGUUAGAUUGGAGGAAGCCUUCAUGUGUUUAGAAGUCCAAGAGGUUUGUGAGUUGCCUUAGAACUUGUGUUACCUUCCUCGAUGUUCUCCAUUACGAUUAAUGGCUCUUUCAAGGGUUUUUUAAUGGGAGGAAAGGUUUGUGUAGAGUGAUCCUUUAUCUCCUUUCCUUUUUAUCAUGGUGAUGGAGGUCCUCUCUCGUAUGUUGAAUCGGCCUCCUCCGAGCUAUCAGUUUCACAGGCAUUGUGAGAAGGUUAGCUUAACUCAUCUAACCUUUGCUAAUGAUCUUAUGAUUUUUUGUGCUGCUGAUGAUUCCUCUCUGAGUUUUAUUAACGAGACUAUUAGAAAGUUUGGUGAUCUCUCGGGGCUAUUUACUAAUCUUAGUAAAAUUUCUAUGUUUGUUGUAGGGGUUAAUAGUGAUGAUGUUUAUCGUUUGACUACCAGUUUGGGUUUUGUUCUCAGGCAUCUCCCUGUUCGUUAUCUUGGGCUUCCUUUACUUUCUGGGAGGUUACGACCUACUGAUUGUGCUCUCUUAUUCAACGUAUUACUAGUCAGAUUCAUUCUUGGUUUGCUAGAGUUUUAUCAUUUGCAGGUAGAUUGCAACUGGUUUGAUAUGUGCUUGAUAAUCUUCAGGUUUACUAGGCUAACGUGUUUGUGCUGCCUGUGAGUGUGCAUCAUGAGGUUGAUAAAAUCUUGAGGUCUUAUCUUUGGAGGGGUAAGGAGGAAGGUAGAGGAGGUGUUAAGGUGGCGUGGGCUGAGGUGUGUUCCUUUUGAGGAGGGUGGUCUUGCUAUUCUUGAUGGGUCUUCUUAGAAUGUUGUGAGUACUAUGAAGAAUCUUUGGUUGUUGCUGACUAGUUCGAGUUUUCUACGGGUUGCUUGGGUCGAGGCAAAUGUUCAUAAAGGAAGGUCAUUGUGGGAGGUCGAUUCUUGUGUUGGUCGGUCUUGGUGUCUUUGUGCUAUCAUGUGUAAACGAGAUAGUCUAAAAGAGCAUGUUCAGAUGGAGGUUGGGGAUGGUAGGCAUUGUAAACUGUGCCUGGAUCCGUUGUUGCAGGGUGGUUCCUAUCCUUCAACAAGUUGGUGAGAGAGCGCUUUAUAAUGUAACGAGUAGAUAGGAGGCUAGGCUCUCUAAGUUUAUUGGUUCGAAAGGGGAGUGGAGGUGGUCGAGGGUGUCUUUGGAUUUGAUUAAUUUAUGGGAUAGGGUUCAAGUUGUAAGUUCGUGUCCUAAUGUUGGUGAUAGGUGGGUUUGGGUUCUUGGUCGUCAUAGUGGUUUUUUGAUUGCUAGUGCAUGGGAUACUAUUCAUCCUCGUAGUGUUAAGGUUCGUUGGACAGGUUUCUUGUGGGGUGGGGAUUGAGAGUCUCGUUAUCAUUUGUUUUUUCAUGUCCUUUUGGUUGUGAUAUUUAGUCUCGGGUCCUUUAGGUUAUGGCUUCCUCUCACAGGAUUGGGUAUUGGGGGGUUGAGUUGUUUAGGGUUUGUCAUUAGAGUAUUGGUAAGGGUGUGAGAAGGAAGUUGUGGUAUGUUCUCUAGGGAAAAUUGUGCUACGAUUUAUUUUAUGUGAAAGGAGCAUAAUCAUUGUCUCCAUGGUGGUCAAGCUCGUGAGCUCAUUGUUCUGUUUCAGCUUAUUCCAUCUUGUAUCAGUGCUCGUGUUGUUUAUUUGCGUGAGGAUGCUCAUGGUAUUAUUUAGCUUGUUUUCUUUUGAUUUUUGUUUUAUCUGCUUGUUCUCGGGCUGUGGAGUUGUUUGGACUUUUUAUGUUUUUGUUGCUCUUAAUUUUGUUGGGUUUAUUAUUGUUCUUUCUUUUGAUACUUUGGAUUCUUCCUGUUUUUGUGAGCAUUGUCCGCUCUUGUGAGGUCAUCCUUGUUGUAUUAUGAUAUUAACUUUUCAAGAAAAAAAAAAAGAUAAUGCAAUUCAACUUUAGAUAGAAACAUGAUUCGAAUUUUCAUUUCAAGAAAAUACAAGGGGACAGAACUCAAGGAUUAUGUGGAUCACAAAACUUGAAUUACUAGAAUCUAAAUUUCCAUAUGUUAGAUAUCAUUAGAAGCAGUUAGACCAAAAGUUAAUUAUCAAUAUGUUAGUUCACAGGAACUGCAUAAUCAAGCACAUAAACAUCCACAUUGUCAUUCAUUGUAGGCAGCUUUGAUACACAAAAAAUAUGGAUAUUUUCAGAAGUUCAAGCAUACACAAAAAACAUAUCCUUGUCAGAAAAUAGCCAACUAAGAAAGAGAAGUUCAAGAUUUAUAUACAAAGUGCAGCUGCAAAAGGACAAGCAAGAUGCCAGAAUCUAUAUAUUAUGCAGUCGGAUAUUAAUUGGCAAGUACUAACAGCAAAGGUACCAAAAUAAAACCGUAUCAAUUUAUCUUGUCUAAAACUAAACAGUAUAUGUAAAUCUUGCAAACAAACAAGUUUUUUGAAUCAAAACUGCCAAAAGAUUUUGAUUCAAGUGAUAUGUGGAUUGUGAUCUUUUGUGUCACCCAUCCAUUCCUCCUGUUUUAACCAUUUAAAUCAAUAAAUAAUUUUAUGUUCAAACAUAAGUUGGACAACCUUUGUUAAAGAACUGCUUCCCAAAACAAAUAGCAUUAACCACCCUUUUUUAAUUCAACACAUGGGAAUAAAGAUCGAAUCUCUGAUUUUUUGGUCUAAGGUACCUUUCCUAAACUUGUCGAAUUCCAUUUUCUACACCAACUUUAGAACGAGUAUAUACAUCAAGUAAUUUCAUGUUCAACUCAAAAUUGGACAACCAUAGUAUUACUCCAAAGCAAACAAUACUAACUGUUCCAUUAAAUAUUUUUUUAUAGCUCUUGAUUGUCUCACUUUUUUGUAUUUUGAAUUUACAAGCCUCUUUUUUCUUUCUUUGGUAUGAAAGGUGGCAACUAGGCCUUGCUAGAACGAGUGGGGUAACCUUUCUAUGGUAGUACACUUAGUUUCGAAGUUCGAAGUUUUCCUCCUACAGUGGAUCAUCGAUAUUGAUUCUUCUACUGUUAAUUCGACCUCCCACUAAUUCUCUUCUUCUAAGGAUUCACUUUUCUCUAAGGCUCUGCACUUUACUAAAAAGCCUUGAUCUUCUUCCCCCCAAUGUUUUCAUAAACUUCUUAAGACAGACCCUGACCUUGGUUAGGCUCGGAUCUCCUUGGAUUAUCACCUUAUUCCCCUGAUAUGUAAAUGUUAACAUCAUAUUCUUCCAAUCCACUCCAGUCGUUCCCAAGGAAUACAAUCACUGCAUUCCAAGUAUGGCAACUACCCCUCCCAACUUCAAGGGUAAAAACUCAUUCACUACCUUCUAGUCUCCCAGCAUUAACUCAACAUCUUCACAAAUUACCUUCCCUUUGACUACAGUGCCCGAGCCCAAAAUGACUCCAUAAUUCGACGUUUCUCUUGUACUCAGUUGCAACUCUUUCACUAUUUUUUCCUGAAAUGAAAUUGCGUGUGACUUCACAAUCAAUUAGUACUAUAGCCACAUUCCCUUGUAUCAUCUCUUUUACCUUCAUUUUCCCUAGGUUGGAUAAUCCCACCACAUAAUUAAUGGAUAAUUCCACCACCACCUGACUCUCCUCUACGAUCUCAGGGGCAUUCAACUCUUUCUGAUCAAUUCCUCAUUCUUCGAUAAUUUCAUACUCCUCGCCUUCUUCCUUCACAACAAUCAUUCACAAUUCCCUUUGCUCUUUCAUCUUGCAUUUGUGGUCAUGAGAAUAUUUCUCAUUACAGCGAAAGCACAAUCCCUUCUUUCUAGAUUGAAAUUCAGCAUCAAAUAAGCGCUUCGCCUGUCCCUCUUUCCGUACUUCCUCUUUUGUUGUUCCUCGUAGAGUAAUAGUUCUCAUCGGCCAAUUCAUUCCUCCUUUACUUUCUUCUGUAUUCGCAAUGGUAUUAGCCUUGGUGCUAUUAUGGGAGUUUAUCACCUUUUCUCCAGAAUAUCCAGAAAGAUUUGCUUCCUGACGUAUAUCUUCCUUGUUCUCUACCUUUUGCGCGAUUCGUAUCGUUUGUGCUAAUCCCUUCGACUCACAUAAAUCCAUCUCCGCCUAGAUCCACAGUUUCAAUCACGACAUAAAUGUCUCUUUUACCACCUUCUCUAAUAGGUCCGACAAAGGAGCUACCCACUUAUCGAAUAAAUUUUGAUAUUCCUCUAUCGUUUUCUUUUGUUGAAUUUGCAAGAACCUUACAUACAACGAUUCCUCCCUCACGGAUCGAAAUCGCACAAAUAAUCUUUCCUUCAUAUUCACCCAAUCUACAAAGUUCUCUCGUUCUUCUUGAGAACGGUAAAAGUUCAAUGCUAGUCCCUCAAAACUAAUAGUGGAUACAGUCAUUUUCUCAAAUUCAGUAAGUUUAUGAAUGUGCAAAUACCUCUCUACGCGAAACAGCCAAGAAUCGGGAUCAUCUCCAUUGAAUAUCGACAUCUCCACCUUCUUAAACUUAUUGCAGUAACUAUUACUUUCAUCAUAUAUUUUCUUUCCUUCCUUCCUUGUUUCGUUCUCCCAUCUUGGUCACCCUUCGCCUUCGUCCACAUUCUUCGUCGAUGAAUUGUGCAUUGUUGUCGAUUCCAUAAUUCGUAACAUCAUCUAAAUUCUACCUCUCCAUAUUUUUGGAUAUUUUGGCCAACGUCUUUUCGAUCACCAGUAUCUUACUAAUCUCUUUCUUAAUGUCCUGUAUUUCCUGGUCAAACGUCUCCAUCUCUUCGAUCCGAGUCUGAACCAUUUGCAUUCUUCUUGCCCGAGAUCAAUGCUCUGAUACCAAUUUGAUGGAAACCAGUCUUGGAAUGAAAUUGCUACUAUAUUAUUAAUGAUAGAAUAGGAAUGAAAUCCUAAUUACAAUAUGAAAUCCCUCUCCUGUUAUCCUCUCUCUCAAGGAAGAAUAGAAAUUCACUUUCUCAAACAAAACCUAACUUUCCCGCCCACGAUUACUUUUUAUUUAUACUAACAAUAAGGUAACUAACCCUUCCCUUUACACAUGCUAUUCAUGUGCACGUGAUAUAUUUUUUUUAAUUUCUUUGUCCCUCUUCCACUGUAUAGAUGUAAUAUAGGGGGUCUAUCAGAUUCCUCCUCUUUUCAAAGCCUCCAACCAAACUCAAUGCUAAGUUUGACUGCUCCCUUCAGAGUGACGACCCUCAUUUUCCCCCUUCCGUGGUUUGGGGAGGAUUCCUCCUCUUUUUAAAGCCCUCAAUCAAACUUGAUGCUAUGUUUAGAACGCUAAGAAUAGGUGGUCUAGUUUUGGUUAGGCCAAAAGUGAAAAUUUCCCCCAAAAGCACUAAUAGUUAGGGAACUCAACACAUUCUACUUGACUUAAUCGACUUGACUCUCUAAUUUUUAUGAGCUUUUUUCAAUGCAUAUUGCAUAUGUUUUUUUUAUAGUUGUUGAUUGUCUCACAUUUUUAUGGUUUGCAUUUACAAGCCUCUUUUUUCUUUCUUUGGUAUGAAAUAUGGUAAUAGGCCUUGCUAGAAUCGGUGGGGUAAUCUCUCUAUGGUUCUACACUUAGUUUCAAAGUUUGAUUACUCCCUUCGAAGUGACAACAAGCCUCGUUUUCCCCUAUUGUGGAUCAUAGAGGAUUCCUCCUCUUUUCAAAGCCCUCAAUCAAACUCAAUGCUAAGUUUAACUGCUCCUUCGAAGUGACAACAAGCCUCGUUUUCCCUAUUGUGGAUCAGAGAGGAUUCCUCCUCUUUUCAAAGCCCUCAAUCAAACUCAAUUAGAGUAAAAAGGAAAAAUUUUCAUCUCGGGCGCGUGUACCUCACACGCGUCUCUCUAGGAUUUCCAAGUUCUCUCACUCGCUGGUGAAGGAGGCGAACGGCUGGUGAGUGCUGCGGUCAGCAAGGGAUCAAAUUCGAAGGUAAUUCGUUCGGUUUUGGCAGAUUGAAUGUGAAAACUAAUGUCAUUUGGUAUCCAUUUCGAAAUUGAUUACAAUUGAUCAAUUGAACCAUUACGAAUGAUAUUCUUUUGAUUCGGGAGAAUUAACGUCUGUCAGAAAUUGUUUAAAUCGAUUUCCAAGCUGAAUUGAUUUGAACUAUCUUGAAAGUAUUGCGUGUGGUACGAAUCGAUUUAUUGGCUAUCAGUUCUGGUUUGAAGACCGUGAUUUAAUUCACUCGCUGGAGGGAUCUCGCAUGAAUCUCCUCGGUUGAAUUUCAAUUCUUUUUUAGUUCAUUCGUGUUCCCAGAUUGGGCCGAAAAGAUCAUCACGGGUGUUGGGUUGAUGUCCUAAGCAUGAAACGAUGAAGAAAUUAUCCAGUGACGUUGAGGAGGUGAAGAAACGCGUGAUGUCAAGCCUUCAACGCGUACAUGAUAUGGCGGCGAACCGAAGGGCGGCGACUGCAAAGGCUGACCUAAUUUCUGUGAGGAAGAAACGGUCGGACAUGAGUGGACCCGAACCGGUUUACGUGAACCGUGAAACAUAUAAAAACGAAAUACAGGAAAUGGACCGAGCGGAUGGUCCCAUGAAGAUUGUUGGCCCAAAGGCGUGUGGGCCGAUUGUUUUGAAUGAAAACUUGAUGAAGUCCUGAGCCGGUAAAGGGGCUGAAGCCGAAUGGUGUGGACACAUUUACGAAUGGAAUUGGUCAUGGAUCUCUGGUUGAUGGGCCAUCGUUGAAUGAUGGGCCGUCCAUCUCACACGAAACUGGGAUCUCACAGAAGGAGUGCUUACCUGUGGUGCUUCAAGUGUUCAGCAUGUUGGGCAAAUUGCGGCCAAGGAUAUGGACCUGGGCUGGAUGCUAUUGCAAGUGCCCCAAAGAUUGGGCCGGUUGAUGGGCAUUUGAAUGAUGGGCCAGCCAUUAGAGAACGUUUGGUACUAAUUCAAAUGGUGGGCCGCCUGUUCGAUUCGUGGGCAUGAGGUGCAUAAAUCUAAUAAUUCUGGAGGUGCAGGCAAAAAUUCAUGGGCUUCCUUUUUGGCUCAACAAGAGGUUUCUCUAUGACCUAUACACCUCUACUACCGUGGGAGAGAAAAUUGUGGUGACCCCGUUUGAAGAAGUUAUUAGUCAAGGAGUUAGAGUGUGGGAGAACUCCUCGUCAGCCAAUUAAUUGAUGCAAAAUUGCGUAUCUAGUCAUCUAUCGUCUUAUAGAGAAGAUUUGGGGUAGAAUUGAAAUGCCAACAAUUACUCUGAUGGAGAAUGGGCUCAUCUGCUUUCAAUUCAAACAUCUGAAGUCGAUAGAGUGGAUCUUAUCCCGUGGCCAUGGCACCUUGGAGGCAAACCUAUGCUCCUCCGCAAAUGGACUCCAGGUAUAGUUCCUGAAUCCUUUGUCUUUGAUUCAGUUCCUGUUUGGAUAAAGUUAGGGAGGAUUCCGUUGGAGCUAUGGACGGAUGCUGGUUUGGCUGUGGUAGCGAGUGCAAUAGGAAAACCUCUUUCAGUUGAUCUUGCUACUAAAGAGAGGCGUCAUCUUUCUUAUGCCCGUAUAUGUGUGGAAUUGAAUGUGGACAGUAUUAUGCCUGCCGAAGUAACAGUCAACCUUAGAGGAGAGGAAUUUAUUGUAACUGUCACUUAUGAGUGGAAACCGAAAAAAUGUAACUUGUGUCGAUCUUUUGGACACUCGCAGAACACCUGCCCUAAGAAAAGAGGCAAUGAAGAUAGUAAAAAGGAAGCUGCAAGUAAAGAGGUUCCUGUUAAAGAGGUUGUUCCUACUAAAGAGGUGGUUCCAGAUUGUGGGGAGUAUGGAGAUGUUGUGUUGGAAUCCUUCCAACACAUGGAAGAAGGAGAAAUUAUUACCCAUAAACUGCCUGAAAAGGUGGAGGUAAAUCGGGAGGAAUUUACCCCAGUUGACAGGAAAAAUAGGGGAAUGAUCUCUAUUCGGGACAGAGGGAAAAGGGGGAAGUGAGUAUCACUACUCCUUUAACAACCUCAUGGAGGUGGAUAAAGGAGAUAAAUGGCCUUUAUCUAUAGUGGAUGGCUCCCCUCCUCCCUUACGAGUAGAUGACUCUUCUAUGGUCCUUUUGAGUACUACAGGUGAUGUAAUUCCUAUGGGAGAGGCGCUCCCAUACGACCUCAUGGUUAGUUGGUGUACGUGGAACGUGCGGGGCCUUAAUAGCCCUGUAAAGUGUAGAGCGGUGAAGGACUUCUUAGCCGUGUCUACGGUGGGUUUCUGUUGCAUCCUGGAGACUAGAGUUCGAGAGGAGAACUUUGUCUCGAUAUCUAGAAGAUUUGUGAUUCGUGGGGGUUCAUUAGUAACUACAGCAAUAGUGGAGUAGGUCGAUGUGGAUUAUGUGGAAACGUAACAGAUUCGUGUGUGUUCACGACUAACGAGGUUGUCGACCAGUUUAUUUCUGGUGUAAUAACAGAUUUGAUCUCUGGGGAGAAGGUAGAGGUUCUGUGUGUGUAUGCCUCUAAUAGUAAUAUCAGAGACGUGUUUUAUGGAGGCGAAUGGCUGAGAUCUCUGCUGGUUGGAGAGGACCGGGUAUGGUCUUGGGUGAUUUUAACACCAUCAGACUCCACUCUGAAGCCUUCGGGGGUGCUCGAACGUGGGGGAUAUGGAGGAGUUUGACAUGGCUAUUCGAGAGGCGGACCUUGUUGAACCGCGGUCCAGGGGAACUGGUUUACUUGGACUAGUAAGAUACAUGGGUCGGGUUUGAUGAAUAGACUUGAUCGUAUCCUAGUGAAUGAUGAGGGGCUUAGUACAUGGCUAACAUGAGGGUUAACGUCCUCCCGUGGGGUAUUUCUGAUCAUUCUCCAUACUUGUCUAUCCCAGUAAUCAGCGAAGCCAACAAGUGGUCUCUUUUCGUUUCUUUAACCAUUGGGUUGAAGAAGCGUCCUUUAUGGAUGUUGUGUCCUCUGCUUGGACCAAAGAUACUAGAGUUUCUCCAAUUGUGAAUAUUGUGAGGAACUAAGAAAUCUCAAGUCGAUUCUUCGCAGACAUUUUGGUAGGCAUAUCCGGACCAUCAGUGAGGAUGUUCGUCUUGCCAAUGAUACCAUGGACCGAGCUAAAGAGAGAUGGAGACGAACUCUCUGUCGGAGGAGGCGAGUAAUCACGCGAGCUUAGCCACGGUAAACUUUUGGAAAGCGUUAGAGUGGAGGAAGCCGCUAUGCGCCAGAAGUCGCAAAUCAGAUGGUUGAAGCUAGAUGACCAGAAUACUGCCUUUUUUCAUCGAUCUGUUCGAUCAAGGCAGAGCAGCAAUGCUUUGAGAUCAGUUAUUGACCCAGAUGGAAAUCGGUUGACUAACCAUGAUCAGGUGACUCAGGUGGUAGUGAAUUAUUUCAAAGAUAGUCUGGGUUCUCAGAAUAUUAGCUACAAGAGCUCUCUACUAGUAUUGAGGAGAUUGUUCAGUUUAGAUGGACUGAGGAGUGUUGCAGGCCCUCCAGUCGCCUAUUGGCAGGGAGGAAGUGAGACGUGUUCUGUUCUCCAUGGAUGGUGGAAAGGCUCCAGGCCCUGAUGGGUAUUCAGUUGCUUCUUCAAAGGAGCUUGGACGGUGGUUGGAGAGGGUUUCUGUGAUGUCGUCUUACACUUCUUUGAGACCAAUUACUUCCCUCAAGGGGUGAAUACGACUGCUAUUACACUUAUUCCUAAAAGGAAUGGUGCUGAUCGAUUGGAGGAUUUCAGCCCUAUAUCUUAUUGCAGCGUUAUUUAUAAGUGCAUUUCAAGAAUAUUGGCAGAUAGGCUUCGUGUGUGGCUUCCUUCUUUUGUUAGUGGAAAUCAGCCAGCUUUCAUCCCUGGGAGGAGUAUUAUUGACAAUAUUCUUCUUUGUCAGGAGCUUGUAGGGGCAUACCAUUUGCACAGAGGUAAACCUCGGUGCACUAUGAAGGUUGACCUCCAAAAAGCUUAUGAUUCUGUUAAUUGGGAUUUCCUCUUUGGCCUGCUGAUUGCCAUAGGUACGCCUUUAAGAUUUGUGAGUUGGGUUCGAGCGUGUGUGACCUCUCCGAUGUUCUCCAUUAUGAUUAAUGGAUCGUUGGAAGGUUUUUUCCAUGGGAGGAAAGGACUUAGACAAGGUGACCCUUUAUCCCCGUUCUUAUUUGUGAUGGUCAUGGAGGUGCUUUCUCGCAUGUUGAACAGCCCACCUCAGAAUUUUCAAUUCCACCAGUUUUGUGAGAAGGUCAGAUUAACUCAUCUUACUUUUGUAGAUGACCUAAUGAUCUUUUGUACUGCUGAUAAUCAUUCUAUGAGUUUCAUAAAAGAGACUAUUAAGAGGUUUGGUGAGCUUUCGGGACUGUUUGCUAAUCUUGCUAAAAGCUCAAUUUUUCUUGUGGGGGUUAAUAGUUCGAAAGAUUCUCGGCUUGCUGCUAACAUGGGUUUUUCCAUUGGUCAUCUCCCUAUUCGUUAUCUUGGGCUUCCUCUCCUCUCUGGAAGAUUGCGGAGCUCUGAUUGUGAUCCCCUUAUUCAGCGUAUUACCAUUCGUAUUCGGUCUUGGUCUGCUAAAGUGUUAUCUUUUGCAGGUAGACUUCAGCUUGUUCGCUCAGUCCUUAGGAGCCUUCAGGUUUAUUGGGCUAGUGUGUUCAUGCUUCCUAUGAAAGUCCACAGAGACGUUGAUAAGAUCUUGAGGGCUUAUCUGUGGAGAGGUAAGGAGGAGGGAAGAGUGGUGCUAAAGUUGCCUGGGAUGAGGUUUGUCUUCCUUUUGAUGAAGGAGGUCUUGAUAUUCGUGAUGGAUCUUCUUGGAAUAUAGCAAGCACGUUGAAGAUAUUAUGGUUGCUACUUGUUAAAUCUAGUAGUUUGUGGGUUUCUUGGGUGGAAUCUUAUAUCCUUAAAGGGAGAUCGCUGUGGGAGAUCGAUGCUGGGAUAGGAUUCAGGGAGUGAGGCCGAGUCCGAGUGUUGAGGAUAGGUGGGUCUGGGUGCCGGGGAGUCGUGAUAGUUUUUCGAUCACUAGUGCGUGGGAGACUAUUCGUCCUCAUAGUAGUAGGGUUGGAUGGUCGGGUUUACUAUGGGGUGGGGGAAAUAUUCCUAAGCACUCCUUCUGUGCUUGGUUGGCCAUCAGGGAUAGGUUGAGUACUAGAGAUAGGUUAAGUCGGUGGGAUAGGUCGAUUCCUUUAUCGCGUUUGCUUUGUGGAGGGAACUAUGAGUCUCGUGAUCAUUUGUUUUUUUCUUGUCAUUUUGGGUGGGAGAUUUGGUCGAGGAUCCUUUUGCUUAUGUCAUCUUCUCAUAGAAUCGGUUAUUGGGGGGUUAAGUUAUCUUGGAUUUAUAAUCAGGGUAUUGGGAAGAGUGUGAGGAGAAAACUGUGGCGCCUUCUCUGGUGUGCUACAAUUUAUUUCAUUUGGCAGGAGCGAAAUCAUCGUCUUCAUGGAGGUGUUGUUCGGGAGCCUAUGGUUGUAUUCCAGCUCAUUCGGUCGUGUAUUAAAGCGUGUGCUGCUUCUUGGUCGGAUGGUGUUCAUGGUCUUAUUUAAUGUUCUUUUCGUUUGCUUGUCCUCGGGCUGUGGGGUUUCUCUUCUCUUUAUUAACUUUGUUGUCUUUCUCUCUUUUUCUUGUCCUUUUAAUGUUUGGAACACUAGUUGGUUUCUUUUGGUUUUAGUUCUUGUUCCCGAGAUGUGGGGUUGUUUUGGGUACUUAUGGGUUGUUUUGUCUAACUACUUGUUUUGUGAGUGUUGUUCGCUCUUUUGUCUUGACCUCAGGCUGUGAGGUCCACCUUGUUGUUGUAUAAUAUUAUCAUUAUUACCUUUUCAAAAAAAAAAUCAAACUCAAUGCUAAGUUUGACUGCUGCCCUUCGAAGUGACAACAAAGCCUCGUUUUCGCCCUACUGUGGAUCGAGGAGGAUUCCUCCUCUUUUCAAAGCCCUCAAUCAAACUUGACGUUAUGUUUAAAACACUAAAAAUAGAUGGUCUAGUUUUGGUUAGGCCAAAAGCGAUGUUUUCCCCCAAAAUCUCUAAUAGCUAGGGAACUCAACAUGUUCUACUUGACCUAAUUGACUUGACUCUGUAUUUUUUAUGAGCUUUUUUUAAUGCAUAUUGCAUAUGUUUUUUUUUUAUAAUUGUUGAUUGUCUCACUUUUUUAUGGUCUGCAUUUACGAGCCUCUUUUAUUUCUUUGUUAUGAACUGCGGUGACUAGGCAUUGCUAGAACCGAUGGGGUAACAUUUCUAUGGUUCUACACUUAGUUUCUAAGUGUGAUUGCUCACCUCUAAUUUUCAAAACACUUAAUUUCUAAGCACAUACAAUGUUCACCUAGAAAAAAAAUGAAAAUUGUUGUAGUUAAGAUCAAAACUAAAUAGUUAUGAAAUAAGACAUAAGAGAUUUGAUUUUAACAACCUUCUCGUUGUACUUGGGAUCCACUCUGGCUUUGUGCUGGAAAAUUGGUUUGGAGCUGAUCGUAAGCUUUCGGUUGCUCUUCUGUAACCUUUAGAUACUCUUCAAAGCUAUAAGCUUUGCUUCCUGACGAAUAAUCUUCUACUAUUACAAUACAUAAGAAAAUUCUAUUUCAUAAACCCUGUAUCAUAAUUGAGGCUGAUAGAAUGAUUAUUCUAUAACCCUACGAUAGUUUCAUUCUUAACAUUCAUAGACACGAUGCAUGGCAGCUAUCCAAUUCUAUUUCAUGUUCUCGAGAAUGGCUCGGUUUAACAAUAAUGUUAAUUUUUGUUUUCUAUUUUAAAAUAAUAACGCUGCUUACUAAUAACUAAAUGUUUUAAGCCAUUUACAAAUUAGAUUUCAAUAAAUCGAUAAUCAUAUUUUUUUACAAUAUAGGACUAAAAAAGAUAACAUUUAUAUAUAUAUAUAUAUAUAUAUAUAUAUAUAUAUAUAUAUAUUACAUACAACAGUAUUUAGUUAAAUUACAAAAAAAAAUUCUUUUUGAAUUUUGUAGUUUGUGUAAAAAAAUAACCUUAAACUUUGAAAUGUUAAAAAAAAUUGUUUUGAACUUUUAAAAAUUAUUCAUAAAUACAUCUACAUACGUAGGAUGAAGGUAUUGGCAUGCUUCUCUAAAAAAACUUUCCAAAAAGAUGUUGUGUGACUUUUGAAAAGAAAAAUUACAAAUGGGGUCGUUUUUAAACAAAUUAGAUAUAUCGAGUUAUAUUUAUUUAAUUUUUUUCCUUUUUUCACAUAUUAUCAAUCACAUCUUACUUUUUUCUUUUUUCUUUGGAACCCUGCAAAAAUAACAAAAACAUUUAUAAUCACAUGACUCAUGUCACUACAUUUUCUAAAUUUUAAAAGUAGUAAAUUUAAAAGUUGAUAACCCUAUGAUUAUCGUUUGAUAGUCAUCUAAUAUCACUAAUUUUGUCAUAUUCGUAAUAUCCAAAUAAGGUUUCUUGGUGAGUCUAGAGUCAAACGUGAGGACUUAUACUAAAAAUAUAUUUAUAUUUUGAAAUUAUCUUAAGGUGAUUAAUAACAUACGCCUAAGAACAAUAGCGGUAUCAUCCACUUGUAAGGGGGGAGGGGAGUCAUCCACUAUAGAUAAGGUCCACUUGUCUCCCUCACCCAACUUCAUAAGGCUGCCAAAAGAGUUAGGCAUAAUCACAUCCACACGUUUACCCUUCUCUCGAACAUAAACCAACUCUCUUUUCUUCCUAAUAACGAGUAAUUUCAUCUCGAUUACCUACCUCCUUUUCCUUAAUAUGCCUAAUGGGGGAGCUAUUAGUCUUACUUUCCUCCAACUAUUUAAAGUCUAACACCACAUCCACAAGACACAAUUGUCCAUUCCUCCUCUUUGUUUGAAAACCACCUUGCUCACAUCCUUCUCUCGAUGAACUUUGUUUUCCACAAUCUUAGGACACUUACCACUAGAAUGCCCAAAAGACCGGCACAAAUUACACCUUCGAGGCUUCCACUCAUAAUUCACAGUCAUAACGAAAUCCUCUCCCCUAAGGUGGAAUUGUAAAUUCAGCAAGCAUAGGAGAGUCCACAUUUGAUUCAACACAUACUCAAGCAUGUGACAACCUUCGUCUUUCCUUAGUAGCUAGAUCUAAAGAUAGAGGUUUUCCUAUAGCACUAGCCACAACAGUCAAUCUGACAUCUAUCCAUAACUCCAUUGGAAUCCUACCUAGUUUAAUCCAUAUAGGAACAUAAUAAAAAACAAAAGGAUUUAGGGACAAUACCUGGAGUCCAUUUACAGAGGAGCAUACUUUUGCCAGCAAGAUGUCGCGAUCAACGAGGUAGGAUCCAUUCAACAAGUUUUGGGCAUCUGAAUUGGAAACAUAUGAGUCCGUUCUCAAGAAUUGUAAUCGUUGGCAUUUUAAUUUUAUCAACAAUAACAACGAGCUAAACAAAAUCCUCUAUCCAGGACGCACUAAUGAAAACUAAAAUGUAAAAUAAGUACGAAGUAAUUAAUUAAAACAGAAGACAAAAGAAACCCAAAGUAAGUUGACAAAAUGCCCACAAUAAGCUUCAAGAUGAGUGAGAGGGAACACCAAGAGAAACAUGAAUAGCCUUGCUAACUUUUCACUACUAGCUAACUACAUAUAUUUUUACAAUACGUGUUAGGGAAAUCUUUCCCUUUGCAAAACAGACCAAUAUAUAAUCAAUCAUUGGCUCCUUAUGGGAAAAUACAGAAGCCCUAUACAUGUCUGUUUCAAGCUUGUGUUGAACAACUUUUAAUUCCCUAAGAUAAGGAGAUUUAUCUGAAGGUUCGAGAAUAAUGGCAUGUCCUAAACUAACCCACCAUUUCGCAACAGUGAACCAGUUUGAUCGUUAGGGGACAACUUUUGAUAAUAAGCGCACAACCAUGCCCCAAUUCCAAUGUUGCCCAAAAGUAAAGGCCUUUCUUCACAAUGCUCCAUAAAAAAAAAGUUUGACUUUCACAUAAAGAUCUUAUUUCUUUUUUAUUGCUCCAAGAGAUCUAAUAGAUCUAUUUUCACCACGCAAAUCCCUUUUGUUAUCAUGGAAAAUGUGUUGGUUGUGCUCAAACCAAAUCUCUGCUUGCAACACUUUUAUCAAAUUAACCCAUGUUUUUUUUUAAAAAAAAAAAGAGGAUAUGAGUCUCACUAUUAUUAAUAUUGAAAAAUGAAGAGACAAAGCUCAAUGUCAUGAGGAUUAUACAAAGAGCAAUAGGAUGGAGGAUCAAUAGACGCACCUGGACAUCUCAACUAGGUUGACACCCCCUUAGCACCCUCAUCACAUCCAAAAAGCGACAACACAAGAUCAAAACCAAAAGCCACAAAUAGAAGGCUUUUUUUGUGUUUGUUUUGCCUUUGGACAUUACUCCUUUGUUAUGGGUUUUAGCUUGGUUGGAUAUGAUGAGGGUGCUAUGGGGGUGUCAACCUAGUUGAGAUGCCAAGGUGCACCCCCUGAUCCAUGGUUACAUGUUCAUUGUAUAACUCUCUUGUACUAUGAGCUUUUGUCUAAUUAUUAUUAUUAUUUUAAUAUUAAUAAAGAGGUUGUCUCCUUUUCAAAAAAAAAAAAAAAACAAAAACAAAAACAAAACAAAACAAAAGCCACAAAUAUAAAACCAAGCAAAACGAUAAAAUAAUAUGUCCAAAACAAAAUCAUAAAUCAUAGGUAGCAGGUCGAGAACAAAGAAGAAUAAGCCUUGAUUGAGCAAAAAAUCCCAACAAAUAUUGAAUGUUUGGAGAAGACGGAACCAACAUUUCGAUACAAAGACAUAGUCAAUUCAAAGGUGCUAAAUAUUUUUCAUGUUAUCAACACAAAUGGGGCAGACAUGAGGUGAGAGGACAUGGGAGGGAAGUUUUCUUUGAAGUACUAAAGCACAGUUUAAUUUUCCAAACAACGUAAUCCAUAUGGGGAUAUUUAUCCAAAGAGUGAGCUAAAUAGCCCAAUGAGUGAUUGUUUUAUAAAACAUCGUUUUGAAAUAAUAAGUAUUUAACAAUUAACUCUUAACAUAAAUGAAAUCAAACUCAAACAACUUAUCUCAAACUUUCCCUUUCAGUUGCUAUACCUAGAAUCGUCGAGACGAAAAACAAUAAACUAGGCAUAGAAGCCCUAUCCCGUGAUACGAUACUUACGAGAUGAAACUCUAGGCAUCAAUUGUGCCCUAUCUCGUUAUAACUACAAUGAGAUGGAAAACUAGGCAUUCGUACAGGCUCUCAUCCCUUGAGAUGGGAAACUAAGCAUCUUUAGAAGUCUUCAUCUCUUAUCUAAUACCAAUGAUGGAAAGCUAGGUAUUUACUGAAUAUCCAAAUCAAAUGACCUCUAUGCACAAGAAAAUAUUUCCCGAAGGGUUGCUAUAUAUCUUAGAAUAUUUUAGGUAUAGACUAAAACAUGCUAAUAUUAUUUUCAAGCUUAAACAUUUUGAAAACUUAGCACAAUCAUGAUUGCUUAUAAUUUUCAUUAGUAAAUUCAUCAAUAAAAACAUGUUUACCAAAAUGUUUCUAAAUUCAUGCUUUGGAAAUACUUUAUAAGUCAGUAUUCUCAAAUAUUCAAACAUCAAAGCAUGCUUGAAACAUUUGAUAGUAAAUUCAUGUUUAGAAAUCAACUUUAAACUCAUUUUUGUCAUUUAUAGAGAGUAGCUUGGACCCUUGGCUUAUAAACUUGUUCGAUCUCCUUCAGAUCUAAAAUAAUGAAAAAUAAUGGGAAAUAAUUCCAUUUAAUUCCCGUUGAUCAUAAAAAUAUCAAAACUUUGCUUAAAAUUUCCAAAAACCACAAAAACAGCCCAAAGACAUUAGCUUGCGUACAAAAUAUUGUGGCAGAAGUUGGCAGGUGCGCGUAGGGCUUGCCUUGCCAUGUCUCGUUCUAACCUCAUGUGCAGCGUGUCACAAUCACAACUUUUCAAACACGGAACAGACUAUUGUGCGACACUUGUUGUAACUCGAUGAACACGUCAGUUGUAUGAAAUUCGAUACGAUGUAGCCUCCCUAUAGAUUUUAAGAGAAAUUGGUUUUAUUAAACAUGAGAGAGAAAGGAAAGCAUUGGAAAUAUCGUUAAAAAAAACUUUGAAGACUGUCCAUUGCAAAGAGAGCUUAAAUUGCAAAGAGUAUCUCUGUGAUGAGAUUGGUUUGUGGAACCAAUUGGGAUGGGAAAAAUUUUAGAGAUAUUUGAGAGAAACUCUUUUCUUUUUGCCAAGAGAAAUAGCGUUAGCCUUAUUUUUUUCUUUUUUUAUUAAUUCAUUUUUUUAAGAAAAUUGUUUUCUUCUAGAUAUUAUAACUCUCUUUCCUUCUAGGAAUAGAAAAUGAAGUAGAAGAGAAUCAUGAGAUUCUAUUAAUUUAUAAAUAAUUAAAUUAAUAUAUAUAUUUCAAAUCUACUGAUUAAUUAAACAUUAAUCAAUUAGUUAAUAAUUAAUGAAAUCGAAUUUAAUUAAAUAAUAUUAAACUAAACUAUUAAUUAAUUCUCCAAUUAACUAAUAACACUAAAUUAUUUAUCUUAUAUUUAACUUAAAUUAAAUUUGAAUCAUAUUCAAAUAUAAGUUUCUCUCAAUAAUUUUAAUAUGAAUCCAAUUCACAUUAAAUUAAUAUUUGAACUCAUUCAAAAUAUUUUAUCUCUCAUAAAUUAAUUUUGAAUCAUCCCCAAAGUUAAAUUUAUAUAGUAAAGUUUGAUAAACUUUAUAUUAUAAUGUAUCACUAUACAUUAUACUAAUUCCCAAGUUAAAUUUAAACAUUUUAAAUUACAACCAAUACAAAUAAAUCUCAUUACCCUUUACGAGCUAGGAAAGGGACCUAAUGGACCUACAGAUCAGAAGCUACAACGAUCUAAGAUUAAUUGGCUAAACUCAUUAAUCAAUAUUUGUUAGCUUUGUGUACACUCCACUAAAGACUCACAACUGAACUCUUCUCACUAAAAAUAUAUUUAUGUGUCCAUGGAUAUAGACCAAUAAUAGUAAGUUAGUCCUUCACGAGUGUUUGUAACACCAGUUGGACCAAUUUACCGCUUUACCCCUAUGUUACCUCUAAUCCUUAAAAAACCAGUGCUCCUCUAAUGAACAACUUGUUUAUGGUCCUACUAAUAAACAAAAACCCAUCUCAUGUCAUAGAGAGGGUACGAGCCCUUUGUUCAAGUUUUGGAGACACCAUUUAAGCUAACAUUCAUCUACUUACCCUAAAGUAGGAAAUGAGUGAAUUCCAUUUUGUGCAAUUAUAAUCCCAACUCCCCACUCAGUCUUGUCCCCAAAAUCACUACUACAAAAACAGGCUCUCUUGACGGUUGUAGUUUUCCUUUCUUGACGUUUUUUCCCAAAAACGUCAAGAAAGAUGUGAUUUCAAAUAAAAAAACGUCAAGAAUUUUUAUGAAAGGCCAAUUUUCAACUUUCUUGACGUUUAUUAAACGUCAAGUAAGAUGUACUUUUUCUUGACGUUUUUUAAACAUCAAGAAAUAUCUAAUAAUUUUUUGACGUUUUAAAAACGUCAAGAAAUUUAUAAAAAAAUUCUUGACGUUUUUAAAACGUCAAGAUAAUUCUAAAAAAUCAUUGAUGUUUUUAAAAACUUCAAGAAAUUUUAAUUUGUUUUUGAUGUUUUAAAAACGUCAAGAAAUUUCCAAAAAAAUUAUUGUGUUAAUUUUCUUUUACAAAACGCAACGUUUCAAUUAGAUCACUUCCCCUUUUCUUAAUUAAACCUAAUUCGCCGCGACUUUGUCCCUUCUCCACCCGAAAUCAAAAGCGUCGUUCACCUAACCUUCCCUUCGCGUUCAUCUGUGCAUUCAUCUGCGUUCAUCGCCGAAAAAGACUUCCCUUCGCGUUCAUCAGCGUUCACCUUCAUUCAUUUGCCUUCAUCGUCCGUCACUUCGUCUGCUUUGCGUUCCCUUCACCUUCGUUGAUUUGCGUCCGUCUGUUCACCGUUUGAAAUGUGUAAACACAUUCUCUAUUCGAAAACGAGUAAACACGUUCACCGUCCUUCUGUCGCAUUCCACUUUCGCUAAACCUCUAUUCGUUUCCAAAUCCUUCAUGGUUACUCAUUCAUUUUCUUCCCUUUCUAAAGGUAAUAAUUUUCCUUUUUUCGUUUGUGAUUAAAAUUUGUAAUUUGGAAUUUAAAAUUGGAAUGCAAAAUUAAAGAAGAGGAAAUAUGCCUUAGAGAAUGGAAGAAAGGUUUUGCAUUUUAGGCUUGAAAAGGGGGGAUACAAGUUAUUAUAAUUGAAUAUAUAAUAUUUUGAACAAGGCUACCAAGCCGUGCGAAUAUGAUUCAUGGUUAGUUUAGGGAUUGGAAAGAGAAGGAUUGUGGAGUUUGUGAUAAUAUUUUUGGUACACUGGAGCUGGAAACAGAGAAUAUUAAAAAACACAUACUGUUAUACACAAUAUUAUAAUAAUACGAAUCACUAGAUUUUCUUCUUCGUUUUCUUUUCUUCUCUCUUCAAUUUUUGUUAUGGUAUUGUAUUGAGUUUUGUGUUUUAGAUUGUGAAUAUGGGUAGCUAAACUCUUAAUCCUGGGAUAGAUGUAGACAAAGUUUAUGAAUUAUUCUUUGUAAUGCAUCUGAUUAUCUGCUCUGAAUCUUUUCAUGUUUUUAUGUGAUUAAUUGUUGAUUGGCCAUGAACCUUAAUCUUUGCAUGACUAGAGUGGUUAUGAACUUGGAAAGAGCUAAUUAAGGAUCCUUGAGGAGGUUGUUGAAAGAAGUGGACCUAAAAACUUUUGUUUGUUAAUAAAAAGAAAAAUGAACAGAGAUUCAUCUUCGUGAGGGGUCUUGAUGUUUAAUUUAAUUUAAAUUGUGUAUGAAUUUUUAAUUACGAGCAUUUUAAUAUGUUGCGUUUUAAUCCUAGGGAUAGAUGUAGACAAAGAGCACUAUAGCCAAGGUAUAGAGUGAGGGAGAUAAGGUUUAUAUGUCUUAGAGAAUGGAAAGAUGGAAUUUGUGCUAAAAUCAUUAGUGUUCCAAAUACAAUUAUGAAUUGGGUAUAGUUGCAUUCCCCCUUCUGGAUUGCAUAGCACAUAAAUAUACUCUCAUGGAUUGCAUAGCACAUAAAUAUACUAUCAAAAACAAUAACAUAAAACACAAACUUGAUUUAGUUUCAUUCACACUUGUACACCAACAUGUUUCAAUUAAUGAUCAUAUAUUAAAAAUCAUUUUCAAAUUUGGUAAUAUAAAAUGGAAGAAGUGAGACCUUGAGGUUUUAACCACCAAUACUAUCUAACUGAUGAGUUUAUGAUUUUUGUUUCUAUUGUGUUUUUUCCUUAAGCUUUAACUUGCUUUAGGGGCAAGAUGGUGAAGGUCUAGUCCACAACCUUUCCCAAGAAUUUAAUGAUGUUUGGGUUGACCCAAUUAUUGUUAUUGGACACCGUUUUAUGGUAAUUGGUUGUUAUGGUUUUUAAGUGUGUUUUGAUAUCUUGUGUUAAAAAGUAAUUGCAAAAAGUCAGAAAAGUUUGUUAAAGAUUAAGUGUUUUUAAGUUUGUCAUUCCACUUUAAUUCUCACCAGUACUUGCUGAAUGGAAGCCUCUUGUCUAAGACAAUUCGAGUGGAAUAACUCUCGUGACUACCACAACAUUUGGGAACUCACCAAAUGUAAGACUAUUCCUUUAUCCUAGCAUUUGAUCUCUCUCUAUAAUUUGGUUUGCUAUCGUAAGUUUGAUUAAAAUAAAUGCUGAUAAUUCAACUCCAAUGUUCUUAUUUUCUUAACUCUCAUUCAGUCAGUUAGAAUCAGAACUCAUUUAUUUAUCUUGUCUCCAUAAUUUGGAUUCAAAGAUUCAUCACAAUAAUCUUCUCAACAACAUUCUUGAAAAGGUAUUGAAUUUUCAACUGUGUGACCUUUAUACACAAAUUUCUUCAAAGAAAUUUACAUUCUUUAGAGUUUAGAGCUUUGAAUUCUAGUACAACUUAUGAAGCUUUUGAUACUUGUUAGACUUUUUUGCUUGGUGCGGAUAAAACCUUAUUUACAUUCUUUCUUUCCUGCAUGUUCUCUUUUGAUAUUUGUUAGACUUUUUUGCUUGGUUGUCCUUAGUGUUUUCCUCUUUAGCUGAAAUUUCUCUAUCUUGAAAAAAAUAGAGCUUUAAAAUUCAACUUCAACUUUAUUUGAUACUAUCUUAGUCCAUACUUAUUUUGGUAUUUCUUUCCUUUCUCACAAACACAUCUAAGAGGUUGCCUUCACAAUAUGGCCAAAUUAACAAUAUGGCAACCUUUUUCAUUGCAAAACAUAUUAGAGGUUGGUUACUUAGUUAGCCUUAUUGGGUAAAUAAUUGACAUUUAGGUACUUUUUAGUUUGUAUAUUUAUAGAUGCCAAAUCGAUAUGUGAAUUUUAAUUGUUGCUUAUUUGAAACAUUGCAACCAUUUGAUAAAAUGUUGCUAUGUGAAUCCAUCUUAACUUGAUAUAUUAUUUUAUUUUGGUUUAGGUUGUGGAAUCCAAGUUUGUAUUUGAAGUCAAAUUCAUCCAAGAUCAUUGAGUUUCAAAGCUUCUUUAAUUAAGAUUUUGUUUCUUGAACUAGAAUUGUAGUCUUGUGAUUUUUGGAAUAGCAUAGUUGGAUUGGUUUUGUAAUUUUGGGAUUAUCAUAUUAGGUUGGGGUUGACUGAAGUAGUGUUUUGUAUAUGACAAUAUCGAACAAACAUGUAAAGUUUUCGAAAUGUUCAUACAUAUAUGAUUAAAUGUUAAUAUAUGUUAAAGUUUUGGAAUUGUAUUCGUGCAUAUUUAUGAGAUUGUUGGGCCACACUACAAGAAUUAUAGAGACAAUACAGGAACAAAAAUAUAAAUAAAUUAUAAUUUAGAAAAAAAAUGAAACAAGCUUCAUGUUUUUUAAAUGUCAUAAACAAAUACAUUCUUGACGGUUUUUCAAUGUCAUUAACAAGUAAAUUCUUGACGUUUUUUAAACGUCAUAAACAAUUGUGUUCUUGACCGUUUUUAAAUGUCAUAAAUUACAUUCUUGAUAGUUUUUAAAUGUCAUGAAUACUCAUUCACUUGACGAUUUUUAACUGUCAUGAAUAUUUGUAUACUUGACGUUUAUAAACUGUUAAGAAUCGCUAUUCUUGACGUUUUAUUAACCGUCAAGAACUUUGACUUUCUUGACGCUGGCUUCAACGACGGUUUUAAAACCGUCAAGAAUAGUGAUUCUUGACAGUUUAAAAACGUCAAGAGAGUCUAUUUUUGUAGUAGUGAAUGAUAAGCUUAUUGAGUCGGCGAUCUAGCCACUCUCACUCGUACAAAUCAAAGGACAAUCUCUCGCGAACAAGAGUUCAUAAUACACUCAAGAUUAAGACUAAGUUAUCUAGGUCAUCCUAGUGAAAUAGAAACCUAACUAGUUAAUGUAGUAACACCAAGUGGUUACUAUUUCACGGUCUGGUCUAUUGCAAUCUCAUUGCAUAGGAUACCUUCACUCGCAUGUCAACUACAUGAACACAUUGGAUCAUUGUAUUUGUAUCAAAUACAAGGUGAGUCGUAUUCAUAAUGUUACCAGGAUAAAGGUACCCAGUCUUAUCCCUAUACUAUAGACCCUUUAAGCUGAUCUCGAACAUUGAUCCUUGUAUGUCUCUACAUAAUAUUCAAUACUUAUUAAACAGUUUAGGAUGUUAGUUUAUUGGAUUUGAGUUAUUAAGACAAAACUAAUAAUAUAAUCAAUAACAAUUAUUACAAUAAUAACACUUUAUUAACAAUGGUCAAUGGAUUAUAUUUACAAUCUACGAGUUUUAGGACAUAAAUUCCAACAAACUCCCACUUGGACUAAAACUCUAGUCUCUUUGGGAUGUUCAUAAUAAAGUAAUCCUCUAACAUUGAAAAUGGUAAAAUGUACAAGUGUAUUACAUAGAAUGUGUAUAUACAAAUACAAUAAACUAGGGCAUCCUCAUACCCAUUACACAUCUGCCACUUUUCCUAGAUUACCUAAUGUACAUAACUCGCAGAUCUAGACUUUCUAGAAGACCCUUGAACACUUUAGCCAUGAGAGUCUUUGUAAAUGGAUUAGUAAUAUGCCCCACUAUUAUCACAAUAUAGAGUGAUGGGGUAUGUUCAUGUUUGGAACAACUUCCAAAUUAUGCAAGAACUUCCUCAGCAAAACUGCUUCUUUUGCUGCUUCACAAGUAUCAAUAUACUCAACUUUCAUAAUAGAGUGUGUAAUGACGCGUGGCUCAGGCUGCUUGAUCAUGCUAGGACAUGCUUUCUGCAUGUCCGAAGCCUAAAUAACCUCUUUCGCUCAAAACACACGCUCAUCUCACCUUGUCAUCCUGGCAAUCAACCCACCCUUGGCCUUGCCUAGAAAUAUGAUUUUUCUACCAGAAACUUAACUCGACUUUGAAGCUUAAAUCAAUAAGAUUCCUUCUACAAACUUACUUAGAAUGUCUUCACUAGCUUACCACAAAGUGUCACUAACAAAUUCCAAGUAUUGAGUUAUGUAGCUCCAAAAUACUCUAACAUUGUUUAGGUUUUUUUUUUUUUUUUUUUUUUUCUGAAAAUGACCUUUGAGUCUUUCUUCACUUCAAUGCCUUUCUUCCUGGUAGCCUUUCUCCUGAUACUACACUCAAUUUAGGAGAUUUUCGAAGUAGAGUUACCCAAUUAACACAAGUUGAUUGUUAACAUAAUUCGUCCAAAGUUGUACAUAUAGUGAUCCUUGCAUGCUCUUUGGUUGACACUUUUAUUAUCACCUCUUACGCCUAUACUUGCCACUUUCCACCUCAUGCAAGACACUUAUUUGGCAAAACUUAGGUAUCUUGUAUGUUGUCCACUUGUACUCUACCGCACAUCUUACCUCAUAUUGCUUAAGUCAUCCUUGGACGCAUAUCCCUUUUUCUAUAAGGGUUCUUUAGUAAAUUCUUACUGCCAAGAAUGCCUAAGACUUUUUUUUCUCGCCUAAUCUCCCAAACAUCCCUCAAUGCCUUCAACAAACCAUGCCAUCUUGACUAGCAUUUGGUUGAAUUGCCCCAUUGGCCGCAUGGCCUAUGUCCACAUAGCCCACCUCUUUGUUGCAUGACAUUCCUUAUCCACGUUCUAACUUCUUUAGAGUUUCUUGACAUUUCCUAGAUGCUUAGCUUCCUUGCCUAGCGCAUACCCUUGGUCAUAUAGCCUUGUCUUAUAGAGGUUGUCUUGACACCUUUCGGCCAUACCACAUCUCAACCUUUGGCCACCCAACAUGUCUCUUUAGAGGUUCGCUUGACACUUUUGGCCGCCUAGAGUAUGCAACAUGCCCUAGCUAACACUUAGCCAAUUUUCGAACACCCUUUAGGCCUUUCUUUGUUACGAUGACACUUUUCUUUUGUCAUCUUAAAAAUAUUAACACAUCUUCCAUAACACUUCAACUAAACUAUCCAAUCUUAAACCAUCUUUCUCCUAACAUCAACCCCUAAUGUCCUAUUGAGUUAUUUAGAUGAAUUAAGGAUUAUUGGGUAUCGGGGUUUACACGCGAGAUGUAAGUCUUCCUCCUUGGAAUUACGUAUAGUAGUGUGCGGAGGGAGAGGAAUGUGAUGCAGUUCUUCCUCCUCAACCCUAAGGAAUUCGUCUUCGCUAACAAUGCCCUUUUUAUCGGGUAAGGGCUUGUUCGGUCAGGUCGUGAGGUGAAGGAUGUUGUUAUAAUGAUGAGGUAUUUGGUGGUGAGAGGAUAAUAUUAAAGGUUUUGAGGUGUCUUCUUCUUCUCUGCCAUUCCAUUCUUCUCCCUUAGCUUUAUUAAAGGUUUUGAGGUGUCUCUGUUCUUCUUUAUUUUGAUGGAGUGUUAUGGUUUGGUUGAGAUUCGCCUGAGAACAUGCAUAAGGGGUGAUUGGAGAAAAGCUAAAAGCUUAGGAACCGUCGGAGGAAGGGCAGAUCAUUAAUUGUAUGUUACGCCUUCCUCUGACGUGGUGGCAGCAACGUUGAGAAUAGAUUUAGGGAUUCCCGACGUAUCAUUAAUCGCGUGGGAAUAUGUUUAGGGAUUUCUGACGUUUAACAAAUCAGGUCAAGAAUAGGGUGCUAUUCCCGACGUUUUCGUUGUGCGUCAGGAGUUCUCUGUCUUUUUUAACUCCAUUCUUUACAUAAAAAAAACAUAAAGAGAAAGAAAAAAGAGAGGGAGAGGGAGACCGAGAGGAAGAUUGAGAAGAAGAGGGCAUUGUCAUCUCCAUUGCCGUCCCUGUUGUCGUCCUGUCGUCGUCGCCAUCGGUAAGUGGUUUAGUUUAGAUAUUGUUUUGUUUUAGUUAAUUAGUUUUAGUAUUUAGAUUUCAAAUUUGUUUUAGGUGUUAGAUUUUAGAUUUCAAAUUAGUUUUAGUAUUUAGAUUUUGAAUUAGUUGUAAGUUUUAGUAUUGAAAUUUAAUUUCAAGUGUUGUUAGAAUUUUAAAUUAGUUGUAGGUUUUAGAAAUUUGAAUUUGAAGUGUUGAAGUUGAGAUUGAAGUGUUAAAGUUGAGGUUGAAGUGUUGAAGUUGAGUUUGAAUUUAAAAUUUUCAAUUUGAAUUUAGGAAUUAAUUGAAGUUAUUUUUUUUAAAAAAAAUAGAGGAUCUCCCGACGCAUGGUUCCUAGACAUCUCUCGAUGCUAUAUUGACAACAUCUUCGACGUUCAUACAACGUCGGAAGAUGUCUAGAAACUCUCGACGCACAACAUUGUGCAUCGGGAGAGGAACUCCCGAUACAUUUUUCCUGACUUGUGUUCCGACGUAUAUUAGUGCGUCAGAAAAGCCUUUUCUGACGCUUUUUAUAUAUCUCCCAAUGAUUUUAUGCAUCGAGAGAGCCCUCAUUUCUUGUAGUGUUAGACAAAGAGCUUCAAUGUGGUAGAGGGGAAAGGCAUGACACCUUUAGGUUUCAUCAAAGGGAGGAUUGAGGUUCUGAUUACGGCGCUAAGGUUAACUGCGCCAUCUUCUUCUUAAUGCAAUAAAUCAUCAUUGUGCACUCUAGUGGGAUGGUGUUGUUGUCAACCAGGCAGGCGGUUUCGUUUUCAAGUCUUAGUUCUUAAUUCUUAACAACCUUUGAGUAUUGAUGCUCUACCCCAACCCUCAUCCAAAACGAUAACUAACACAAUGGUUUGGAAGUUUUUGUGAAACAUCAUCUAUACUUUUUCUUUAAUGGUCGAUGAAAAAAAAGUCAGGAAAAUGGUAUUUCUGACCAUUUUAAGUGUUACCAAAAUAUCACAUUUGGUGUAGUAUGGUAUUGUUUUGAAUAUUUUUGUAAAAUAGUGGAUCAAGAAGUUUUACUAAGAUAAAGUUUCAUGUUGGACAAGAGGAUAGUGGAUGGGAAUUAAGUUGAAUGGUCCACUUUUUUUUUAAAUCCUUUAAGGUUUUAUGAAAACCUUUCACAAUACCUUUUCAUAAUCAUUUUGUAAAAAUAAUAUCAAAUCAUUUAAAUAUACCAAAAAAUUAUUUCAUUUCAAAUAAACCUUUCUAUGCUUAAAAAAUCAUUUCAUUUUGUCAAGGAUCCCGAAUCGUUCUCUACGCUUGGUCUCAUUACCUCGCGUUUAGACUACUGUAUCAACAGCAUCUGAGAACAUACAAAUUCGUCUUUGUUGCUCAUACCGCUAAGCUUUAUACGCUCAUUUCAAUGCAUAAGUCAGCUUCUUAUUACCAUGUAGUUCGUACACUCCAUAGUGGCCUUCACUCUUUAUGUGCACACAAAAGUUAGCAUCAUCUCAAAGAAACAUAAUAUUGAAAUCAUAGUCAUCAAAUCAAGCUUUAACAUUAUAAAUAAUGCUUGAAAACAUAACUUUUCAUAGAAAUCUUUCUGAAACAUUCUCAUCUGAAUUCUUCUUUCGAAUCAGUAAAGAGAAAUCGUAAUAAAGUUUCUUAACAUAAAUUCUUUUGACUGAAAAGCACUCACCAAACUUUACUAAAGAAGUCCUUCUCACAACCAUCUUUUCGUGUGGCUAAACCAACAACACUUUAGCAUUUCAACAAAACUCUCAUCAUCCCCUCCUUAGUUACCUAAAUUCUCCUAUUUUAUAGAUCCCUUAUACUAACUUAGUCAUGCAAAUCCUUAAUAUUUAACCUAGUCAUGCUCAAAUCCUUAAUCUUACAUGUUAACCCAUGUCAAAUCAGAUUUGACAUUUUCUUUACAAACCUUGCUCCCCACCUAACCCAAACCGUGAAUAAAUUCAACCACUUAACAUUUCUCGUGAAUAACCUUAUCGCUUGAUUAUAUUUUUAUUAUAAGAAACGUUCCACAUGAACUAACCAACUUUUACUCGCAUAAAACUCUUAUCACGAACUUAAACUCCAAGGCUUCCUCGUAGACUUCUUCUCCACGAAAUGCUUGAUUCUUCUCGCGAAGACCACCCAAAACUCCUAGUCUAACACUCAAAACUUUCAUUUCUUAACUUACGCAAAGACUUUUUCGCUUCUUAUCGCACAACUUCUUUCGCGAACUACACACUUAUCGCAAAAAAGUAUACUUAACCGUAAAAGAUCUUAUCACUUAAUCUUUCCAUGGAUUUAUUUGAACACCAACUUCUUAAUUCUUAGCCGAAUUUUACUUCCUUACUCGAAUUAGAAAUGGGUCGCACAACUUCCUUCGCAAACUACCCACUGAAUCGCAAUAACGUAUACUUAACCAUAAAUUUUUUUAUCGCUUAAUCCUUUUCGUGGAUUUAUUCAAACGCCAAAUUCUUAAUACCUAGCCAAAUUUACUUCAUUACUCAAAUUAGAAAUGGGUCUCACAUUUAGAGCCUAUCGCUUCUUUAAGAUACAUGAUCUUACUGAUUCAGAGAAAUUAACCACAGGCGUUAUUAGUUUUGAUGAUCUGGCAUUGGAUUGGUACCAAGCACAAGAAGAGUUGGAAGUUUUUAAGAAUUGGGCUGACCUGAAAGAACGAAUGCUUGUACAGUUUCGAUCAAUUCGAGAAGGAACUUUGGUUGGAAGAUUUUUCUCAAUCAAACAGAAAAUGAAUGUAGAAGACUACCGCAACCGAUUUGAUCGAUAUUUAGCUCUAGUAGCAUUUCUUCAAACGGUAGUGUUAGAGGAGACUUUGAUGAUUGGGCUUAGCCCAUGAAUAAAAAUGGAAGUGGAAAUGUGGAACCGAUUGGGUUGGCCCAGAUGAUGAAAUUUGCGUUGAAGAUUGAGAAUAAGGAACUAGUGAGAAAAGAGUGUGGGUUGAGCAGUGCAUUUCAUGUAAAACUGCAACUCACCCUAUCUAUUGUGGAAAACAACAAUACAAUGAUGACUAAGGAAGAAACCAGCAAUGGAAAGUCUACUGAUGAGAGCUAUCACCCUGAAGGGAGUUACUGAUAGAACUAAGACAUGCACAACAGAAAAAGAAUCGAAAUUCUACCCUAAUUGGGCUUAAUUAACGAGACUAAACCAAAAAAUAAGGUUUUUAGAAUACUUACAUUUGAAGCUGCGUUUUAUUCGAACAACCACUAAGUUUGACUUAGUAUCCUCUAGACUCAUAAUCGAGUUGUGGGACCCGUUGGAUGAAAGAACCGGACGAGAGAAAUAGAUGAAAAAAAUGGGCGUGGUAAAUUUUCUUUUUUUUUUUUAAGUAAAUAAGAAAAAGAAAUUCCAUUUGGUGUGAAAGCCCAAAUUUAAUAGGAAAAUGAAAGGGAAUUCCUUGGAAAGUUGGUUUGUGUGUCAUUAAAAGUCAAGGUGGAAAACAAAGUACAACAUAUGGCUAAAUGUGAGAGUAGGCGUGCAAGUAUAAUAAAUACCUACCAAGAUGUUUAUUAAUAACAUGUGUUUGAUACAUAAUUACAACACUUUGACCAAACAACCAAUGCUUAACUAUUUUCAAAACGUCUGGUCAUCUCGCUGCAAAUCCUUCAACCUUCUUCUCUACUUGGCCUAAACACCUCAUCUUGGAAGAUGAAUUUUUGAAAGAAUGUCUAAAAGACUAAGGUUUUAUGAAAUCCUUUUCGCAAUACCUUUUCAUAAACAUCAUUUCGCAUAAACAACAUCAAAUAAUUUUAUCUCGCAUAAACCUUUCUUUAUCCUUAACAUACUCAUAACAUAACAAUUUCACAUAAACACACAUUAGUUAACAUUCAUUCCUUUCACCAAGGAUUUUGAAUCGUUCUCUACACUUUGAUGUAGAACAUCUCCCUUCUUGAUGUUUCUUGAGUUUUAUCCUAGAGGAGUGGUUUGAAUUACCAUUUUUAUAGUUUAGGAUUAGUUAUUUGAAUUACCAAUUUUGUAUCUUGAGUUAGUUAUAACUAACUCAACUCCAAGUUAAACUAACUCAACCCCAAGUUAGUUUAACAACUCUCGUAAUCUCCAGCCUAUAAAAAAGCUUCUCAUUUUCAUUAAUAAGACAUAAAAAAAAAGAGGCAUUAUACAUAAAGAUUUCUAGCUUUGCAAUUACUGCAUCAAUUGGUAUCAGAGUGUGAUCCUAGCUCACUCUUCCCUAAAAAAACUUGGAUCCUACCACUCUUAUCCAUGGACGCAGAAGCCUCCUUCAACCAAGGCUUGCAGUUGGUAGAACAAGCUAUUGAAGAACUUCGAAAAGGGCAGUCGAUAUACAGCAAUCGUUAGUAGAAUUAACAAACCUUUUUACCCGAUUUCAUGUCCAACCUUUAGAAGAAGCAAUUCAUCCCCCAAGAAACCCAAUUGCAGCAAACCAAGAAAGACAAGAAAGACCAAUAAACCCUGUUGUAAACCAAGAACUACUAAGAAAUCAACCUAUUCACAUCCACAAUAAUCGAUUGUAUGGAAACAACGUACUUGGAAAUUUCUUAAACGAUUCUGACUCUUUCGAUGAAGACAACUUGCUGAACAUUCAUCAAGAACCUCAACAAAGGUUUGGACUUCGACCAUACUUUCAAGAAGAUCAAGAAAUACGUAUGAAAGUGGAUCUCCCUACCUUCAAUGGUCGAAUGGACGUGGAGAAGUUUCUUGAUUGGAUCAAGAACGUAGAAAUUUUUUUCGACUAUGCCAAUACACCCGAACACAAGAAGGUUCGAUUAGUUGCUCUCAAACUUCAAGGUGGCGCAAGCACUUGGUGGGAUCAAUUACAAAACAAUAGACGAUUAUUCGGUAAACAAUCUAAAGAUUAGCUGAAUAUCUUAUAAAAAGAUGUUGCCGUAGGCUUAGUGGUGACAGGUGAGAAAGUAAGCUGUAUCUUUUAUGACUCUUAAACGUUGAAGUCAAUCAAUGAGUUCCAAAUGCAAUAUUGGAAGUUUUCUUAAAUAUUUUGAUGCUUUUGCAUGUUGUGAAAGAACUUGGUUAGAUGUGAGAAAGGGGUUUAUGAGAUUAGUUACUUACUAUUCCCUUUUUCACUGUCAUUGCUACUCCGUAGACAUGCUAUGGGCUCGUGUUUCUGUAGAAUAUAAUUCAGAUGCUCUUUCUCUAGAAUAUAAUUUAUGUGCUUUCUCUACAAAUUUGAAGUAAUUUCUACUGCUUUUGCUAAUAUUCUCUAAAGCUUAUUCAAAAUGUAGUUGUUUAAUGAUUGUUCAGAUUUAAAAUAUAUUAUAGAGUUAAAUUUAACACAGUUAAUCAGCUUAAGCAUUUGACUCUGGUGUUCUUAAGAUAUAAAUUCAAAUCCCUAUAAUUUUAUCAUGUUGAUCUUUUCAAUCUUCUCACAUACCGUCUUCAUUUCAUAAUCUUGCCUACUAGCUGUGUAUCAUCAAUGAAAUUACCAUAGGAGUCCACAUGUGGUAAUUAUGGAUCUAGCACGAUAUACUGCGUAUCAUGUUGUUGGAGAUCAGUUUAAAUGAUUAACCAGUCUAUUGGUGGUUUGAGUCUUUUCUUUUGAAUCUAUAGGUUGUUCAAUGGUCUAAUAUUAACUGUGUUUAGAUUUAUGGUAAUUUUCAUAAGCCUUAAGAAAAGGUGUGCUUUGAUAAUCUUUUCUUUCUCUUCAGCAUGUUGGUAAUGUAGAAAGAUUACAUGUAUACUAUGCCCAUGGACUAGAUAGCCCAACCUUUGUUCGCGGUGUUAUUGGCUCCUAGAUAAGUAUGUUAUGGUUGAAAGAAAAUUGUUAAAUUGCUUGCUACCAGUUGUUUCAGUGGGGUAUAUCCCCAUCAUGCUACAAGCAAAGAAAAAUGAAAUUAGACAGUGGCAGUAUAUCGUGUUCUACUUAUAUAAUUUAUGACUUUCUUCUGCUUUUUGUUCAGGACCUUUGAACACAUUGUCCUUGUUCAUUACCGUGAAACACAAGAGGUUAGGUUCAACACAAUGCAUCUGCAGUUACUAAAAUAUUAUCUUGAGACAAACUUUUAUCAUUUGGACUACUACAUCUAUUUAAGAUUUGCUGAUUUUUCCUCCAUGGUUGCAAUAUUAGAACUUCAUCCAAAAUAAUGUUGUCAUGUGUGUCUUUAAAUUUUUACUGGCAGUCUGGCACCAUAUAGAUCUAGUAGUUGUGCAUGCAUGUCUUCCUCUCUAUCCUCCAUUGAAAAACUCGAUAAUUAUCUAUUUGUGUUUUAUUUUGAUGAUUUAAUCCAACAUUUAUUAUGGAUAAAGUCAGCCAUAAAAUACAUAUGUUUACUACUGCUCUUUGUACAUUUUAAAUACUAGAUUUCUUGAUGAUUGUUGUCUUUAAGUUGCUCUUAAUGUUGUUGCAUAUCGAGAAAUGCACUGUAAUUUCUGUACCAAUUUUAUCACUGCUUUUAACUAAAUCUUCAAAAAUCAAGGCACCACCUGGAUGUAGAGUGCUAUAUGGUGAUUCAAGUGUUGAGAGUUCUCUUUCUUCUGCUAUCCAUAAAUUUAUGGAAUGGAAAGGCAAUGAUCAUGACACUAUUUUUUGUCAGAUAAACACAGGUUUCAUAUGCUUCAACUCUGUGGUGCUUCACAGCACACGGAUAAAACUUCCAAACAUUCUGCACCCAAUAUUACCAUAAUGCAUUUGGACACUUCAUUAACAACUUCUUACAAUUAGCCUUUCUAUAUUGAAAAUAAUUCGUUGUCUUAACUUCAUGUUGCUGCUAGUUUCAAAAUUUUGCAUCCACAUCGUUGAACUCAAAUUCUGGUUCUGUCUCUAACCCAUCAACUCCGUGGCUUUUAUCGAGGAACUUGAUUCCAAGGCUACUCAUGUUUAUUCUCUUGGUGAAAAUGAAUUGUUAGGUGAUACUGGCCGAACCUGUCAAAAAUAAAUGAGUCAUAGUUUGUUUGAUCAUUCAUUUUCUAAUCUUUCUUCUUUAUAUUUAAUUAGUUGUUUAAUUUCUUAAAAAAGAAUUCUGGUUUAUUUAUAGUAUAUUUGGUAGUAUGCAUGCCUCAGCUCCUUUAAUGCAUGUCUCUUACAGUAUAUUUGGUAGUCUUUUAUAAUGUUACACCCUUUUUUUUAAUUCCUAAAACCUUUUAACUUUCCAAAUUUUCAUUCAUUCUUUUAGAAAAUUAUUUUCAUUAUUUUUUUUGGUUACAAAACCAUCCAUUAACUACAUUAAUUAGACAAUUCACUCCAAUAAUAAAUAAAUAACUUUUUUGGAUCUAAGGUCUUUUCUCAUUCUACAAAUUUAAUUUACUAUAUAAAGGUUAUUAUGCUAAUUGAAAAAUAUAUUUCUCUCAAGUAUGCAAUGACAGAAAAUUAGGUUAUAAAUAUAAAAAAAUAUAUAUUUUUAGGUAUUAUAAUUUUUUUAAAAAAAUUAUAUUUUAAAUUUUUAAUAAAACCUUGCAUUUGGGGAUUCACAUGUUGUUACUUGUCGAACCAAAAAAGAUAAAUUCGUGGUGAAAACUCUUUAAAAGCCCAAUUCGUGGAAGGAAAAAUUGAAGUGUGGCGUUGAGUUAUUUUGUUGUUGAAGAAGAUCAGUAAAAAACCCACAGCAUUAAAACUUCUUUUUGUUUCUUUAAGUAUAUUUUAGAUUGCAACGUAUUUUCUAUUUGGGUUUAGUUAGGGUUUCUCUUGUUUAUUCCAAGAUAUGCAUGGAUAGUUCAUGUUCGACUAUUUGGAAAGAGGGAUUUAUGUAGCACGGGUAUUAUAUUCUGGUUUUGGAAGUGUCGAGAUAAAUUAAGGACUUUUUUAAUCUUCUUCAAACAAACCUAUACGAAGGCGAAGAAUAAUUUGUGCUUGUAUUUUAGUCGGAAUAAGAAGAAACAUGAAGAGAAUGCCCACGAGGAAAAUGACCAUGAGAAAAAGUUGUGUAUUCCUCCAUCCAUAACUGAGCUCUCUAAUGUGUAUUCCUCCCUCCAUAACUGGCUUACUUUGGACUGUUUGGAUAGAAAGAAGAAUCCUUCGAAGCCCUAGACUUGUCUCUACCGCAUUCGAAAAUGCCAAGUUCUCUCUGAGGAUCUCUAACUUCUGCCGUGUUCACCGUCCGUCCGUCCGCGUUCACCACGUCCGAGUUUAUCUAAUAUAUUUUUCCAAAUCUUAAAGAAGAACUUUUGAUUUCAUUGGAGUUUAUCAUUAGAGGCAUUACUAUAUUGGCUGCCUCUCAGUGGGCGAUAGGUUUUCCAAUGGUCAUUUGAGACUGGUUGAUAAUAGCAAAAGUUAGAGCUUGAGAAGAAGGAGCGAAGAAAGUAGUGAAGACAAAAAAGAAAGAAAGCUGAGUGAAAAACGAAAAUUGACAAGGUAGAGAUGUGACAUGAAAAUGAUGAUGAGAAGUGAAGGAGGCACGACACAAUACUGGUACACAAUAACAAAGCCUUGAUAAUUAAAAAAAGGAUGGUGCCAAGAAAAUUUAAAUACAAAAAAAAUGAAGGUUCUUGCAAGUGUAUUGAGUGAAUGGGAGAAAGAAAGGAUAAAAAAGGUAGAAAGAGAGAAAGAGAAGUCAAGGGUAGAGAUACAUAGCUUUGUAUAUAGAAACUUUAUGUUUAUACUCCAUUAUACGUUGUGGAGAAUAUAACAUCCUGAUAUGUUUGAUUCAAUUUGAAUGAUGCAAUUAUUUAUUUUUCUGCAAUAAUUUCUACUACUUAAGAACCUAAAUUUUGAAAGCCUACUAAUUUUUCAGAAUUAAUUCGAGACCCCACUUUUGCUCCCCUUCCUACCUACGGUUACUUUUUGCUUAAACUUUAAAAGUUGUUUGAAAAUUUUUGCUGAAACUUGUAAAAUUUGUUUGAAGUUCGUAUAUCUCUCACAUAUUGCAAGGUUUCUUAAUUAUUUUAUUGAAUUUCCUACAUAAAUGCAUUCAAACAUGAGUUGACAUAAAUGCAUUUUGCUAUCAAGAGAGUAUACCAUACAUGCAUGUGUAGGACUUUUAUCCCUUAUAUUUUAUAAUUUGUCUUACUACUGUUAUUGACUGAUAUACCAAUAUACAUGUGUAAAGUAUUGAUCAUAUAAUUAAUAUUAAAUUUAUUACAUUCACUCAUCAAUUUAAGUUUUUUAGUCAAUGUAUGUUCAUGAUGUACCAUGGUCAUAUCAUAAUAGAAUAGAUCCAAGAUUAUAUAUGUUCAAACCAACUGGUGAUUUAAUUAUCAAAGAUAUUAUGAUUUUGUCCAGUUUUUUUUCAGUCACUACUAGAAAAAUGGAUUUUAAUCAAGACAUUGUGUCGUUGAAAAUAAAAGAAAAAAGAGGUGGGAUGAGGUACAUUGUGUUGUUGAAAAUAAAAAUAUGGAUUAUUUCUUAAAACAAUCAUAUUGACACAAUUUAAUUUAUUUCAAAACAAUUUUUGCGUCAUUAAUUAACAAUUUUUUUGUCAUUAAAAAAUUUUCAAAUGAAAAAACCUCAAAUUUCAAAAAAGUUCGAAGUGGGCUACCGAGUCGUUAUGAAGAACCCUUGCCCUCCAAUUUUUUGCCACUUGCCGUCGUCGAUUCCACACUCCAACCACUGUUGUCGUUGCUCCCACAACAAGCCUUCGCCGUCAAACCCACCAAUCUAGCCACUUUCGUCGAAUAAAUUUAUUUAGAAAUAUAAGUUUUAAUGACACUUGAAAUCAAGAAAAAGGGAUAUGAGGGAAUAAAAUGUGUCGUUAAAAAUAAAAAUACAAAAUUUUUUGUGACACAAAUUGGUUUUCUUGACAAAAUUUUCGCAUUGUAAAUAAUGGCAUAAAUUAUGUGUCAUUAAAAAUUACCCUAAUAAAAAAUCAAUGUUUUCCUUCAAUCAUAUGCUUUUUGAUUUAAAACAAAUAAUUCGAAGCUUUCAUCCCACUUGUGAACAAUGACCGAAAAAAACCUUACUUCAUCCCACAUCGUCACUGUCUUUAGCUCUCUCGCAAAUGCUCUCUGGCGACGUUCCCCCUCUCUCGCAAAUACUCUUCACGACUUUUUCUCUCUCUCAAAAUUAAGCUCUUCGCCCACCGUUUGAAGGAACUCACCAAAUUUGCAAGUAAUUGAAGAAUUUGUGGUCCAUGAGAUCGAUUAAGUCCAUUUAUGAGUUAGUUUGAUUAGAUUAUGUCACAUAUACAUGUAUUACAAUUAAGGGACACUUGCGAAAAUGGCAAAAUAAGUUAUAAUAAUUAAGUCCAUAGAACACAUACUUUAUUAUUUGAGAAAGUGACAAAAACAAAGACCAACUGUAACGACCCAACUUUUCUAGGUAAGUCGAGGUCGUUAAUUUUUGACAAAAGACUUUGGUUGAUACAAAAUGAAAUGUAAGCCAAUUGAAAAACAACUUUAAGUCAGGCCUGAUUUUCAAAUAUUCCAAAAACUUAAAAAAAGUACUAUUUACAAAUAAAAGUUUGUAAGCUAAGUUUCAAUACAACGUCUUAAACCUAAAACAAACAAUAAGCGGAAGCAAAAUAACACAUUUCCUAUGGCAAUCACACUUCCUUCCUGCCCCUCGCCGGUUUGCCGCCUUUAUUACCUUUGCCUGAAAAUUAAACAUAAGAAGGGUGAGUAUAAAAAUACCCAGUAAGAGACCCUCUACUGGUCCCGUCAGGGGAAAAAUAAAUUGUUAACAUUCUAUUGGGACACCCUGUACAGUCGCAGUCUUGUGAUCCCGUAGGAUGCACAUUUCAGUCUAACGCCCGAGGACGUACAUUUCAGUGUAGUGUUCUGCAGAAACACAUAUCAGUCUAAUGCUCCCGAAGGUGCAGAAUAAUUGGUGAUCCCGUGGGACACCUACAAGGCACACAUCCCAAUAAAAGCUAACAAUUUUUCCCCUCAAUCCAUUCGUACCAUCUUUCAGUUACUUCAAAAUAUAAAGUUCUUUCACUCAACGUUCUAACAGUCAACUUAUCUCACUUUAGCCCAAUGUCUGUCAGUAACAUACUAAUACGUCAGUCAAUCAAACUAUAUAGUCAUAACGCCUCUCAGUUCACCAGCACACAGUCAUACUUUAGUAUAACGUACACCCAGUCUAAACGACAAUCACAAGUUCACAUCCGCAUCUCAUACAAACACAAUCUACAAUUGUCGUCCUGUCUACAUCCACACACAUAUAUAUAUAUUCCAAGACAAUCACAAUAUGCAUUCAACAUCAAGUCUACUUCAAUCCAUGUGUAUAUAUAUAUUUUCAGUCAUCCACAGUAUACAUUCAACACCGAACCUACAUCCAUACGUAUAUAUAUAUUGUCUCAACACAUUUACUCAAUCAGAGGUGACUAACAUUACAAUUCAAAAGCAUAGGUGAGUCCAGU
This 144530-nucleotide long non-coding RNA is filed under the name Cucumis sativus (cucumber). RNAcentral's name for it is "long non-coding RNA (CSAT_LNC001539)". The record is from RNAcentral. Lineage: Eukaryota; Viridiplantae; Streptophyta; Magnoliopsida; Cucurbitales; Cucurbitaceae.